ACAACCAGUGAAUAGAUAAUGAUGACGUUGGUAUGUAGUUGGGCCCAUGAAAUGAACACAUCCAUGAGCAAUUGUCAUGUUUAAACGUUCAUCUCUACCGAGCACAAGUAUCUCCUGACCAUAGUUUAUGUCACUACUAAACCUAGGAAUCUUAGCACACAAGUCUAAAUUAACCUUCAACACGGCAAUAUUGAUGUGCUUGUCAUAGCGAAACAAGAUUGCAGGUACGGUUGUCUCAUCUUCAUCCAACAAAUGAGCAAUAAUCUAAAGACAGAUACAAAAACAUAUAUUAUGACAAGUGUUAUUUAGCAUACAUAGAUGAACAAACGUAUUCAUUUGUAAACAUACCUCAGCAUCAGGUACAUACUCAUCUGUACCUGACCACUGGGUUAGGGCCGUGUAUUUUGAGCAGAUUAUUCGCGCAGAUGUCAAAACAGUGCCCUCUUUACUCCCCUCAUCCCAAUCAAUUAGAAAACCAGAUGAUCGUGCCAUGAGUUUACCAUCUGUAGAUGCAACAAUAGAUAAGAGAAAAACAAAAAUUAUAGAUGCAACCUAAAAAGCACGGAUACAGCGACACGCAUACGGGACACAGGAUACGGCAUUUUCCAACAACAGCCUAUCGGGGAUACGGCAAAUACAUAUGAAAAUAAAUAAAAAUAUGCCAUGUAAUAUAGAGUUAAAGACAAAAAAGAAACGAGAAAGAGAUCGCCCCAUUCAGCAGUAACUCUCUGAACAUAAGCCCACGGAGGAUAUUUCGGAUUCAGCAGUAACUCUCUGAACAGCUAGUGCCAUUUCCUCUCCCAUUGUCAAGAGCCACAGAGAAGAUUAUCCAUUAGUAGUUGGGUCAGCCCAGCUAGUGCCAUUUCAAGAGCCACUGGAUGCUACAGAUUAAUGUGCACCGUCAAAACUCAAGCCCUAUCUCUCUCUGCCCUAACACUUGACCAACCCGCCACUCUCUUGCCAUCGCCUCUCCUCCCAGCGAUGGAUCUCUCAACUCCCCGCAGCAGCUCUCGCCACCGCCCUCCUCCCAACCUGCUCCUCUUGCCGCUGCAGCAGCAACAGCAGCAGCGGCCAGCGCUGCAGCGGGGGAUGUAGCAGCAGCAACGGCGGCGGGGGCACAACAGCAGCAACGGCGGCGGGGGCAAGGGCGCAGGCAGCAGCAGCACGGUGGCGAGGGCGCAACAGCAGCAGCAUUGAGGCAGGAGGGUGCUCCAGAUCCAGCGCUGCCUCAAGUCGCACGAGGGUGCUGCUCCGACUGGUGGAUUAAUCUUCCAUUAGCCAUCUAAUUUUAUUCUUUGCGAGUCCCCCACGUGUCCCAGCCAUGUCCUCCCUUUUAUUUUUCUUUUUUUAAUUCAUAAUUUGGAAAAUACUGAGGGAUACGUGUAUCCCCGCGUGUCCCCGUGUCCGGCCGUAUCAGAACGGGGAUUCGGCAACUUCUUCUGCCGUGUUCAUGCUUUGUAGGAUGCAACAAUACAUAAGAGAAAAACCAAAACUAUACAGAGACACUAAAUAAAGGCAAUGUGUUACAUACCGACAUAGGACGAAAAGCUAAAAAUAACUUUAGCUGCUUGGAGGAUUGUUUUUGUAGUAGACUCACGAACGCUCUGCAAGUUUGCAUUCGCCAUACACGAACCACAAAUAGACAUAUCAAGCGUUGCAAGCUGUUGUUGGAGCUCUGCAUGUUAACAUGCAAAAAAUGGUGAAUCAGUCUACUGUGUUCAAAUACAUAUCAUCUUGAGCAAAAUAGACAUGUUUCAUUCAUUAUUGACAACUGUUUUUUUGUUAGAGGUGCAUAGCUAUCCUAGCAAUCACUAAUCAGAUAGUAGAAUGAAAGCAGAGUGUAUGCGUCUCCCAAACUUACUUCUUUUUGCACGGUACUUGCAUUUGAGCUCGUCAUAAGCUUCAAGGGCAUCCUUCAUCGCAGGGUCAUGGGCAUUCUCUGGGUUUCGGAUGUAGGCUGGGGGGUGAGGCCAACGCAGAGGAGAGCUGACUGCAGAGGAGGAGGAGGAGGAGGCAUGCGAUGCGCCUGGUGAAGCUGGGGCCGCCUGCUCGCCCGUGCUCGUAGCGGCUUUCUUCUUGUCAGUUCCCUUCCGCUUCUUGGUGGUUCCCUUCCGCCUCUUGGAUCCCUCGGACGGCUCUAGGGGGGCUUCGCUCUUGCCUCGCUGCUGCGAUGCUGCGGCCGACGGCUCCGGGGAGGCUUUCCUCUUGCCUCGCUGCGAUGACGGCGCGGCUUCCGGUUGGGCCUUCCCCGAACAGUCCGCCACCGGGGUGCGCCGCUGCCGCCGCCGCUUCCACCGCCCUGCCCUCGACCUAGAUCCCGAAAUCUCUCCCGCCUCGUCCUGCGGGAUCGGCAUUGGGCGUGCUUCUUAGGGUUUGGUUGGCUCGGCCGACCACAGGAUCGCGAGAUCGCCUAUGCCGCGGUAUCGAUUCGGCGAGGGGCGGGGGAUUUUCGAUUCGGGGAAGGGGGAAGGGAACAGGGACGGGUAGAGAGGGAGAGUAGAAGAUGGGAAGACAAGGGUCGGUCGGUCGGUUCGCCACGUGACUGCCUGUCUCCACGGUGGCCAUGGGCAGCCCGGCCCGACCCGAUCCGGCCCGAAAAAGCCCGACCUGACCUUGCCCAAGGGCGGGACCUGGGCCUAGAUUUUGAGACCCCGGGCCCGGCGUAUUCACCAUUUAAGGAAGAGGCCCGGCGGGCUUUUAGCGUGAUGGGUCGGGCUUGGGCCUGGUUUUUAGGCCCGACGGCCGGCCUGGCUCGGCUCGGGCCUGUGUUUUUUAAAUCGGACUUUGGUAGGACCGGCCCGAAGCCCGGGCCGGCUGACAGAUGGCCAGGUAUACUCCGCGGGAUGAGACGGACAGGACACUGUAUUCCACGCUGCCGCACGGGGCACGCCCAUUCAUAUCCGUUCCCCACCAGUUACUCAGCCGCUAGGAACGCAACGGAAUGGCCCGUCAGACCUUAUCAGAUCCCGGGUCAUGUCAACUCCAACGCGAUCAUCAAAUUGCCCACAAAUAUCUGCAAUAGGGGUCCAAUAUUUUUUUUGUCAAUCCAAUAGUAGUCAUAAAAUUAUCCAAAAAGUAUUCUAACAUUCAAAAUCCCACAAAACCGAAACCCAACAAAAAAAGAGGUAUACGAGCAUCCAACAAUGCGGAUCCACCCAAAAACCUCUCUACUGCCACUCUUAUUGCGUCCUAUCGCUCUUUAAUUAUGCCGCAUGAUGGGACCGAGCGGGGCGGCUUUCCACCCUCAUUCAUGUCGGACAUCCGCCUGCCCGACAUUCACACCGAUGGGGCAAAAAAAGAAACUUUACUUCGGCCACCCACAUCAACCCAACGAUUCGCUUGCUCGGGCUAUUUAAAGCCAACUAGCAACGCCCAAAAAACCUACCACCCCGAGCACCUUCUCACUCCGUCCUAGCCAUAGGUUGACCGUCGACCGAUCAUCUCGGUAGAGGUCACUGUCGCCACAGCAUCGAACCAAGAUCAUAGACGAGGUCCGCGCCACAAAGGACAUCGUCAGACCUGCAUUGCGACGGGCCAACCUCCAAGCUCUUCGAAGCAAAGCUCAUGCGAGUCGGAGACACGUGCCUCUCUUCAUCAGUUUGGACUUUGGGAUGAACUAGUAAUUGUUCACGUGCAACUGCACAUCUCGACUAAUAUUACAAACAUAUGUGAGAAUUAGCAUGUACAAAAAGAUAUUUUAAUUGCACUAAAAAGUAGCGAUUCAAGUUGAUUGAUCAGAAUAUAGCAUUGCAUUGACAAUACCCAUCAUAAAGUUAUUGGCAAUUGGAAAACUACAAAGAGAGCAUAAAUACUUAGUGCAACACUUGAAUAUACAUACGAGAUAAUACUGUUGGAAAAGCUCACAUACAAGAAGCAGGGAGCUUCCUCACACAAGCUUCCUAGUUAAAAUACGGCAACCCACAAUUGCAAUAUCUUAACAGAUCACACUACAGACAUGUAUCACAUAGGUAUAAGGAACACGUGUAGCUACACUAACAUUUGGUAUAUUUGAGGUACUUGACAUGAUCUUUUCUUUAAACCCCACCCAUAUAUUAAUUAACUAAAACAAACGUUGGUACAUAAACCACACAUGGCGGAACACUAUUAAUACGAAUACCAUCAGGCAUAUUAAUAAAACUAAACUUCUCAAUCUCCUGCGCCACAUAUUCGCCUUCCUGUUUUAUCUUGAUGAUUUUUAAAUUCCUCGUCAUCUUGGAGACAUGAAUAAUUUCAGCUAUCAACAUCGUCUCAACUUAGCUCGAUUCUUUUUUUUACUCCAGAAGAAAGUCAAUCUUAUUUGUUCUAACCUGUCUGUUAGGGAUCUUGGAGCUGCAGGCAAAUGGACAUGUCUCAGUUCAGAGCAUGUUUCUAAGCGAAAGUUAUACCUAAUGAUAUAAUCUGCACAAACUUAAUGUCCAGACAUAAUAGAGACUAAACAGUCAAUUACCCAGGCAACUACUAACAGAAAUAACAACAUCAGAUAGCACUGUCUCUUCUAGAAAAAUAUGCGCCACAGUUACCCAGGAAUAAGGAAAUUAUUAAAUAAAACCUUAGAAGUAAAUACACCCUAAUUGUUUCACAUUCUGAUGCAGUUGCAACAUAAAGGAACGGACAUGUUGGAGAAGAUUGUAAUAUCCUGGCUUAAUAGGGAUAGUAGACUACUCAUAUCAAUAUGAAAUUCCUUCUUUUCCGGAAGCCCAUUCAGAAAGAACUCUCAAGUUAAGCGUGCUCAGCUUGAAGUAAUUUCAGGAUGGGUGACUGGCCGGGAAGUUGGUCCCGGGUGCGCACGAGUGAGCACAGAAUGCGCAGGAAAGACUAGUAUUGAUCUGUGCGGCUAGUCUAGAUCUCGCCAGGAGUAACAACCACCGACGGGUGUGUCCGGGGCGUUACAAAGGUAAGCCGAUAAACAAAUUAAUAAUUUUUGCAUGUGAAAGUAAUUCUUUCAAAAUGGACAGACUUAAGAAAAUAAAAAGCACACUAUUGUACUUUAGAUAUAAUUAAGGCUAUGAUUGUCAAUUCCAACACCUGUUGUAUUUUGUUUAUAGGGUACUAUGUCAGUUCAACGGAACUACAGUUUGGUUUAAUAUCCAGCUAUCAAGGUUAACUUGUUAUGAUAUAUAGCAUUUCUCUAGUUGGUAAUCUGGUUGUCAAAUAGGAGGUACUAUAAAAUUUAAUGGCCCAGUAUGAAAGAUCAAUAGCAACAAGACAUCAUCAACAAAAGAGAACAACACGUAGCCGGGCAAUGAUGGGUGUCAAUAUAAGAAAUAUAGCCACCACGAAUAUUCCAUUGUGUACCUUUGCACUUAGUUCUCGCUAGUAAUCUUUCUUAACCGUCUCCAUCAGAUCUCUCUAAUCCAUCAACCUACAUAAAUAUACAGAAGAGUACUUUGACAUACACAAAAGAAACAAUUCCACUAAAUGUGCUCUGGAUGACGAGAAAACAAUUUCUAUAAAGAAUCAUCUGAAUCAUCCUUUUCUCAACAGUACACGUACAAUACCUCCAGAAGCAACAAAAAGGAACGACACGAAUGAUAUAUGUAUUACAUUAACCAGAAGGUAAACAAUGAGAACAUGAGAAUACUACAACAUACCUGAAACAAUAGUAGUAGGUUCAGGGUUUAUUUUACUUCUGAAGUGGACUUAAUUGUAGGUAGAUUUUUUUAAUUUUUUAUUAGCUUUGGCCAAACUAAUACAGUCAUAGUUGUAUACAUGGUCAGCCCCUAAGUAUUCAUCCAUGAAAAUGUACAAGGCCAUUAAAGGGGAAAGCACAACACACAAUAUCUUCAGACUCCUUUGGAAAACUGCAUGCACACUUAGGCAUAAGAUCUUCUUUUGGUUGUUAUUCAGUGACAGAGUAAGCACUAGGAACUUAAUUCAAAGGAAAGGUAUGUAUCUGGAGGAUUACAACUGCGCACUAUGUUCAGAUGCCACUGGGGAAACUGUAACUCACCCCUUUUGGGAUUGCCAAUUUGCCUUGAUGUGGUGGUGUUCUAUCAUUCCUAGUAAACAAAGAGGCAUUUCAGUAUAUGAUGAAGUUCAUCUGACCUUGACCAAACUCCCUUCGGCAAUUGCUAUGGAUGUCAUAAUAAUGGGGUGCUGGGGCAUAUGGAUGAGUAGGAAUGAUAAGAUCUUCAGAAUGGCAACACCAACAGUGGACACAUGGAAGCAUUAUCCGAAAGAGGGGCUCCAAGCUACUGAAAUAAGAGCUAAAGAAACCAAGGCUGAUAAGAUCCGUUCCUGGAUAGAACAGAAUCUCUAAUUUAAUUAUGUCGAUCCCUAGAACAGGCAUUGGUUGAUUCAAACUAUUUCUUUUUUUUAGCUUUGUAUUUGUACAUUCGUUAUAUAAUAAAAAUAUACCAUAGAACAAUUGUUCUGCGGUUUCGGUUCAAAAAAAAUCUUCGCAAAGAGAUUAUCCAGAUCUAGUGAUCUUUUAUACAUGCUAACAGUUUUUAGUUUCACCAAAACCACUAGCCAAACCUCUGGUUGGGUUUAUCAUGAAAUAAAUCAGUGGACCAGCUACAAAAUAGUAUCCUCCAUAGAGUCAGUGGUAAAUACGAUGGAAGCAGGUACGUAUCGACGACACAUUCCAUUUGAUUAUUACAUGUUACAAAGGUUAAAAUUAUAAUGGCUCAAACUGAUGAACAUCUUUGAUAUUUCAAAACAGAUUAGACCUCAGCACAUCCGUUCUUCUCUUCUCCAACAGUAGACAUAGCUCAACCUUCAGUCAGAUUACUUGAAAUAAUACAAGCAAACUUAAAACUAUACCUAUACUAAUUCUAGACUUCCUAAAAAUUCCCACGUUAAUUAUAUUUUACGAGUCGUUAAUCUGGUAGGACCGAGUUAUUACGGUGUAGAUCAACCGACAAAAACCUCAGAAAAAAAUGCCACGGAAAAAAAUUAAUACUCCAGGAUUUGUUUCCUUGGUUGUAGAAGAAAUAAAAAUAAUAUCUCUAUCUAUGUUAAUGCAGCACAAUAGGUUUCCUCGGUUGCAAAAGAAAAGACUCACGUUCUCCUUUCUUCGUGUUCAAAACAGUACAAAAAUAAUAAUAUCCCAAUCUAUCUUUUUAAUUUAGUCUAUUUAUAUCUUAAUACUCCACGAUCUGUUUCGUUGGUUGUAAAAGAGAAAAAAACAAUCAUAUCCAAUCUACGUUAAUACUCCACAAUAUGUUUCCUCGGUUGAUAAAGAAAAUAAACCUUCCUUCUUAACGAACCACAAAGUCCUCGGAAAAAAAAACUAGGCCAGAAAAAUCAUAUCUCAGUCUAUCUUAAUAUUCCACGAUCUCCUUCCUUGGUUGUAAAAGAAAAAAACUCUUCCAUAUUAAUAUAUUUAUAGCUCGAACAACAUGGAGAUAUCCUAUAGAUGCCAACCCCAUGCAAUUGGUUGUUAUGUGGAUUAUUGUUCCGGGAAUUCAACAGGUUGGACAUCGAGCAGUCGGACUCUACGGCAGCUCAUGUUAAUAUUGAGCAAUUAACUCCUCUUGGUCGACUAUGAGCAUCAACUCCAAGCCGCAAAGCUGCCGUCGUCAUCCAGAGGUGCGCCACCGUUCAUGACCGUUUUUCUUGCCAUUCCGCCCCAAGGAGAUGCAUCGGCUACUCAAGUUGUUAAGUUUAUGUAGUUCUGACCAGGUUUUUUUAUAUUCGAUUGAGGCCUAUGUUUCCUCAUGGCUGGUGGUUUCAAUCCAAUUCAGCAGUCACCGUUCUGAUCUCCUCCAGCACGCCAGGAAGAAUUCGCCUGAGGGUAUUACUCCGAUGCGGCGCUGCGGGUCACUCGGUAUUUUGCGGGAUCAUUCGACAUCACGAAUGACCUGGGGCAAAAGUAAUAUUGUACCUUAAACUGAAAGGAAAUAUUGCUUUACCCACAUAUCAGCGGCAGAUGUAGAAGUUGUUGGAUUACACAUCAAUCUGGCGGUCUUCCACAGACCACAACACGCUAAGCAUAUAUCAUGUUAUCUAGCAGUCUUUGUAGAACAAUUGUUAUCCUACACUUCCAAUGUGUUGUCUUAUGUUUCCUAUCGUCCCUUUGUCUUCUCCAUAAGGACAUGGCCAUUUAAUUUAAAUUUGUUCACACUGUCUUUCCCAUAUGCAUGGUUUCCCGGACAAUAAGACAACCAGUGAUCUACCUUUCGAUGUUACAAGAGUCAACNNNNNNNNNNNNNNNNNNNNNNNNNNNNNNNNNNNNNNNNNNNNNNNNNNNNNNNNNNNNNNNNNNNNNNNNNNNNNNNNNNNNNNNNNNNNNNNNNNNNNNNNNNNNNNNNNNNNNNNNNNNNNNNNNNNNNNNNNNNNNNNNNNNNNNNNNNNNNNNNNNNNNNNNNNNNNNNNNNNNNNNNNNNNNNNNNNNNNNNNNNNNNNNNNNNNNNNNNNNNNNNNNNNNNNNNNNNNNNNNNNNNNNNNNNNNNNNNNNNNNNNNNNNNNNNNNNNNNNNNNNNNNNNNNNNNNNNNNNNNNNNNNNNNNNNNNNNNNNNNNNNNNNNNNNNNNUGAUGAUCCAUGUGUCGAACUGUAAUUAGAAGUUUUACAUUAGAUGAUGCUAAGCAAUUGGAGAUGCAUUACGUGGUCAGGGUGCAGGCUGUUCUAUGGUCGUUGAAGCUAUACCUAGAUAUAUCUUACCUUAUUAGAUCAUAAUUACCAAUUAAACCCUUAUGUGUAGCUAAUCCAUGUUUUUUCUAAUUUCUCCUUAAUUUAGCUUCUCUCCUUCUGUACAAUUCCAUAGACAUGCAUGUCUGAUGGUGCACACGAAGUUGUGGCUUACAGUACAUCAUGGCCAAGGAUGAAUACAACACAUGGUGACAGAUGAGGUGCACAUUCAAAUGUAAUGUUAGAUAAGGAAAUUAAUAUUACAUGUAUUAGUAAAUCUGUCAGUUCUCUGUACUCAAUAAUAAUAGGAUAACUUCUCUUACCUGAAUUGUACAAACCCAAUGAUCACCUAUUAUUCACAAUUUAUUACGGAAUGCUACAGACAUCAUGAUAUCAUGAUCAAAACCAUUUAAAGUUUCCCCAUUAACCAAGUAGCCAAUACUAAAUACGGAGCACUUAUCUUGGGCUGUUUGUUUAAAAACAGUGCAGAACACAACCAUGUAGUUUGUACUUGAACAUGGAAGUAAAUUUGUCACAUAAUACCAUCAUUGAUAGUAUAUCUAUGCUAUAUAUAAUCCACAUUAAAACUUCCAUAUAUGUAGUUCAAGUGCAUCUUAUUUAAAUCAGUUAUUUGUAAGGUUCUUUAUUACGGUCUAUAUUUUUGUGUUAUAUUAGGGCCAGACUGCAGUAUCAUGUAAGGAUGCUAUGUAUAUUUUCAUGUCUCUUAUAAGUUAUGAGCUGAAAUGUGCAACCCUCUACACAAGCAAUGCAAUAUUCCACAUUAACUGAAUCAUAUAUAAAUUUUUAAUUGAUCUUAAUUUUAAUGGAAUUAAGCUGAUUCUGUUAACUUUAACAGUAUAAUGCAUAACUUAUAGAUGUAGUACUAAACUGAAGUACAAUAGUAUAUUUUGCAUUUUCCUGCAAUUAUAGCUAAAAUAAAGUACACAUAUUUUCAUAUGUUCAUCAUAUUCAAUAUUCUCCGUGCUAGCACUGGAGCUUCUAUGCAUGCUUUGAUUUACUCUCUUUUUUAUCUGUUUUGAAAACUAUUUCAUUCAAGCACGGGACAUAAGCACCAUAUAUUAUCGAGGCUGAAUCAGCGAUCUCAUAAUUUUCAGCUUGGGGCAUUACUGCAUGUAUAUAUAGGUGGACACCCAUGCGUAAAAUACGUUCAAAGGAGAGAUCCCAUAAUUUUAAACAUUGGAAAUAAUAUUACAAAAACCUGAAAUAUGAAUGCCCAUUUAGUGUUUACAUAUCCUUCAAAUGUUUCUCUCUUUUCUAAAUCUUCUCAGGCAGCAAUCUUAUGGUGUCAACAUGUUGCCAUGAUGACGUUGGUGAGAUAUCAAUUUUAAUUUGGUACCAUACUCUGUAGAAAGUAGUACGAAAAUUCUCAAGGUCACUAGACAACUGUGAGCAAGAUUAACCAGAUAAGGUUGGUAUUGUUCCAUGGUCAAUAAUAUUUUUAUCAUAACCAUUUGUUUUUAGUCCAGAUACAUAUUUUCUCAACUUACCAUGCCAAGUAAAUGUACUAUUUAUGCUAAAAAUUUUGUGGCCUAUGCAAAUAGUGCAAAAAUUUGGAAGGUUUCGGCAGUAAGCAAGGUGAAUCACGUAAGGUUGUUAUUAUGCCAUUAUUCAUCAGGUUUUAGUGUCAUUAUCUAUUGGUCUUUCCAUCUAGGAAUAUAUUCUUUUUUGACUUAUCAUGCAUGUGAAGAUAAUUUAAUGCUGAAUAAGAAUGAAGCCAUAUCUUGCGGUGAUAAUAUUACAAUAGUGUCAGAAAUUAAUACUAGCCCGUGCAAUUGCACGGGUUGACGACUAGUGAUGUAAGUAAUCCGGUGUGGCGGAUACUUACUAUCAGUAGCACCACUAACAAAAACACAAAAGGACCCCGAACUUAUUUUAAACAAGAGCAAACCAUAUAUGAUCAUAAUAGGUCUGUUUUUUUUACCAACUUGCAUUAAAUAUGACAAAAAAUGACCAAUUCUACACUAGCAAGAUUGGUCUAUAAAAAGCACAUGGUAUAUUAGCUAAUACCAUGCAAAAAGUUGUCCCAAGAUCCCUGCUUCCAUGAAGACAACUGUGUGUAUGAGUUACUAUUGGAAGAUACAAAACCUUAAUACAAAAGGUGGGAGUCAAUUUAUCCAGAAAGUAAUUGGUUAUAUUUUAGAACCAUGUGCAGGAAAAAGGGGCUGCAUGCAUCGCUCUGAUGUUGAGACCGGGGGUAAUCCUCCUUUUAAAAAAAUGUGCAAAAAAGGUCUUGUGUUGAAAGACCCUACUAGCACGUAUUAAAAAUAGGGAAAUUUUACGUUGCAUCAUAAUACACCAAAUCACGUGUAUUAUAUGGGCAAUCUAACGGAUUAGAAUAACUGGGCCUUUUUUAGCCCAAGGGUACUUUCAACCUAAUUUUUUUUAUACCUUUAAUCAGCCCAAUUAAGUCCAGGGGUAUUCUCGUCCGAAAUUUUUCGAUUAAAUUAAUUGCAUUAAUAAAACACUCAUUAUAGAGGUCCAAUCAUCGUGUGUACUCUUUUGAAAUUUGGUUCGAGUGGUUCGUCCUCUCUCCUCCUCUCGAGCCCUAACCUCGGCGCCCUCGAUCGCCGCCGAUCGCCUCCAGCGCCCUCGAUCGCCGCCGAUCGCACUCGCCGUGUCACUCCUUCCUCCUGCUCCUACUCCCUCCUCCCCCUCCAUCGGAAGUCACCCCGCUCGGGUCGCGGCGCCAGAUCUUCUGACGAGCCUCCCCUCCUUCCCCGAGCGCACGCCACCUUCCCCGACCCGAGAGGCCACAUCAUCCAAAUCGACGUGCAUCAACUUUUUCACGCCGGAUCUUCGCUGUAAGUGCCUAGCCAUCUCAAAUCUUUACUGGUCCCUUAUGCUUAUAGUACCAAUAGGGGUCGGAUUUGAUUAGGGUUUAGGAUAUGUCAUGUGAGGUUUAGGGUUUAUGGUUUCAGAAAGUUGUGACGAGAUUUCUAUUGAAAGGGAGUGUAAGUUGGAUUUAGCUAGGACAUGUUGAUGUAGUUAGUUAGGGUUUAUGGUUUCAGAAAGUUGUGACAAGAUUUUUUUUAAGGAAGUGUAAGUCGGAUUUAGCUAGGACAUAUUAAAGCACUUCGUUAGGGUUGUGUGCCAUGAGAAUUUGUCAGCAAAUUUGGAUUGAAAGAAAGUUAUUUUGGAUUUAGUUAGGAGAUGCUUUUGAAUUGAGUUUCCAGAUAUUUUUGAUUUAGUUAGGAGAUAAUUAUUUUUGUAUGGAGUUUGGAGAUAUUUUCGACUUAGUGACGAGAUAAUUUGGAUUUAGUUAGGUGAUAUUUUUGGAUUCAGUUAGGACACAAUUUUGAAUGGAGUUUGCAGAUAAUUGAUCUAUCAGGGUGGAUCUAUCAGGGGACUUGAAAGAUUCGUGCACUUUGGAUUUAGUUAGGAGAUCAUCAGUUACAACAAGUACAAUCAAUUAAAUAUUUCUGGAUUUAGUCAGGGAAUAUUUUAUACUUACUUACGACUUUUGAAGGACUGAGUUUGGUACAUGAAUCCGAUAUGAAAAAUUAAAUCAAUUAUUUAAGCAGAGUAUUGCAUAAUUAUUAUGUAUGCUAUCCAUCCGUAACAUUGACUAUCUGUUUUCGUUGGCAGCAUAACGACAUGGAUGAUAAAGGCAACUAUGGCAACAACUUGGGGAAUACAAGCAAGGAUGACAAGGACAUGGGUGCUAGACGAAAGGAAGGCAAAUGAAUGGAUGGUAUGCGCACGGAUGAUAACGAUAAUGAGGAUGCAGGCAAGGAUGGCAUAGACCUAGAUGAUGUACACAUGCAAGGUAAAGGAAUUGAUAUUAAAGGCAGGGCUGGUUCAGAUCUGAAUGAGUGUAUGGAAUACAUAGAGAUUGUGAAGAAGACUUUCAGGACUGAGGAAGAAGCCUACAUGUUCUAUGUAGGGUAUGCGAGAAAAAAGGGUUUGGUGUUAGAAAGGAUGAUCUAAAGUACAGGGGUCCGGGUCCGAAACAAAAUGCAUACAGAAGGACAUACAAGUGCUGCAAACAAGGAUGGCAGGCCCUUAAGCACUUUAAUAGAGCUGAUAGAAAAAGAACACCGAGGGGUCUUUCUCGGUGUGGGUGUCCUGCUCUUUUUCAGGUUGAGCUACAAGAUAGUAGUGGCCUCUGGUUCGUCAAGAAUUUUGUGGACAUGCAUAACCAUCUGUUUGUCCCUGCUGACCCGACUCCCUACUUAUCGGCUCAUCGUAGAAUGAUUGACGCACAAAAGGCCGAUGUCAUCGAGUAUGCUGUUGGUGGACUUCGAACACAUCAGAUUAUGAAUGUAAUGGAGAAGAAUGCCGGAGGUCCCGACAAGCUUGGAUUUAUAGAUCGAGACCUAUACAACCAUGUUUCAAUCCAGAAGAAGCGCAAGAUAGAAGGCAGUGACGCUAGAUAUUUGCUCAGCUAUAUGAUUGCACAGAAAAGGCAGACCCGGAAUUCUUUUUCAAAUACACAAAAGACAAUGAAGGCCAUUUGAGGAACAUAUUCUGGGCUAAUUCACAAUCCCGGAUUGACUAUGUUGCCUUUGGUAGUGUCGUGGUGUUCGACAGUACAUACGGGUCUAACAAGUACAUGCUUCCAUCUGUUCCAUUUGUUGGUCUGAACCAUCACCGCAGCACAGUUUUGUUUGGGGUCGGUCUAGUGUCAGACGAGAUAGUUGCAUCAUACCAGUGGCUUAUUCAUGUAUUUUUGGAGGCAAUGUCCUAGAGGGAACCCAUUUCAGCAAUCACCGAUGGGGACGGUUCAAUGGCUAAAGCAAUAGCUACUGUCUGGACUGGAACAGAUCAUCGUUUGUGCACGUGGCAUAUCGAGGAGAAUAUGGUGAUGCACCUCCGCAAGAAAAAGCUUGAGGAAUUUAGAGAAUUCAUUUACCGUCGUUGGGAUGUUGAUGAGUUUGAGAAAAGAUGGGAGGCUUAUAAGGUUCGGUUCAAAAUAAAACCAACGGGAAAGAGGUCAUCAUGGGUUAACAGGAUGUACGAGCUACGACACAAGUGGGCUGCUGCGUACACAAACGGUAGAUAUUUCCUUGGCAUGAUGAGUAAUCAGAGGAGUGAGUCUCUCAACUCGAGGCUUCAUGUGCACCUGAACAGGAAGAUGCAGCUUGUUGAUUUGUUGCAGCAUGUUGAGCACUGUGUAUCCAUAAUGCGUAAGAAUGAAGCAGCAUUAGACACAUUAGCAACACAUACGAUACCCUUCACUAAGCUAAAUGCACACCCUCUGGAGAUUGCUGGCUCUCAUAUUUAUACAACUAUGAUGUUUCCAAAGGUAAAGCGUCAGAUUGUCGAAGGGACAAAUUGGCAGGUCACGGACCGGGUAGCAUGUGAUGGUUUGGUCGUGUUUGGAGUUUUGCGCAAAUCCCCAUAUGAUAAAGUCCCAUAUGGCAGGGAUGCUACAAAAUUGCAAGGUAAGGAAGGUAAGGAUGCUGAGGACUUGCAUGCAAAAAAAUUGGAUGCUGAGGAUCCCAAUGACUUGCAAGGUAAGGAUGCUGAGGACUUGCAUGCAAAAAACUUGGAUGCUGAGGAUCCCAAUGACUUGGAAGGUAAGGAUGCUGAGGACUUGCAUGCAAAAAACUUGGAUGCUGGGGAUCCCAAUGACUUGGAAGGCAAGGAUGGUGUGGACUUGCAUGCCAAAAACCCAGAUGCUAAGGAUCCCAAAGACUUGGAAGGUAAGGACAGUGAGGAGUUGGAUGCACAAGGCGUGGAUGCUAAGCAUGUGGAUUUUAUAUAUCACGUGACUUGUCUAUUUUCAGGAGCAAGACUGGAUGAUGCAGCUUGUAAAUGUAAAAAGUUGGAAAGUCAGUAUUACCCAUGCGCACAUAUAUUCUGCGUUCUGGAUCAUCUAGGUGUAUGCACAUUUCCAAAAAAAAUUGUCAAGAAAAGAUGGACAAUACAUGCCAAGCCAGCAUUCCCUUCUUCGAGGACUGCGAAUACUCAUGUAUGGUCUGAUCACAUGAGUAAGUAUCAUCAACUACGCAACAUGGCUAGUGACGCUUUAUUCACAGCCGCAGCUAGCGAUUCACAGUCAGAACAGAUGAUGGAGCUCCUCCAGAAUAUAUUGGUUGAUGGAGAAAAACUGAUUUGGAUGAAGGCCAUAAAUCGUUUGUUCCUUUGCCGGUAUACUUCUCUGCUGCUCGUGAAUGCUGCACUGAUGACGUGGAAAAUCCAAUCAAAAUAGUUCCAAAAGGGAGACCAACUACCGAAGAAUCGAACAAGAGGAUUAAAUCCAGGCGCGGGUGGAUGAGAGGGAAAAAAGCAACGAAGUUAGUGCACAUGUUUAUCUCAUUGUUCAUUUCCAUACAUGCUUACAAUGUUAAUAUGUUCUCUCUUUUUCUUCAAUUUACUCAGGAACAAAUCGGGGAAAUCGAAGGUCACAAGGAGGAAGAAGCGAAAAGAGAAAGACUCAGAGACAGAAGAAGACACAGAUUUAGAUACAGAAGAAGAGGAAGAUUCAAAAAAAGCAACAAAGUUAGUGCACAUGUUAAUCUCAUUGUUCAUUUCCAUACAUGCUUAAAGUGUUAAUAUGUUCUCCCGGAGAGUGUUCACAUGUUUUUCUUAAAUUUAUGCAGGGAAAAAUUGGGGAAAUCAAAUAGCACAAGGAGGAAGAAGCAAAAAGAAGAGACUAUUGGAAAUAUGCCCUAGAGGCAAUAAUAAAAGGAUUAUUAUUAUAUUUCCUUGUUCAUGAUAAUUGUCUUUUAUUCAUGCUAUAAUUGUAUUAUCCGAAAAUCGUAAUACACGUGUGAAUACAUAGACCACAAUAUUAUGGUUUCCUAACUAUGGACAUUGGAUGUCAUUGAUAACGGGAUCACAUCAUUAGGAGAAUGAUGUGAUGGACAAGACCCAAUCCUAAGCAUAGCACAAGAUCAUGUAGUUCGUUUUGCUAGAGCUUUUCCAAUGUCAAGUAUCUUUUCCUUAGACCAUGAGAUCGUGUAACUCCCGGAUACCGUAGGAGUGCUUUGGGUGUACCAAACAUCACAACAUAACUGGGUGACUAUAAAGGUAUACUACGGGUAUCUCCGAAAGUGUCUGUUGGGUUGACACGGAUCGAGACUGGGAUUUGUCACUCCGUAUGACGGAGAGGUAUCUCUGGGCCCACUCGGUAAUGCAUCAUCAUAAUUAGCUCAAAGUGACCAAGUGUAUGGUCACGGGAUCAUGCAUUACAGUACGAGUAAAGUGACUUGCCGGUAACGAGAUUGAACGAGGUAUUGGGAUAUCGACGAUCGAAUCUCGGGCAAGUAACAUACCGAUUGACAAAGGGAAUUGUAUACGGGGUUGCUUGAAUCCUCGACAUUGUGGUUCAUCCGAUGAGAUCAUCAAGGAGCAUGUGGGAGCCAACAUGGGUAUCCAGAUCCCGCUGUUGGUUAUUGACCGGAGAGCCAUCUCGGUCAUGUCUACAUGUCUCCCGAACCCGUAGGGUCUACACACUUAAGGUUCAAUGAUGCUAGGGUUGUAAAGAUAUUAGUAUGCAGCAAACCGAAAGUUGUUCGGAGUCCUGGAUGAGAUCCCGGACGUCACGAGGAGUUCCAGAAUGGUCCGGAGGUAAAGAAUUAUAUAUGGGAAGUCGAGUUUCGGCCUUCGGAAAAGUUUCGGUGUUCACCGGUAUUGUACCGGGACCACCGGAAGGGUCCCGGGGGUCCACCAGGUGGGGCCACCCAUCCCGGAGGGCCCCAUGGGCUGAAGUGGGAGGGGAACCAGCCCCUGGUGGGCUGGUGCGCCCCCCUGGGCCCCCCUCUGCGCCUAGGCUUGGGAACCCUAGGGGAGGGGGCGCCUCCACUUGCCUUGGGGGGCAAGUUUCCCCCCUUGGCCGCCGCCCCCCCUAGGAGAUCCCAUCUCCUAGGGCCGGCGCCCCACCUUGGGGUCCCUAUAUAAAGAGGGGGGUGGGAGGGCAGCCGCACCCUGACACCUGGCGCCUCCCUUCCCUCCUUGCUACACCUCUACCUCCCGCAAGCGCUUGACGAAGCCCUGCCGGAACCCUGCUGCAUCCACCACCACGCCGUCGUGCUGCUGGAUCUUCAUCAACCUCUCCUUCCCCCUUGUUGUAUCAAGAAGGAGGAGACGUCAUGCUGACUGUACGUGUGUUGAACGCGGAGGUGCCGUCCGUUCGGCGCUAGGAUCUCUGGUGAUUUGGAUCACGACGAGUACGACUCCCUCAACCCCAUUCUCUUGAACGCUUCUGCUCGAUCUACAAGGGUAUGUAGAUGCACUCCUCUCUCUGUUGCUAGAUGAACUCAUAGAUUGAUCUUGGUAACGUAGGAAAUUUUUUAUUUUAUGCAACGUUCCCCAACAGUGGCAUCAUGAGCUAGGUCUAUGCGUAGUUCUCUAUUGCACGAGUAGAACACAAAUCUGUUGUGGGCGUAGAUGUUGUCAACUUUCUUGCCACUACUAGUCUUAUUUUGCUUCAGCGGUAUUGUGGGAUGAAGCGGCCCGGACCGACCUUACACGUACGCUUACGUGAGACAGGUUCCACCGACUGACAUGCACUAGUUGCAUAAGGUGGCUAGCGGGUGUCUGUCUCUCCCACUUUAGUUGGAGCAGAUUCGAUGAAAAGGGUCCUUAUGAAUAUGACAACCGGCAGGAGCCAUAGGAGUUGUCUUAAUUAUUGAAUGACCUAUGUGUCAAUGAUUUAACACCAUGUAAUUACUUUACUUUAUUGCUAAACGGUUAGCCAUAGUAGUAGAAGUAAUAGUUGGCGAGCAACUUCAUGGAGACACGAUGAUGGAGAUCGUGAUGAUGGAGAUCAUGGUGUCAUGCCGGUGACGAAGAUUAUCAUGGAGCCCCGAAGAUGGAGAUCGAAGGAGCUAUAUGGUAUUGGCCAUAUCAUGUCACUACUAUUUAAUUGCAUGUGAUGUUUAUUAUGUUUAUGCAUCUUGUCUACUUAGAACGACGGUAGUAAAUAAGAUGAUCUCUCAUGAUAAUUUCAAGAAAGUGUUCCCCCUAACUGUGCGCCGUUGCUAAAGUUCGUCGUUUUGAAGCACCACGUGAUGAUCGGGUGUGAUAGAUUCCUAUGUUCACAUACAACGGGUGUAAGAUAGUUUUACACAUGCAAAAACACUUAGGUUAACUUGACAAGCCUAGCAUGUACAGACAUGGCCUCGGAACACAGAGACCGAAAGGUCGAACAUGAGUCGUAUGGAAGAUAUGAUCAACAUGGAGAUGUUCACCGAUGAUGACUAGUCCGUCUCACGUGAUGGUCGGACACGGCCUAGUCGACUCGGAUCAUGUAACACUUAGAUGACUAGAGGGAUGUCAAAUCUGAGUAGGAGUUCAUUAAAUAAUUUGAUUAGAUGAACUUAAUUAUCAUGAACUUAGUCUAAAAUCUUUGCAAAAAAUGUCUUGUAGAUCAAAUGGCUAACACUCAUGUCAACAUGAACUUCAACGCGUUCCUAGAGAAAACCAAGCUGAAAGAUGAUGGCAGCAACUAUACGGACUGGGUCCGGAACCUGAGGAUCAUCCUCAUAGCUGCCAAGAAAGCAUAUGUCCUAGAAGGACCGCUAGGUGAAGCACCCAUCCCAGAGAACCAAGACGUUAUGAACGCUUGGCAGUCACGUGCUGAUGAUUACUCCCUCGUUCAGUGCGGCAUGCUUUACAGCUUAGAACCGGGGCUCCAAAAGCGUUUUGAGCAACACGGAGCAUAUGAGAUGUUCGAGGAGCUGAAAAUGGUUUUCCAAGCUCAUGCCCGGGUCGAGAGAUAUGAAGUCUCCGACAAGUUCUAUAGUUUUAAGAUGGAGGAAAAUAGUUUUGUCAGUGAGCACAUACUCAAAAUGUCUGGGUUGCACAACCGCAUGUCCCAGCUGGACAUUAACCUCCCGGACGAAGCGGUCAUUAACAGAAUCCUUCAGUCACUCCCACCGAGCUACAAGAGCUUUGUGAUGAACUACAAUAUGCAGGGGAUGGUGAAAACUAUUCCUGAAGUAUUUUCAAUGCUAAAGUCGGCAGAGGUAGAAAUCAAGAAAGAACAUCAAGUGUUGAUGGUCAAUAAAACCACCAAGUUCAAGAAGGGCAAGGGUAAGAAGAACUUCAAGAAGGACGGCAAAGAUGUUGCCGCGCCCGGUAAGCCAGUUGCCGGGAAGAAGUCAAAGAAUGGACCCAAGCCUGAGACUUAGUGCUUUUAUUGCAAAGGGAAGGGUCACUGGAAGCGGAACUGCCCCCAAAUACUUAGCGGACAAGAAGGCCGGCAACACUAGAGGUAUAUGUGAUAUACAUGUAAUUGAUGUGUACCUUACCAGUACUCGUAGUAACUCCUGGGUAUUUGAUACCGGUGCCGUUGCUCAUAUUUGUAAUUCACAGCAGGAGCUGCGGAAUAAGCGGAGACUAGCGAAGGACGAGGUGACGAUGCGUGUCGGGAAUGGUUCCAAGGUCGAUGUGAUCGCCGUCGGCACGCUACCUCUACAUUUACCCACGGGAUUAGUUUUAAACCUCAAUAAUUGUUAUUUAGUGCCAAGUUUGAGCAUGAACAUUGUAUCUGGAUCUCGUUUAAUACGAGAUGGCUACUCAUUUAAAUCCGAGAAUAAUGGUUGUUCUAUUUAUAUGAGAGAUAUGUUUUAUGGUCAUGCCCCGGUGGUCAAUGGUUUAUUCUUAAUGAAUCUCGAACGUAAUAUUACACAUAUUCAUAGUGUGAAUACCAAAAGAUGUAAAGUUGAUAACGAUAGUCCCACAUACUUGUGGCACUGCCGCCUUGGUCACAUUGGUGUCAAGUGCAUGAAGAAGCUCCAUGCUGAUGGACUUUUAGAGUCUCUCGUUUAUGAAUCAUUUGACACAUGCGAACCAUGCCUCAUGGGCAAAAUGACCAAGACUCCAUUCUCCGGAACAAUGGAGCGAGCAACCAACUUAUUGGAAAUCAUACAUACUGAUGUGUGUGGUCCAAUGAGCGUUGAGGCUCGCGGAGGAUAUCGUUAUGUUCUCACUCUCACUAAUGACUUAAGUAGAUAUGGGUAUGUCUACUUGAUGAAACACAAGUCUGAGACCUUUGAAAAGUUCAAGGAAUUUCAGAAUGAAGUAGAGAAUCAACAUGACCGAAAAAUAAAGUUCUUACGAUCAGAUCGUGGAGGAGAAUAUUUAAGUCAAGAAUUUGGUACGCACUUAAGGAAAUGUGGAAUCGUUUCACAACUCACGCCGCCUGGAACACCUCAACGUAAUGGUGUGUCCGAACGUCGUAAUCGCACUCUAUUGGAUAUGGUGCGAUCUAUGAUGUCUCUUACCGAUUUACGGCUAUCAUUUUGGGGAUACGCUCUAGAGACAACUACAUUCACUUUAAAUAGGGCUCCGUCUAAAUCCAUUGAGACGACACCGUAUGAAUUAUGGUUUGGGAAGAAACCUAAGCUGUCGUUUCUAAAAGUUUGGGGAUGCGAUGCUUAUGUCAAGAAACUUCAACCUGAAAAGCUCAAACCCAAGUCGAAAAAAUGUGUCUUCAUAGGAUACCCUAAGGAAACCAUUGGGUAUACCUUCUACCUUCGAUCCAAAGGCAAGAUCUUUGUUGCCAAGAAAGGAUCCUUUCUGGAAAAAGGGUUUCUCUCGAAAGGAGUAAGUGGGAGGAAAGUAGAACUCGAUGAAGUACUACCUCUUGAACCGGAAAGUAGUGCAACUCAGGAAAAUGUUCCUGUGGUGCCUACACCGACUGGAGAGGAAAUUAAUAAUGAUGAUCAAGGUACUUCGGAUCAAGUUGCUACUGAACUUCGUAGGUCCACAAGGACACGUUCCACACCAGAGUGGUAUGGCAACCCUGUCCUGGAAAUCAUGUUGUUAGACUACGGUGAACCUUCGAACUAUGAAGAAGCGAUGGCGGGCCCAGAUUCCAACAAAUGGCUUGAAGCCAUGCAAUCCGAGAUAGAAUCCAUGUAUGAAAACAAAGUAUGGACUUUGACAGACUUGCCCGAUGAUCGGCGAGCGAUAGAAAACAAAUGGAUCUUUAAGAAGAAGACGGACGCAGAUGGUAAUAUUACCAUCUAUAAAGCUCGACUUGUCGCUAAGGGUUAUCGACAAGUUCAAGUGGUUGACUACAAUGAGACUUUCUCUCCCGUAGCGAAGCUGAAGUCCGUCCGAAUCAUGUUAGCAAUUGCCGCAUACUAUGAUUAUGAGAUAUGGUAGAUGGACGUCAAAACGGCAUUCCUUAACGGCUAUCUUAAGGAAGAACUGUAUAUGAUGUAGCCGGAGGGUUUUGUCGAUCCUAAGAAUCCUAACAAGGUAUGCAAGCUCCAGCGAUCCAUUUAUGGGCUGGUGCAAGCAUCUCGGAGUUGGAACAUUCGCUUUGAUGAGAUGAUCAAAGCGUUUGGGUUUAUGCAGACUUAUGGAGAAGCCUGCGUUUACAAGAAAGUGAGUGGGAGCUCUGUAGCAUUUCUCAUAUUAUAUGUAGAUGACAUACUUUUGAUGGGAAAUGAUAUAGAACUUUUGGACAGCAUUAAGGCCUACUUGAAUAAGUGUUUUUCAAUGUAGGACCUUGGAGAAGCUGCUUACAUAUUAGGCAUCAAGAUCUAUAGGGAUAGAUCGAGACGCCUCAUAGGUCUUUCACAAAGCACAUACCUUGAUAAGAUAUUGAAGAAGUUCAAUAUGGAUCAGUCCAAGAAAGGGUUCUUGCCUGUGUUGCAAGGUGUGAGAUUGAGCUCGGCUCAAUGCCCGACCACGACAGAAGAUAAAGAAGAGAUGAGUGUCAUCCCCUAUGCCUCAGCCAUAGGAUCUAUUAUGUAUGCCAUGCUGUGUACCAGACCAGAUGUAAACCUUGCCAUAAGUUUGGUAGGAAGGUACCAAAGUAAUCCCAACAAGGAACACUGGACAGCGGUCAAGAAUAUCCUAAAGUACCUGAAAAGGACAAAGGACAUGUUUCUCGUUUAUGGAGGUGACGAAGAGCUCGUCGUAAAGGGUUACGUCGAUGCUAGCUUUGACACAGAUCUGGAUGACUCUAAGUCACAAACCGGAUACGUGUAUAUGUUGAAUCGUGGAGCAGUAAGCUGGUGUAGUUGCAAGCAGAGCGUCGCGGCGGGAUCUACAUGUGAAGCGGAAUACAUGGCGGCCUCGGAGGCAGCGCAUGAAGCAAUAUGGAUGAAGGAGUUCAUCACCGACCUAGGAGUCAUACCCAAUGCAUCGGGGCCGAUCACUCUCUUCUGUGAUAACACUGGAGCUAUUGCCCUUGCCAAGGAGCCCAGGUUUCACAAGAAGACCAGGCACAUCAAGCGUCGUUUCAACUCCAUCCGUGAAAAUGUUCAAGAUGGAGACAUAGAUAUUUGCAAAGUACAUACAGAUCUGAAUGUCGCAGAUCCGUUGACUAAACCUCUUCUGCGAGCAAAACAUGAUCAACACCAGAACUCUAUGGGUGUUCGAUUCAUCACAAUGUAACUAGAUUAUUGACUCUAGUGCAAGUGGGAGACUGUUGGAAAUAUGCCCUAGAGGCAAUAAUAAAAAGAUUAUUAUUAUAUUUCCUUGUUAAUGAUAAUUGUCUUUUAUUCAUGCUAUAAUUGUAUUAUCCGGAAAUCGUAAUACACAUGUGAAUACAUAGACCACAAUAUGUCCCUAGUGAGCCUCUAGUUGACUAGCUCGUUAAUCAACAGAUAGUCAUGGUUUCCUGACUAUGGACAUUGGAUGUCAUUGAUAACAGGAUCACAUCAUUAGGAGAAUGAUGUGAUGGAGAAGACCCAAUCCUAAGCAUAGCACAAGAUCGUGUAGUUCGUUUUGCUAGAGCUUAUCCAAUGUCAAGUAUCUUUUCCUUAGACCAUGAGAUCGUGUAACUCCCGGAUACCGUAGGAGUGCUUUGGGUGUACCAAACGUCACAACGUAACUGGGUGACUAUAAAGGUAUACUACAGGUAUCUCCGAAAGUGUCUGUUGGGUUGACACGGAUCGAGACUGGGAUUUGUCACUCCGUAUGACGGAGAGGUAUCUCUGGGCCCACUCGGUAAUGCAUCAUCAUAAUGAGCUCAAAGUGACCAAGUGUAUGGUCACGGGAUCAUGCAUUAUGGUACGAGUAAAGUGACUUGCCGGUAACGAGAUUGAACGAGGUAUUGGGAUACCGACGAUCGAAUCUCGGGCAAGUAACAUACCGAUUGACAAAGGGAAUUGUAUACGGGGUUGCUUGAAUCCUCGACAUCGUGGUUCAUCCGAUGAGAUCAUCGAGGAACAUGUGGGAGCCAACAUGGGUAUCCAGAUCCCGCUGUUGGUUAUUGACCGGAGAGCCGUCUCGGUCAUGUCUACAUGUCUCCCGAACCCGUAGGGUCUACACACUUAAGGUUCGGUGAUGCUAGGGUUGUAAAGAUAUUAGUAUGCAGCAAACCGAAAGUUGUUCAGAGUCCCGGAUGAGAUCUCGGACGUCACGAGGAGUUCCAGAAUGGUCCGGAGGUAAAGAAUUAUAUAUGGGAAGUCGAGUUUCGGCCAUCGGGAAAGUUUCGGGGUUCACCGGUAUUGUACCGGGACCACCGGAAGGGUCCCGAGGGUCCACGGGGUGGGGCCACCCAUCCCGAAGGGCCCCAUGGGCUGAAGUGGGAGGGGAACCAGCCCCUGGUGGGCUGGUGCGCCCCCCCUGGGCCCCCCUCGGCGCCUAGGAUUGGGAACCCUAGGGGAGGGGGCGCUUCCACUUGCCUUGGGGGGGGGCAAGUUUCCCCCCUUGGCCGCCGCCCCCCUAGGAGAUCCCAUCUCCUAGGGCCGGCGCCCCCCUUGGGGUACCUAUAUAAAGAGGGGGGGUGGGAGGGCAGCCGCACCCUGACACGUGGCGCCUCCCUUACCCCCUUGCUACACCUCUCCCUCCCGCAAGCGCUUGGCGAAGCCCUGCCGGAACCCUGCUGCAUCCACCACCACGCCAUCAUGCUGUUGGAUCUUCAUCAACCUCUCCUUCCCCCUUGCUGGAUCAAGAAGGAGGAGACGUCACGCUGACCGUACGUGUGUUGAACGCGGAGGUGCCGUCCGUUCGGUGCUAGGAUCUCCAGUGAUUUGGAUCACGACGAGUACGACUCCCUCAACCCCGUUCUCUUGAACGCUUCCGCUCGAUCUACAAGGGUAUGUAGAUGCACUCCUCUCUCUCGUUGCUAGAUGAACUCAUAGAUUGAUCUUGGUGAACAUAGGAAUUUUUUUAUUUUAUGCAACGUUCCCUAACAGAGACAGAGUCAGAUACAAAAGAAGAGACAGAGGCAGAUACAGAAGAAGAGACAGAUGCAGAUACAGAAGAAGAGGAAGAUUCAGGUACAGAAGAAGAGGAAGAUUCAGAUGUAGAAGAAGAAGGAGAUUCAGAUGCAGAAGAAGAGGGAGAUUCAGAUGCGGAAGAAGAGGAAGAUUCAGAUGCAGAAGAUGGUGGGCUGAGGAGGGCUAGGAAGAGACCAUUGGAGGUUGCAGAAGAGGAUUACGCAAAACCAAACAAGUGGGCAUCAGCACAAUUGUGCGUACUUAAACAUGUUUUCGAAUGCUGGCUGUAGAUUCAUCUAUUUCAUUUUUUGCAGGAAACGCAAGGGCGCUCCAAAUGUCAAUGCUGGGAGGAAGAAAAAGAACGAUGACAAGGGUGCGCUAGGAAAACCAGUGAAGUUAGUGUCUGUACUUACAUGUCCGCUCUAGAAGUCAGGUAUUUUCUAGUACUGUGUUGACGUUUGUUAACUUUUCUAGGAAAGACUCUAGGAAGGGCGGUAAAGAACAUGCCAAAGGGGUGAUGCAGACAAAAAGGCCUGCUAGGAAUGUACCACAGGCUGAGCGAAUAAGAGCUGUCAAGUUAGCUUCUGUAGCUAUGACGAGAAAAUCAGUGAAGUUAGUGUCUUUUCUGUUAUAGUGUACUGUACAUGCUCAAAUCUUCUUUGCUAUCCUAUUAACAAACGUUGUUUCAUGCAGGAAAGCUAUAGUGAAGUAGAGACAGGAUGUUUAGAUGCACAGGGUCAAGUAGAGAAAACAAAAGGAUUUCUGGGGUCGAAAAAUUGAGAACAAACUAAAGUAGACAAUUUUCCAUGCCGUGAUCCACCUUGUUUCUGAUGUAUUAGACCUAUUUGAUGGACUACCACUAUUUUUCUGAAUUCCUCUUUGCUUGGUACACCCUCAUUUUAUUAUGGACGAGACGACAUGGUAGGCUAGUUAUGAUUUAUCAACAUCGAUGAAACAAUGCAUUUUUAGUGAAGUUGGUUUUAUGUAUUUUUUUUCUUUUUUUUACAUAAUAUAUUGCUGAAAUUUGUUCAAGUGUAGUCAAAUUUCAUACUUGAAAUAUAAAAUAGAAACCGAAAAUUUAUAUAUAGAAGAAAAUAGAACGUUAAUAGAAAUCUCGUUUUCAAAUAACCUUGAAAAUCAUUUAUUUUCAAAUAGAAAAUAAGCAUACUGAUAUUUUAAAAAUAGCAUGCUCAUUUGAAAAAAGCAUGUUCAAUUGAAAAUAAAAUAGAAUGAAUAUGCGGAUUUAAAAAUAGCAUGCUGCUUUGAAUAUACUAUUUUUAAAAUAUCACACUAUUUUAAAAAUAGCAUGCUGAUUUUAAAAAUAUGAUUUCAAAAAUAGCAUGCUACUUUUAAAAUUAUAAUGCUCUUUUCAAUAUGCUACUUUAAAAAUAACAUGCUGAUUUCAAAAAUAUCAUGCUAAUUUUAAAAAUAGCAUGCUACUUUUAAAAAUAUAAUGCUUUUUUCGAUAUGCUACUUUUAAAAUAGCAUGCUAUUUUCAAAAAUAUCAUGAUAAUUUUAAAAAUAGCAUGCUCUUUUCAAUAUGCUACUUUUAAAAUAGCAUGCUGAUUUCAAAAAUAGCAUGCUGAUUUAAAAAAAUCAUGUUCUUUUGAAUUUGAUAUUUUAAAAAAUAGCAUGCUAAUUUCAAAAUAACAGCCUCAUUCUAAAAAUAUAACGCCGUUUUUAAAAAUAUAACGCUGUUUUUAAAAAUAGCAUGUUGCUUUCAAAAUAACAGCCUCAUUCUAAAAAUAUAACGCUGUUUUUAAAAAUAUAACGCUAUUUUUAAAAUAGCAUGCUGAUUUCAAAAAUUACAUGCUUUUUGAAUAUGCUGUUUUGAAAGCAGCGUGCUGAUUUUGAAAACAGCAUUUUUUUAAAUUACGCUUUUUAAAAGAUAGCAUGUUUUUUAUUAUACUAUUUUUCAAAUAAAAAAACAUGCUGGUUUGCUUUGUUUUUGAAAAUAGCAUGCCAUGCCAUUUCGAAAGUAACAGAAACAUCAUUUUUUGCAUUGCAUUUUGACCCGCAAGUUUUUGUAUUGCGUUGCAUUUUUUUGUGCGACACACAUACAAACCGCAUUUACAAAAUAACUCGUACUAGCCAACACAAAAACCUUGUUCAAAAAUGAAAGUAGUGUCCAAUCCAUUUGAAACCCGGUUAGAUUUGAUUCUAAAAAUACUAGCAUCACUGUGGCAAAAAAAAGAAAAUACAAUUGCAGUCCAUAAAGAUAAUUAUAUCAAGGAGGGUACUAGGGUGCGUUAUAUAUAUAGACUUGCAUAGCAAGUACAUUACGCCACAUAGGGUACCACCAAGUUACUGCCAAGUUCCACUUACUGGACGAUCUUCAUACCCAGUCGGACCCAAAAGUUAUACCACCAAAGUACCAGUUACUACCAAGUACCAAUUACUACUAAGUUGCACUUAUUGGACCCAAAAGCUGAUACUACCAACUUGCAGUUACUGGCUACUACAUACAGAUAAUAAAACUAGCAUCAAACUACUGCCAUGGGUCAACGAAUCCUCAUGCCACUAACCAUGUUCACCCUAAGCCCACCUCCACUCCUUUCCAUGAACCUGAAGAUAGCCAUUUGAUCUUCUUUCAUUCUGGCUCCCUCAACGACUUCUCUCCAGUUCUUCGUCAUGAUCGCACGCCCAUCCUUCUUGCCCAUCUUGAACAAGACCUUUUUAUUACCUUCAAAAUGUUCGUUGGUGACACGCACAACCAUGGGCUUUCGCAGAUAAUCUUUGAAGUAGGCCUGACUGUAAUCCUUUGAGAAGAUCUGAUUGCACAGGGAAACAAAUAAUGUUACAUAAAAAAUUAAGUAUGAUUUGCACACACAAAAAGUAAGUAUGAUUUGCACAACCACGCCCGUCCUCCUCUCUGUCUCUACAUGAUGGCAUUUUCACUAGUGAAGUAUGAUUUGCAAAAAGAAAAGUCCAAGUGUUUACCAUCUUGCUCUUCCCUCUGAUGACUGCCGAGCGAGUGAUGGUGCUGACAUAGUAUGGUAUGGGAGGUUGGCACUGCUUUACUAUGGAUUUGAGAUAGUCCCACCGAUCCUCGUUUAGCGAUACAUGGUUCCCAUAGAAGAUGCGAUCCUCGAAAGUUACUUUUCUCACAAUGUAUCCCAGACCUGUAUCAAAAAAAAUUAAGAUGACAGAGUAGUAAAUAAUUUCAUACGUAAGAUCUAGAACAUCAGCAGUGGGUUAAUGAUCAAUGCCUACUCCAAUGAUCAAGAAAUGAAGGACAUAGAUAACCCAAUCACAUCCACCCAGCAAUAUCUCAUAGAAACAUGGGCAAAUUGAAUAUUUGAUUUAUUUAAACUAACAACUAAACACUCCUCUAUGUAAGCUCUAGUUCAGUCAAUGUUGAUUUGGAAGGUCAUCUAGAACCCAAACAGAGUAAUGUGUGGUAAUCAAGUGUCACUCAAACAUCAAGUUUUGAUAUUUCACGGUUCACUUAAUAUCUGACCAGUCAUAUAGAACUUUACCCCGUAGUGCCAAGAUAGGAUCAUGGUCCACAUCUCCAUCUCCAUCAGAACUAUCAUCAGUGUCAUAGUCGCUAGAGGUGUCAUCAUCACCGCUAUAGCCGUCACUCCCACAUGAAGUGCCAUCUGAAGCAUCAACUGAGGUGGUCCGGUGAUCACUCUCUUCACUGCUGAUGAGGAUGGUUUCCCUUGCCAUUCAAACCUGUUGCAUGCAUUGCAAUGAACAAAUGUUAGUUAUUGAUAUAUGAAAUCAGUCUUCCAUUAGGAAUUGUUAGCACCAUAUACAAUGUGAAUAAUCUUUUCGCAUACUUCUCGGUAAGUACGUAGUUCAUGUAUAAACAUCUACACGAAAAAUCUAGUCGACAACUAUUCACACGACUAGUCAAGAGUAGUGGUUAGACUCGUAAUCAUUGGGCAGACAUAACCAAUUAGGAUAUUUCAAGGUUACAAUUUUGUGAGCUGGACAAGAAAACUUGGUAACCAACCAAUUAGUAGCCAUGUACAAAUGAACCAUGAUUGACUGCUCUCAUCGAGCAAUACGUGAAACUAUAACUGAUCUGCCUUUGAUCACUGCAAAUUUCCUGAUGGGCUAUUGUGUGGUACCAUCAGGUAAUAAAUAUAAAGUCUUUAAAUUGUCUCAACAAAACAAAUAAUGCAUUUGCUGCUGUACAUACCAUUUUUAGAGGUAGCGGUGGAGGUUAAUUUUCCAAUUUCCAGUGAGAAUAAGGACAUGAUAGAAUCUCUCAAGCAAGAUGACAGCAUAGUGAAGGCUAUGAGAACGAGCAAGGUAUGCUGACAAAUAGUCACCCUUUUGUAUACUUGCUAUUUAUUUACUCAUUACUACCCAUACCAACAAGUAAAAUCAUGAUCAUGAAGUAUAAUGGCAGAAAAUCCAACAGUGAGGAAUUUGUUGCAACGUGAACUACUAGCUCACAACAAAUUUUCAUUGACCCCAACAAGACCAUACCAUAUCUUGGAGAUAGGCUGACAUAAUUCAAGUAAGCAGUAACAACAAUCAGCAAAAAUAUGCACCAACCAAAAAUAUUACAUGUGUGCACAUAUCAUCAAAAACAUGCACCAAUCAAGAGCAGUCUAUACUUGACAAAUCCUUCAAAAUAUGCACUAAUCAUCAUACUACCAUCGAGUAAUACAUGAAACUAUAACUAAUCCUCAUUCCAUCAUUACAAAUUUCCUCAUGGACUGCUUUUGUGCUCGCCUUUUUAGAUUUUAAUAACUAAGCAUCAGCAAAUACAUAUACACACUCUUCAAACUAUCCCAACAAACCGAAACAUGUGUAUGCUCCUGUGAAUAUACUUUUUCUAUAUCUAGCAGUGGGGGGUCAUUUUCCAGGGGAAAAACUACUUGAUAGCAUCUGUCAAGCAAGAUGAUGGCAUAUUAAGGCUAUGUCGACGAGCAAGGUAUGCUGGCCAACACCUACCUUUUUCUCUUACUUGCACGAAAGUGUUUACCCAUUACUACCCAUACGAACAAGUAAAACCAUGAUUAUGCAGUACAUUGUCAGAUUAUCUUGCUGUAAAACUACUUGUUGCAAUAUGACCUACUAGUUGACAGUAAAUCUGCGAAUACUCGAAAUAUGCACACAAGCAAGUGUCAGAUUUUAACUUGGGCAGUGCUGUCAGAUCGACAUUCGAAGGGCAGGGAAGAUCAAUCUUACCUACUAAGUGGUACCAGAUGGGCCUAGAGUGGACUUGUUUGAAGCUGGCACCACCGGAGCUUCGGGCGGCGCGACCAGGAUUGGGGAUGAAAAGUUGCGGUUGUUGGACCUUGCUGUCGACGAAGCAGUGGAGGAUCAUGGCCGGAGCAGGGGGGAGUGAGUGGCCUCGCGGAUCCGGCGGAUUUGACAACGACGGGGGCGGCCAAGGUGACGGCUUGGCAAACCCUAGCCAUCGCCCUCCGCGUCGCCUCUCUGUCUCUGCAAAGAACGAAGUGGAACGAAGUGGGGUGGGAUUGGGAUGGGGGUGGGGUUGGGGUUGGGGCCAUCACCCACUUUUCUCUCUGCCUCCCACUUGUACAGGCCCACAAAAGGAACAAAGUGUUGGGCCGGAUCAGAUGCAGAUUUGGCAGCUUUACCAAUUCUGGCCAAACAGAAAAGAUCAGCAUGAUCACAUGUGUUCUUUUGAAGAAACCCUAAAAAUACACUGCUGUUCAUAUUGCAUGUGGAUAAGUCUUUCAGUACACCAAUUGAUCUUGAAUAAUUUUAAGCACUCCACAGUAUAUAUAUAUAUGAAAAUAAUGGUUAACCAAUAAAAUGGUAAACUAUUAGAUGCAAGGUUACAAAUAUUUGAAAAAAUCAAUAAUUGAAUUGUAUGCAUUUUUAUGAUUAAUUUUAAUAAAUGUAACAUUUCUGCAAAAACUAUGAUAAUUAAAAUAUUCAUUGAUAUUUAAAAACAACAACAACCGCAAAUGACUACUUAUGCCAACCAGAACUUCUUCAGGGUUACGUUUAUUCAUCUAUUCUUUGGCAUGCUGGUUCUCAUAACGCCUUCUUCGGACCUUCUCUUUGUCUGACAAAUUCCUGAGAUAUUGGGCUAGCGCCUUGUGUUUCGCCCUCACACCAUGCUUCAUUUGGUAUCCUUUGGCAACUCCUUCGGCAUGCUCAAGAAUACUAACAAAAGCCGGGUCCAGAUAUUUGCCACAGAACGUGCAACGAUACGCCAUGCGCUUAAGCACGUUGCACUGUCCAUUCUGCAAUUCUUCAAGGGUUUUCUGAGUGUGUGCAUCCAUCUCUCCUUCGGAAAUGUCCGCAUAAUCAUGAGAAUAAGGCUGCAAGUUAAAAUUAUGUAUGAUAUAAGCUGCACCAUUGUUUACAGUACCUAAUAUUCCCUAAGUUUCAUACUGUAGUGCCUAUAAAUUAUUUUUAAAGUAAAUGUUUAUUAACUUUGAAAAUUUAAGGAGAAAAAAGCAAUAUCAAAUCCAUAUGAAAGCAUAAAUCAUAUCAUGUACUUUUAAAAAAAAUGUCAAUAAACAUGCACAACCUUUAUGAUGUCUGACUUUUGGCAUAAAACCAAAACGCACUAAAUUGUGGAGUGGAUGAACCAUUAAUUUCUCAAAGAUUGAUUGAAUAAAUAAUGAUCAUUACGUACUGAUGAUCAACAUUAUAUUUAGAGCUAGAUUCCAUUAUGCCAAUUCAACAAUGUAUCGAUGGUUUAAUGAUUAACCUCUAACCUUAAACUUGAAGACAGAUCUAUGGUUAAAAAAUUAAAAUUACCGUAACGGAAUUCCAGUCCAUGCCGUGCAUGUGCUGCUGCUUGUGAUCGACGACGGAGUACUGCACCUUGUUGACACGAUGCUUCUUUGGAUCGGACACCGAGUAGUACAAAGCUUUCUCGUGGGGAUCCUGAUCCAUGAGAUGGACGACGACGUCGGUGGUUAGCCCCGCAAGUCCACAAUCUGUCACGACGCCGUCCAUGACAGGCCCCUCACGUCCAUGGCCACGAUCUGUCACGACGGCCAAUCGACCUCCACGAGUGGAUUUCAUAUCCGGCGGCAGGGAGGCGGGCGUGUGAGCGGCGGCGAUGGUUUUAGAGCAUAACCUAGGGGGAGAGAUACGGGGAGUAAUUGGUAGUUACCUACUAUAGCGGAAAUACUUAUGAGAAAAAUUGAUUGGUCGGCAUUGGGCACCUUCAAUGCAGCGACGCUUAUUUAGGCGCUUAAUUAGGAUCCUGGAAAAAAAAUCACAAGCAUAGGCGCUUGGGGCAGGACCUAGGAACUGGAUUUUGUACAUCUACGUGAUGCAAUCCAAAGAUCGUGUCCGGGGUGGAUGGGUUGGGGAUUGAAAAUUGUGUACAUAAACCCUAAUUCUCAAGACUUGUGGAAACAUCAUAUCAAAUUGUCAUCAAGUGAUCUAGUAUUACUUGGAUCGAGACUUUGUGAUCAUCAUGUAGCCACGCCACAAACAUGAUGGUUCUAGUAUUACUUGGAUCAACACCUUAGGCAGCAAACUAGUGCAUUUCCUUUUUGAGUCACCAUCUUCCUUCUUGAAAACCACAUGUACACACUCAUCAUGUAUACCAUAACACAUCAAAAUCUGUUAACGAGUGCUCACAAGCUUAACUAGCUUCAAACGAACCUAGCCAAUCAGGGUUUUAUGCUACUUAAUCUAAAUGAGCCAAUGAUUAAUAAGCACGAGUUUAACAAGCAGAGAUGCCAAACAACACACCAAUUAGCAUAGUUCUACCUUAGUUCAACGCUUCCAUAUAUGCAAAAGCAAGCACCACUUAGUAGUACUGGUGCACAUAGUUCAACCAUAAAUGUUCACCAACAAAGUAUAGCAUACGAUAGUACUUAGCAUAGUUAAAACCAAAAGAGCAUCAGUUCUAGCUGCGAGGGUGCGCACUUCCCUAAAUCAUCAAAGAAUCCUCAUCAAGUAGUCGGCAUACCCGGCGUGCUUCACCGUGAAAGCGUAGCCAUUAUUGAUGCUGCCUUGGGAUGUUCCGACUGCAUGGUUGAUGGUACUCGACAGGUCGCCUUUCAUCACCUUGUUGCAGUAAGGGCAUCCGUAGCCCUUUCCGAAUCUAGGCCUCACAGCUUUCUCGGGCUCACCACUGUUCAGCUGCCUCAAUUUCUGCCUCCUGAAGAUCCUCUGGGUUUCUGGGUCGCUAUCGACGUCGUCACUUAGGACCUACAUGUAGUACAAAAUGUUGCGUAAGUAUAUUUAAUAUGAUAAUUCAGCAGUCACAUAGUCUAUGAAACAUAAUGUAAUUGAUGACAACGUAAAAUAUCUUCAAAUGACGUUGAAAAAAUAAAUGCAUAACUUAUUAGUUGCUACAUAAGCAACUAAAUGGGAUAGUACCAUAUAGUAAAAAAAAGAAGGAUCAACCAUACAUGUCGAAGAGAGCACUAGCAUUGCCACAUUUUGCCACACAUUUUUCCCAAGCUUGCCUAAGGUUAGUUCAUCAAAAUGAGAGCCACAAGUUGGCAAGCCGAAGGAACCUUGCCACACUUAUUGUGUGUAUGCCAUGUGGGACCCAAGUGUGGCCUGCCUAAGGUGUGGCUGGAACCAAACACUCAGUUAAGUUGGUCAAACUUGCCUAACCUUAGGUAUGUCAAUCUUUGGCAAAGUUAGUCACAAACCAAACAACACUUUAGUGCAACAAAAUUCACUUGUUACGUAAAAAUGCAUGAACUGAUGAUCUAACAUGGCAGAGCAGCAUACAUAUGUACUAAUGCAAAAAAAGACUUAUAACUUACAUGCAUGAUUAGAUAAAAUAGCUCGUGAGCUGUAUCUAUUUAGGGUUAGAAUUUUGUGUGCUUAUGAUGAUGGAUAUUGAAAGUCCCCAUGUUAUCGUCGUGGAAGUUUCCCCUGUUGAUCGAUACCCCACCCAUCAAUGUUCCUGAACCAUUCAACGUUCUUGGUAAAGUAGUUAAUUAUUAUGAAUUUUGACAAUAAGUGAUCCCAAAUGUUGUACUUACAAAAAAGGGUUUUUAUCAUUUAUACCACCAGUUGUGUCCCACAACUAAGUAUCACCACUAGGAAUUUCUACUACUAAAAAAAGCCAUCGCUUCGUUAGACACAUGCUUAAAAAUGCCACUGCACAUCAUUAUUGUGAUAUCAAAUCUAUCUUGACAUGCUAUAAUGGCAUCAAUACCUAUGGACCAACAUGCCAGCUCUCCCUCUAUCUCACUACAAUAAAGUGUGGGCCCACUUGAUCCCAUCAACGUUCUUAUUUUCCUGAAUUUUUUUUUGCUUACUUACUCCUCACAAGUGCGGCCACACUUAUCAUUGUGAGAUAGAGAGAACUGAAAUGUGGGCCUGGGAUUUUUUUGUCAUAUUGGAUGGUCAACAAGUUUUACAUGAAAAUAACAAUGUCUAAUGGCAUUAUUGAGCAAACAUCUAAUGGAACGAUGUCAUUUUUGAUACAUCUAAUGGCAUUUUUGAGUAAGCAUCUCACGAACCGAUGCCAUUUUUGAGCGGCUGUAACUUCUAAGGGAAAAACUGAGUAGUGGGAUACAACUGGUGGCAUAAAUGAUAAAAACCCUACAAAAGAACUAAUUAAAACAACUCAAGUAAAACAUUGAUGAUAUCCAAUUUCUUUCUAAAAUAGCCAUUGCUUAGAGAUAAUCAAUGUUUAAAAUCAUUGCCACAGCCAGUUAUGGAACAUUUAAACCAAAGAUUGAUCUAGUGCAACCAAAUAUGUACUCAACAUUUUAAUACCUUAUUUGCCUUGUACUGACCAGGGAAAACCUAGGAUAUUACAAAAUAAAUAAAUAAAUAAAUAAAGGGGAUAGACGACUAACCUCUUCUUCGUUCUCAUCGGCGACGACCACAGGUGGGGGCAGGGGAGGCAAGAACCGCGGCAGACGAACACCCGGCUGAGGCUGAGGAGCCACCACCUGCUUCGGUAGAGAAGCCAGAGGAGCUACCUGUUCUGGAUUAUUAGCAGAAUAAUUUAUAUAGGCCAAAAACUGACAUAUACAUGCCUCGAUAAAUGUAAUCUAGCUACACAGUUGUGGAUCAGGGAUUUCAUACUUGGGUGUUCAAAAAUUUAUAUUGCAAACUAAAACCACAACAAUAUUUUUCAAAUGGAGGGAGUAAUAUCUAAAAUUUUCAUGUGAAAUGAUUCUUUGUCCAUCGUAAUGAUAGUACUGAUAUGAAUGAUAGAAAAUGAAGAUUAUUUACUUCAUGACCAUAGAAUAUGACAUUUCAUAAACAAGGCAUGGUGUUGUUAUCCUUAAGUUGCAGAAAAUAUUUUCACAAUCACCUACGUAGGCAAUUCAAUUCCAAGGUCAAGCUACGUAUUUGUAUUAACGUAUUUGUAUUAGCACAGCCACCAAACCUAGGUGGAUUUAUUAGCAGAAUAAUUUAUCUAGACCAAAUAUUGCCUAUACAGGGCUCAACACAUGUAGCCUAACUAGUUACCUAACACAUCUAUAGAAUAUUGAUAUGGAGUCCAUCGACCAAAGAUAAAAAGAAACCCUGGACUUCCCCAAAAAUAGACAAAAGGACUGACCAGAGCACACCUAGGAUUUUACAAAACAAUUAAAGGAGAUAGAUGACUAACGUCUUCUUUGUUGACAUCGCCAACGACCACAGGCUCGGGCACAGGAGGUGUCACCCGCGGCAGAGGAGACACCUGCUCCGUCUGAGGAACCAGAGCAGCUACCUGGUCCCACAUAAAUAGCAGAAUACUUUAUAUAGAUCAAAAAAUGGCAUAUACAUGCCUAAACUAAUGCAACCUAGCAACAUAGCUUCGGACCCAGGAAUUCAAAGUUGGGUGUUCAAAAAUUUAUAUUGCAAAACAAAACCACAACAAUAUUUUUCAAACGGCUAAGAUCAAGUUGGCUUUUGAGUCCAGAAGGCAUUCUUCUGCCUCUGCUUCUGUUACUCAAGAAAUUAAAGAGUUAGGAGUAAUAUCUAAAAUGUUCAUGUGAAAAUAUUAUUUUUCCAUCAUACUGACAGUACACACAUGAAUGAUAGAAAAUGAAGAUUAUUUACUAUGACAUUUUCGUAAAAAAGGCAUGGUGUUGUUAUCCUUUACUUGCAGAAAAUAUUAUGCUGAAAAUAAGCAACCAAAUAAUAUAUUUCAAGUAGGGAUGAUAACAAGUCUAAAAUAUUACAGCCUAUGGUAAUUGGACUCCAGGAAUCAAGCAAUUGGUGUUGAGCAAAUUGAACGACAAAAAAUGUGUCAGCUGGAUUAAGCGUGAGAGGAUAGUUUUAUACAAAUUGACAUGAAGUUUAGUGCACAAACUACACCACUUUUAGUCCAUUUAGCAAUAAAAGAACCAUAUAUAAGAAAUUUCAGUCAAAAAAUUUCGGGUGGUUGGUAGAUCUAUCUUAAAAUUUGGCAUCAAAACAUUUUGGAUGCACGAGAGCCAUGGAUCAGAGUGGUUGGUAGAUCUUAAAAACAAGAUAACCUAUACAAUGAGGAGCCGACCCCCACACCCAUGCGCCCAUGUGGAUCCGCCCUUGAAACCUACCAGAUCUAACGAAUCUUGGUAUGGAUUUCAUAGAUGGAAGAAAAGCAGAAACCCUAGCCAUGCCCAAAAAUAGAUAAGGACUGAACAAGGAAACCUAGGAUAUUUCCUAAAAUAGGACUGACCUCUUCUUCGUCGUUGUCGCCGUCAACGUUGACCACGGGCUGUGGCAGAGGAGGCUGAUGGCGUGGCAGAGGAGGCAGAUGGCAUGGCAGAUGAGUCACCUGCUCCGGCGGAGGAGCCACCUGCUCCGGCAAAGGAGCCACCUGCUUCGGCGUAGGUGGCACCUGCACCAGAGCCUGGACGUGGUCGACGAUGUCAAGGCCGCCCUGCUGCUGGCUGGACACCUCGCCGGCGGGGAGGGGUUUCUCCAUGUGCAGCUUCGCCCGGCGCUUGGAUGCUUCGUGUGCCAUGGCGUCGGCCCCGGCGUCGGCCCUCCCUCCCAUGGUGCACUUGGGCAUCUCGACGGCGGAGGUGCAGCGGCAGGAAGGGAGCAGCGGUGGGAAGGGAGCAGCAGCGGGAUGGGCAGGCGAGUGGUAAGGCGUGAGAGGAGAAAACCCCCGUAUUUGUGGAUGGAUAAGAGGACGGGAAGAGGGGGGUGGCGAUGAGAUAAAUGCUAAUGGGGAAGCAGAGCAUGCUAUGGGGAAGCGGAGCCGUCGAUUUAUUCCUGGGCAGCCAAAAGGAGUUGUUGCCACGUUCACACCUCCCCGUGCAUUGUUCAAACCACCACGUCUUGGCACGUCAAAACGUAACUUUCACUUCUCACUAAAAUGAAUAGCCCGAUCGUGCACAACCAUGAUUUAGGGGUAAUGCAACUUCCCUUAAAAAAUUGUGUAAUGCAACUGCUCCCUCAUUACACAGAACAAAAUCAUACAGUGGGACAACUGAAUUUGUAGGCUUGUUUCAUCUGCACAUGUCAUGUUUUAUAUUGUCCUAAAAUAUGUUGUAAAACUUUACAAACAAUGGAAUGGCAAAUGGAUGUGACAAAACUUCGUCAGCAACCGCGCGGAUUCGUCUGCCAUAUAUCCGAUGUCCGGUACCGAGGAGGGGAAUGUUGAUCCACGCGAUGCCAUGUGUUUCGUCUAGACCCAUAUCAUGCACCCCGAGCCAACCGGGCCAAAACAUGUGCCGCUAGCCUUCUCGAUCCAAACAACGAGCUAGUGUCCACCAUGCACAGAGAUGCUCAUGUGGACAGGUUUGCUAGCACUAGUGAAUGACGUCGGAUCUCGGCGUGCAAUAUGUGUAGCCGCGUGUCUCUUUGGUGUGCCUGCCAUACCGAAGGGACUCGUCGAAGGUCCAACGAACCACGGUGGGGUCAAUGAUGGAUGUAUGGUGUGGGUCAACCUGGCUAAUGGUGCAUGGUUUGAGUUUAGGUGGCUAGGUUUGCAUGGCUGGGGGGCUAGAUGGCUAAUGAGCGCGCAUGUGUCAUCUGUACAUUGUCAAGGUUGAAUGGUGGUUGUCUACGUGGCCAUGCAUGCAUGCAUGGUGUGGGUCCAGUUUACGUGCGGCGCACCGGAUGUGCCUUGGUGGGUAGGGCCCACAACUUGCGGCCCAGAGUUUUGAAGCAGAUGAAGGGGCGGGCCCCGAUCUUCGUCCACAAGCAGGACCCUCUCGGUGGCUAGCUCCGGGAUGCGUUUUGGUCUCGUUUACACACAACCUAUGUGAAGGCUUAUGCGUGCCGCUCUUGAUGCUCAACCACACCCACACCGCGAAAGGUCCCAAGAAAUUUGGAUCCCUCAUGAAUUUGCACGGAUUAUAGCGGCGGAAGACGAGACCCGGCAUUUUUGCCCUUAACAAUGGCUCUGAGGCGGCCCUGCCAAUUGGUCGCACAUGGCACAUAUAUGGACCAGAGCUUAGCAUGGAACUGUCACCCCCAAUCCCUGUUGUGAUUUCCUGUGGCCGCGGUAUAGAUCAUGCAUUUCCGAGGAUACUACCCUAGAAAUGCGGCAAAUGUCCCGAAUAUGGCAAGCGCGGGCUCCGAGAAAGGCUGGGACCUUGCAUGCGCUUUUUGAUUGUUCUCCUUGACCCGAGAGAGAGCAUCGACGAAAAUGGAAGAACGGGCCUGCAUUCAUUGUGCAAACCGGACAUGUUACCUCAAGGUAGCUAGAUCCAAACCAUGCACCCCCGCCGUCUAGACCCACGUGGUGCACCACUUAGACACUAGACCCACAUCACUUAUGCCGGCCCCCAAGCCAACCAUUCCCCAUGUAGACUCAUAUGCCGCACCCCACAAAAUAGCUUAGCACAAGACUUCCACCCCGAUUUCCACAACAUGCACCACUACAUGUAAGUGUCCAAAAAAUGGACUAUCGCAUUAUCAACAUUUUUUUGCCAAAACAUGUAAGUUGUUUUUAAAUUGCUUGGAAAUAGCAAGGUUUCUGUUAAAUUAUAAUUUCAUUAAUUACACAUUAUAAUGUGCAUUUUUUGUCCCUCAAAAAGGGGUGCAUUCCUUUUUUGUAAACCCACAAAAUUACUUCCUUUCCCUCGAAAAAAUGAAUCCUUCUUCACCCUCUCAUGAUCACGUUCACGUUCACGGUGGCCUCACCCUAUAAUCUAGGAGUGGUCGAUCCAAUCUCCCCACGGGGGACAACUUCCACGCACUAUCUAUCUUGGUUGGUUGCAACCAUCUCGCCAUCACGGUUUUUUAUGGGAAAAUCACAUUCUUUUGUUUUUCCUUCCAAAGAUGUGUGGCGAAAAAACAUGGAACAAAAAUUGUAGAAGGCAUGGUGGGAUACGUGCACAUGUUGUCUUUUUGUACUACAAGUGCACUUGUUGGCAAGUUGCAUGUGCACGUGUCAUGUUUCAUUUUUUAUUGAAAAUUAUGUUGUACACCUUUACAUAGACGCUUGAAUUAUUGUUUUCGUAUGUUAAUAAUUCCUAAAUAUUGAAAUUUAGCAUGCACAUAACACAUGGCUUCUAAGCUUCGUCAGUGACCGCUUGGAUUCGUCUGGUAUAUGCCCGUUGUCUGGUAUUGGGCGGGGGAAUGUGGAUCCAUGCGAUGCCAUGCGUUUCAUCUGGACCCAUGUCAUGCACCCCCAGCCAAUCGGGCCGACAUCAUGUGCCGCUAGGUUUCUCGAUCCUAACCAUGCGCUAGUGUCCACCAUGGGUAGAGAUGCUCAGGUGCACAGGUUUGCUGGCACUAGUGAAUGACAUCGUAUCUUGGUGUGCAAUAUGUGUAGUCGCGUGUUGCUUUGACAUACCUGGCAUGCCGAGGGAAGGGACUCGUGUCGGAGGUCCAACAAACCGAGGUGGGGUCAAUAAUGGAUGGAUGGUGUGGGUGAACCUGGCAAACGAUGCAUGGUUUGAGUGAAGCUGGCUAGGUGUGCAUGGCUGGGGGCUAGAUGGCUAAUGAGUGCGCAUGUGUCUUGUGUACAUUGUCAAGGUUGACCGGUGAGUGUCUACUUGGCCACGCGUGCAUGCAUGGUGUGGGUCCAGUUGGCGUGCAGCGCACGGGACGAGCCUUGGUUGCUAGGGUCCACAUCUUGCGGCACAGAGUUCUGAAGUAGAUGAAGGGGCAGGCCCCGCACACCGUUCAUAGGCCAGACUCGUUUCCUCUCAAUGGAUAAUGGCUCCGAGGCGACCCUUCUCUUUGGUGGCACAUGGCCCAUAUAUAUGGACCAAAGAGCUUAGCAUGUGAUUGUUUCCCCAUUAACUGCUAUGAUUUCAUGUGGGCGCGGUAUAGAUCGUGAAUUCCCGAUGAUACUACCCUAGAAAUGCGGCAAUUGUCCCGAAUAUGGCAUGCGGGACCCAAAAAAGGCCGGGACCUAGCAUGCGCGUUUGGAUUGUUCUCCGUUGACCCGAGAGAAAGCACCAAUGAAAACGGAGGAACGGGCCCGCACUCAGUGCACAAACCGGAUGCGUUACCUCAAGGUAGCUAGAUCCAAACCAUGCACCCCCGCCGUCUAGACCCACGUGGUAAACCACUUAGACACUAGACCCACAUCACUUACGCCACCCCCCAAGCCAACCAUUCCCCAUGUAGACUCAUAUGCCGCACCCCACAAAAUAGCUUAGCACAAGACUUCCACCCCGAUUUCCACAACAUGCACCACUACACGUAAGUGUCCAAAAAAUGGACUAUCGCAUUAUCAACAUUUAUUUGCCAAAACAAGUAAGUUGUUUUUAAAUUGCUUGAAAAUAGCAAGGUUUCUGUUAAAUUAUAAUUUCAUUAAUUACACAUUAUAACGUGCAUUUUUUUGUCCCUCAAAAAGGGGUGCAUUCCUUUUUUGUAAACCCACAAAGUUACUUCCUUUCCCUCGAAAAAACGAAUCCUUCUUCACCCUCUCACGAUCACGUUCACGUUCACGGUGGCCUCACCCUAUAAUCUAGGAGUGGUCGAUCCAAUCUCCCCACGGGGGACAACUUCCACGCACUAUCUAUCUUGGUUGGUUGCAACCAUAUCGCCAUCACGGUUUUUAUGGGAAAAUCACAUUCUUUUGUUUUUCCUUCCAAAGAUAUGUGGCAAAAAACAUGGAACAAAAAUUGUAGAAGGCAUGGUGGGAUACGUGCACAUGUUGUCUUUUUGUACUACAAGUGCACUUGUUGGCAAGUUGCAUGUGCACGUGUCAUGUUUCAUUUUUUUAUUGAAAAUUAUGUUGUACACCUUUACAUAGAUGCUUGAAUUAUUGUUUUCAUAUGUUAAUAAUUCCUAAAUAUUGAAAUUCAGCAUGCACAUAACACAUGGCUUCCAAGCUUCGUCAGCGACCGCUUGGAUUCGUCUGGUAUAUGCCCGUUGUCUGGUAUUGGGCGGGGGAAUGUGGAUCCAUGCGAUGCCAUGCGUUUCAUCUGGACCCAUGUCAUGCACCCCCAGCCAAUCGGGCCGACAUCAUGUGCCGCUAGGCUUCUCGAUCCUAACCAUGCGCUAGUGUCCACCAUGGGUAGAGAUGCUUAGGUGCACAGGUUUGCUGGCACUAGUGAAUGACGUCGUAUCUCGGUGUGCAAUAUGUGUAGUCGCGUGUUGCUUUGACAUACCUGGCAAGCCGAGGGAAGGGACUCGUGUCGGAGGUCCAACGAACCGAGGUGGGGUCAAUAAUGGAUGGAUGGUGUGGGUGAACCUGGAAAACGGUGCACGGUUUGAGUGAAGCUGGCUAGGUGUGCAUGGCUGGGGGCCAGAUGGCUAAUGAGUGCGCAUGCGUCUUGUGUACAUUGUCAAGGUUGACCGGUGAGUGUCUACUUGGCCACAUGUGCAUGCAUGGUGUGGGUCCAGUUGAUGUGCGGCGCACGGGAUGAGCCUUGGUUGCUAGGGUCCACAUCUUGCGGCACAAAGUUCUGAAGCAGAUGAAGGGUCAAGCCCCUGAAAGCACAAGUGCUCCCUAGGUGGUUUUGGUAAUUAAUGUCAACAUAUCUCUUGUUGGACUAACACUUUUAUCUAGUAUAUUUCAGAUAAGUUCAACAAUGCAGUGGCAUGGACUAAAGGAUGUGGGAACUCCUUCAAGAUGCUAAGGACAAAGGAUUGGCUCAAGCUUCAAGCUCAAGACUCUUCAUUUUACAUUUCAGUGAUCCAAGAUCACAUUGAGUCUAUAGGAAAAGCCAAUACUAUCAAGGAGGGAUGAGGUGUUGCUUAAUGAGCCUCUUGCUUCAAGUGCUUAGUGAUAUGCUCCAAAUACCCUCAACUGCUUUCCCACUUCCACACAUAUGUCCUAAACCUAAAGUCAAACUCGGCCCCACUGAUUCUUUCUAUCCGGCGCCACCGAGUUUGGAUAUCUUAGCCACUGCCACAAACCCUAAGCAAAUCGGUUUCACCGAUAGGGAUCUUGGUCUCACCGAGAUGGGAUUGUAAUCUCUCUGUGUAUGUCCAUUAUCAAAAUCUGUCUCACUGAAUUUGAGCAAUCGGUACUACCGAGAUUACAAUGCAAACUUCUUGGUUGACUCAUUACCAAAAUCGGUCCCACUGAGUUUGAUAAUCGGUCCAACCGAGUUUGCCUGACCAAUUCCCUAGUUAGCUAAUUACCAAAAUCGGUCCUACCGAGUUUGUGUAAUCGGUCUCACCGAGAUUACGUUAAGCCCUAACCCUAACCAUAUCAAUCCUACCGAGUUGUAUUUCGGUCCCACCAAAAAUCCUAACGGUCACUAAAUUUGCUAAAUCGGUCCGACCGAGUUUCUCAAUUCGGUCCCACCAAGUUUGGCAAAUUGUGUGUAACGGUUAGAUUUUGUGUGGCGGCUAUAUAUACCCCUCCACCUCCUCUUCAUUCGUGGAGAGAGCCAUCAGACUAAACCUACACUUCCAACAUCCUAUUUCUGAGAGAGAACUACCUACUCAUUUGUUGAGGCCAAGAUAUUCCAUUCCUACCAUAUGAAUCUUGAUCUCUAGCCUUCCCCAAGUUGCUUUCCACUCAAAUCCUCUUUCCACCAGAUCCAAAUCCUAUGAGAGAGAGUUGAGUGUUGGGGAGACUAUCAUUUGAAGCACAAGAGCAAGGAGUUCAUCAUCAACGCACCAUUUGUUACUUCAUGGAGAGUGGUGUCUCCUAGAUUGGCUAGGUGUCACUUGGGAGCCUCCGACAAGAUUGUGGAGUUGAACCAAGGAGUUUGUAAGGGCAAGGAGAUCGCCUACUUCGUGAAGAUCUACCGCUAGUGAGGCAAGUCCUUCGUGGGCGACGGCCAUGGUGGGAUAGACAAGGUUGCUUCUUCGUGGACCCUUCGCGGGUGGAGCCCUCCGUGGACUCGCGCAACCGUUACCCUUCGUGGGUUGAAGUCUCCAUCAACGUGGACGAUAGCACCACCUAUCGGAACCACGCCAAAAACAUCCGUGUCUCCAAUUGCGUUUGAAUCCUCCAAAACCCUUCCCUUUACAUUCUUGCAAGUUGCAUGCUUUACUUUCCGCUGCUCAUAUACUCUUUGCAUGCUUGCUUGCUAUGUGUUGUGAAUGUUAAACUUGUGCCUAAACUCCACUCAAACUUAAAAGGGCUAAAAACUGCAACUUUGGUACUAAGUGUCUAAUCACCCCCCUCUAGACACCUCUUCUCAAGGUCCUACAAGUGGUAUCAGAGCAUUGGUCUCCAUUGCUUUGGUUUAAUCACCAUUGGAGGAAGAUGGAUGAGUCUACUUUGGGGAGUCUUAGACAUAGAGUGCCUAUUCUUGAUGGAGAGUAUUUUCAUGAGUGGAAAAAUGAGAUGCUUGUAAUCUUCAAUCAAUAUCAUUUGAACAAGUACAUUGCUAGUCCUUGUGCACCUUGUGUUGAUCCUAUGCAUCCUACCCUUGAUGAGUCUAUUGACAUGAUUAGGAAUGUUAGAACUGUUAAUCUUAUCACUAGAGGCUUGCCUAGAAACUUGAUUAUAAAACUGCCUACUCUUGAGUGUGCCUACACUAUAUGGAAAUUUCUUGAGGAACGAUUUCUAGAUUAUUCUUUGAAAAAUCUUGAUGAAAUUCUUCAUAAGUCUAUUGCCUUGAGUAAGAUGAAUACUAGUGAUCCUAUGUUUGGUGAUUGUCUAUUUGAGCUUACAAACCUUAUGCGUGCCAAAGGAAAUGUUGGUAUUAUUAGUGAUAUUAUUUCCGAAGCUAUAAAAAUUCAUAGACAAGAUCAUUGUCAAAAUCACUCUAACGAAUCACCCUCUCUAGGAUUUGAUCCACCACAUGACGAUGUUGAACAUGGAUACUAUGAUGAGGAUGAUGAUAGUGACUUCAAUCUUGAUGAUGCAAUGAGACAUUUUGGUCUUAUGGCAAAUCUUCGGGGAUAUAUGUCAGGAGGAAAGGAAUGGGUCCUUGAUAGUGGAUGUACCGAUCACAUGACCGGAGAUAAAGACAUGUUUCGUGAGCUUGCUGAUAAUGAUAGUCCUCGAAAGUAUGUCACUUUCGGUGACAACUCAAAGGGUAAGGUGGUUGGCCUUGGUAAGGUGGCCAUCUCACAUGAUAGCUCCAUACAAAAUGUCAUGCUCGUUGAAUCUCUUGGAUACAACUUACUUUCAGUAUCUAGACUUGCUGAUUUCAGUUUCAAUGUUUUAUUUACUGAAGUUGAUUGCCAAGUGUUUCGUCGAGACAAUCAUAAAAUGGUCUUUACCGGCAUACGUAGAGGUGAUCUAUACAUUGUUGAUUUCACUAAAAAGGCUCAACCUAAAACUUGCUUCAUUGCUAAAUCCUCAAAAGGUUGGUUAUCGCAUAGACGACUAGGUCACGUUGGCAUGAGAAACCUUGACAAUCUUAUUAAAGGGAAUCAUAUCCUUGGAGUUAACAAUGUCAUUUUUGAUAAGGAUAGACUUUGCAGUGCUUGUCAAGAAGGUAAACAGGUUGGAGGAAGGCAUCCCGUGAAGAACAUCAUGACCACAAAGAGGCCACUCGAGCUACUUCACAUGGAUCUCUUUGGUCCCAACUCUUACAAGAGUCUCGGUGGAAAUUCUUUUGGUCUAGUUAUAGUUGAUGAUUUUUUCAGAUUUACGUGGGUGUUCUUUCUCGAUGAUAAAUCGUAGGUUCAGAAGAUCUUCAAAAACUUCGCUAGGAAGGCCCAAAAUCAAUUUGAAGUGAAGAUCAAGAAGGUUCGCAGUGACAACGGAAUGGAGUUCAAGAACGCAAAUGUGGACACCUUUCUUGACGAAGAAGGGAUUUCACACGAGUUCUCGGCUACGUACACACCUCAACAAAAUGGAGUUGUUGAGAGGAAGAACCGGGCGCUCAUCAAAAUGGUGAGAACGAUGCUUGAUGAGUACAAGACGCCGAAGCACUUUUGGGCAGAAGUGGUUGAGACAGUUUGUCAUGCAACAAAUCACUUGUAUCUUCACAAGCUACUCGGCAAGACGGCAUACGAGCUCCUCACCAGUAACAAACCCCAAGUUGGAUACUUUCGAGUAUUUGGCUCAAAGUGCUACAUUCUUGAUAAGCAUCAUCGUUCUAAAUUUGCUCCUAAGUCCCAUGAAGGUUUCCUACUAGGUUAUGGCUCAAACUCUCACACAUACCGUGUCUACAACAAUUUCACCCGAAAGGUUGAAGAUACGGUAGAUGUGAAGUUUGAUGAAUCUAACGGCUCGCAAGUAGAGCAAUUGCCAAUUGAUGUAGGAGACAAAGAUCCUUCGGAAGCAAUCCAAGACUUGUCUAUUGGCAAGGUCCGUCCAACGGAGGUGAAGGAGAGUACCUCAUCUGUCCAAGUGGAAGCUUCUACUUCACGACAUGGUGAACCAAGAGUUUAUAUGGAAGCAUCCACAAGUGGGACACACCAAGGUGAAGGAAACGAGGAAGUGCAUCAAGAUGAACGUCAACAACCUCCUUCUCCACCACGACAAUAGAACGACAACGCCAACAAUGAAGAAGGCCAAGAAGAAGAAGAAGAUGAAGAAUAAGUUCAACCAAGAACCAAGCAAAAGCUUUCACGAGUUCGAGCAAGAAUUGCUAAAGACCAUCCCGUCGAGAAAAUCUACAAUGAUAUUCAAACCGGGAGAAUCACUCGCUCUAAAACUCGUUUAGCUAACUUUUGUGAAAACUAUUCUUUCAUCUCUAGCAUUGAACCUAUGAAGGUUGAAGAAGCAUUGGAAGAUCCGGAUUGGAUAAAUGCUAUGCAUGAAGAGCUACACAACUUUGAGAGGAACCAAGUUGGGACAUUGGUUGAGAAGCCCGACAACAACCACAACAUCAUUGGUACCAAAUGGGUGUUUCGCAACAAGUAAGAUGAAGAUGGACAAGUAGUUCGCAACAAAGCACAGCUCGUCGCCCAAGGCUACACACAAAUCGAAGGUAUGGACUAUGGUGAGACUUAUGCUCCCGUUGCUAGACUUGAGUCUAUUCGCAUCUUACUUGCCUAUGCUAAUCAUCAUGAUAUCACAUUGUACCAAAUGGACAUUAAAAGUGCUUUUCUAAAUGGUGAAAUAGAGGAGGAAGUUUAUGUUAAACAACCUCUCGGCUUUGUCAAUCCUAAGAAACCCAAUCAUGUUUACAAACUUCACAAAGCUCUUUAUGGUCUUAAACAAGCUCCUAGAGCAUGGUAUAAAUGCUUGACCAAGUUCCUUAUUGAAAAAGGCUUUGAAAUUGGGAAAAUUGAUUCUACUCUUUUUACUAAAAGGGUUAAUGGAGAAUUAUUUGUAUGCCAAAUUUAUGUUGAUGAUAUUAUAUUUGGUUCAACUAACCCUCAUUUUAGUGAAAAGUUUGGGAAGCCAGUGUCGGAGAAGUUUGAGAUGUCUAUGAUGAGUGAACUCAAAUUCUUUCUUGGGUUGCAAAUCAAGCAAACUAAGGAAGGUACUUUUGUCUCUCAAACAAAGUACACUAAGGACUUAUUCAAGAAGUUCAAUAUGCAAGAAUGCAAAGGUAUGUCUACACCCAUGCCUACUAGUGGACAUCUUGAUUUGACCAAAGAUGGUGAACCGGUCGAUCAAAAGGUUUAUCGCUCUAUGAUUGGUUCAUUGUUAUAUCUAUGUGCUUCAUGUCCCGAUAUUAUGCUAAGUGUGUGCAUCUGUGCACGAUGUCAAGCUGCUCCUAAAGAAUGUCAUCUUAAGGCUAUGAAAAGGAUAGUGAGAUACUUAAUACAUACACCAAAUUUUGGCAUUUGGUAUCCUAAGAGGGCCUCUUUUGAUCUUGUCGGCUACUCUGACUCAGACUAUGCCGGAGACAAGGUUGAUAGAAAGUCCACUUCGGGUACUUGUCAAUUUCUUGGUAGAUCUCUUGUGUCUUGGUCCUCCAAGAAACAAAACUCGGUAUCCUUAUCCACUGCCGAAGCGGAAUACAUUGCCGCUGGUUCAUGUUGUGCUCAAUUACUUUGGAUGACUCAAACUCUUAAAGAUUAUGGGAUAUAUGUGAAACAUGUUCCAUUGCUUUGUGACAAUGAAAGUGCUAUCAAAAUUGGUCAUAAUCCUAUGCAACAUUCUCGAACUAAGCAUAUUGAAGUUCGUCAUCAUUUCAUUCGAGAUCAUGUUGCUAAGGGUGACAUUGAUCUUAAGCAUGUUCGCACCGAAAAGCAAUUAGCGGAUAUAUUCACUAAACCUCUUGAUGAGAAAGUGUUUUGCAGGUUGAGAGGAGAAUUUAACAUCAUUGAUGCUUCAAACUUGGAGUAGAAACUCCAUUGGAUACAUGCAAGACAUGAGCUUAUGACUAAUCUUGAUAUUUCUCUUAUGAUGAAAAUCAUAUAUCUUGGAUAUAUUCGCAUCUUGCAUGUUAUCUAACCCAUGUAGGUACUUGGUUGAAUCAAAUUCCAUGAGAUUGUAAUCUACUCAUAUCUUGAGCAAUCUCUACAUCACCAAGUCUCUACACAAAGGUGGUUGAAGACAAGGAAGCACGAAACCAUUCAAACAUAUCCUCUGACAAAUUCUAUGUUAAGCUUCAUGAUUUUCAUUUUUGGAUACACAAGUGCUCUUCCUUGCAAGAACUAACCCAUGUAGGUAGAUGGACUCAAAUUCCAAGUGGUGCACCAAAUUCUUGAUGAGCUACAUCAACCUCGAGCAACUCACACAAGUUCAACUACAUGGACACCACCACCAACCAAGGUAUGUUAUUCAAUCUUAGAGAAGCUUUACUCCAAGUCAUGAGCUAAAGCAACUCGACAAGAUGUGAAUACAUCAAGAUGCUUAAUCGAAAAAUGGCAACCCCAUUUUGAUCUUAAAUGAUGAGUAUGACCUAUGAUCAAGUGAUCUCACUUGACUCCUAAGUCAAUAUACUCUAACGUAGGUGACUUCGUCGCCGACCAUCUCUAGAUGAAGUUCUCUUGUGUUUUCUUCUAUGUUUUUGCAUUUGUCUCAUGCAUAUUUGUUUCCCCUUUCAAAAAAAAACUUCAUCUAGAUUUCUUUCUUUUUAUUCUGCAUUUUAUGCAUCUAAUUCCUUGCAUAUCAUUCAGUUAAUUCCUUGCAAAUCUUUGUGAGAUCUUUCUAGUCUAGUGAGCUGAGGUGACAAGUGUUUUCUCUGCGAUGAACUCGGUUACACCGAUUUGUUAUUUUUAGUACAACCGAAAACUCUCGGUACCACCGAAGCAUACCACUCGGUGCCACCGAUUUCACAACAGGAAAAACAGUUUGCCACUUAAUCUGUGUUUCUUCUGAUCCAGCUCCACUCAAUGAAUCUUGUCCUCUAACAAGCAUCACAUUUUUAUCCAUUGCUUUAUGUUGUGACUCAAGGAUCAAACCCAUUCACGACAAACUCCAGAGGGAGAGGGAGAGAGAGAGAUUACAUCCUUAUCAAGCCCUUCUUCGAAAUUGAUGUCAAAGGGGGAGAGAGAGAUCACAUCAAAGCUUAUCAUUUUAGAGAGAGUAUCACCUUUUCAGGGGGAGAGAGAUCCUUCAGGGGGAGAGGGAGAUCUCUAGGGGGAGAGAAUACUAGUAGAAAGUAUUUCUCAAGGAUCCCAGAUGCUUGGUGUUCAAGAGGAGAGAUGCCACAUGUCUUCUUGAGGGGAAAGACAUGUUCAUAUGUGCUUACUUGCAUUAGUUUGCAUUAGCUCUAUUCAUUUAUAUCUUUCAGCUCUGAUUUUCUGUUCCCUAUCUUCUCCCAGUAUCCGAUGCUAGAUUCAUGGGGAGCAAGACAUCGAAAGAAAUCAUUUAAAUUCAUUGCAUAUCUUUACUCUUGGGGACAUGUCUAAUCAAAUGUGGUACUUAGUACUCACUUUCUACAUGUCAUCCCAGUCUUGGUAUUCUUGUGGUGUCUUUUGUUUACUCUGGCUAGUAGGUGCAUCUGUGUUAUCUAACCGUGUUUACACAGGUUCAUUCCAUCCUAAGCCAACUCAAGACUACAAGGUGAGUAUAUGCAUCACAAUCAUGCGUAUGAGGAAUUCUUGCUGAUGUACAUACUGUUUGCAAGAAGGACUCAUGGGCAUGAAGGUAUUUUUUUUGCUCUGAUGCAUAUGGCCAAGAUACAUGUAACACAUCGCCUGCUCUAUAAUGGUUAUGCUCUCACAUGCUUCUAUAUUUCAUAUUCACAUGAUUGCAUACAUGUAGGGGGAGCCUAUGCUUGUUACAUGUCUUUCCAAAGCUUUACUUGCUAUUUCUUAAAUCUUUAUCUAAAGCUUUGAUGUAUGUUGUCAUCAAUUACCAAAAAGGGGAGAUUGAAAGCACAAGUGCUCCCUAGGUGGUUUUGGUAAUUAAUGUCAACAUAUCUCUUGUUGGACUAACACUUUUAUCUAGUAUAUUUCAGAUAAGUUCAACAAUGGAGUGGCAUGGACUAAAGGAUGUGGGAACUCCUUCAGGAUGCUAAGGAUAAAGGAUUGGCUCAAGCUUCAAGCUCAAGACUCUUAAUUUUACAUUUCAGUGAUCCAAGAUCACAUUGAGUCUAUAGGAAAAGCCAAUACUAUCAAGGAGGGAUGAGGUGUUGCUUAAUGAGCCUCUUGCUUCAAGUGCUUAGUGAUAUGCUCCAAAUACCCUCAACUGCUUUCCCACUUCCACACAUAUGUCCUAAACCUAAAGUCAAACUCGGCCCCACUGAUUCUUUCUAUCCGGCGCCACCGAGUUUGGAUAUCUUAGCCACUGCCACAAACCCUAAGCAAAUCGGUUUCACCGAUAGGGAUCUCGGUCUCACCAAGAUGGGAUUGUGAUCUCUCUGUGUAUGUCCAUUAUCAAAAUCGGUCUCACCGAGUUUGAGCAAUCGGUACUACCGGGAUUAUAAUGCAAACUUCCUGGUUGACUCAUUACCAAAAUCGGUCCCACCGAGUUUGAUAAUCGGUCCAACCGAGUUUGCCUGACCAACUCCCUGGUUAGCUAAUUACCAAAAUCGGUCCUACCGAGUUUGUGUAAUCGGUCUCACCGAGAAUACGUUAAGCCCUAACCCUAACCAUAUAGGUCCUACCGAGUUGUAUUUCGGUCCCACCGAAAAUCCUAACGGUCACUAAAUUUGCUAAAUCGGUCCGACCGAGUUUCUCAAUUCGGUCCCACCGAGUUUGGAAAAUUGUGUGUAACGGUUAGAUUUUGUGUGGAGGCUAUAUAUACCCCUCCACCUCCUCUUCAUUCGUGGAGAGAGCCAUCAGACUAAACCUACACUUCCAACAUCCUAUUUCUGAGAGAGAACUACCUAGUCAUGUGUUGAGGCCAAGAUAUUCCAUUCCUACCAUAUGAAUCUUGAUCUCUAGCCUUCCCCAAGUUGCUUUCCACUCAAAUCCUCUUUCCACAAGAUCCAAAUCCUAUGAGAGAGAGUUGAGUGUUGGGGAGACUAUCAUUUGAAGCACAAGAGCAAGGAGUUCAUCAUCAACACACCAUUUGUUACUUCUUGGAGAGUGGUGUCUCCUAGAUUGGAUAGGUGUCACUUGGGAGCCUCCGACAAGAUUGUGGAGUUGAACCAAGGAGUUUGUAAGGGCAAGGAGAUCGCCUACUUCGUGAAGAUCUAUCGCUAGUGAGGCAAGUCCUUCGUGGGCGACAGCCAUGGUGGGAUAGACAAGGUUGCUUCUUCGUGGACCCUUCGUGGGUGGAGCCCUCCGUGGACUCGCGCAACCGUUACCCUUCGUGGGUUGAAGUCUCCAUCAACGUGGAUGUACGAUAGCACCACCUAUCAGAACCACGCCAAAAACAUCCAUGUCUCCAAUUGCGUUUGAAUCCUCCAAAACCCUUCCCUUUACAUUCUUGCAAGUUGCAUGCUUUACUUUCCGCUGCUCAUAUACUCUUUGCAUGCUUGCUUGCUAUGUGUUGUGAAUGUUAAACUUGUGCCUAAACUCCACUCAAACUUAAAAGGGCUAAAAACUGCAACUUUGGUACUAAGUGUCUAAUCACCCCCCCUCUAGACACCUCUUCUCAAGGUCCUACAGCCCCGCACACCGUUCAUAGUCCAGACCCGUUUCCUCUCAAUGGACAAUGGCUCCGAGGCGGCCCUUAUCUUUGGUGGCACAUGGCCCAUAUAUAUGGACCAAAGAGCUUAGCAUGUGAUUGUUACCCCAUUAACUGCUAUGAUUUCAUGUGGCCGCGGUAUAGAUCAUGAAUUCUCGAUGAUACUACCCUAGAAAUGCGGCAACUGUCCCGAAUAUGGCACAUGGAACCCAAGAAAGGCCGGGACCUAGCAUGCGUGUUUGGAUUGUUCUUCGUUGACCCGAGAGAAAGCACCGAUGAAAAUGGAGGAACGGGCCCGCACUCAGUGCGCAAACCGGAUGCGUUACCUCAAGGUAGCUAGAUCCAAACCAUGCACCCCCACCGUCUAGACUCAUGUGGCGCACCACUUAUGCAGUAGACCCACACCACUUACACCGGGCCCCAAGCCAACCAUUCCCCCCGGGUAGACUCAUAUGUCGCACACCACAAAAUAGAAUUAUCACAAGACUUCCACCCCGAUUCACAGGUUACUACCUUGUGCACCCCUAGCCAGCAUGAUACACUGCAUGCACCUAGAGCCACCUGGGCCCACAGCAUGCACCACUACACGUACGUGUCCACAAAACGAACUAACCCAUAAUCAAAUUUUUUUGCCAAAACAAUUUAGUUAUUUUUAUAAUGGCUUGAAAAUAGCAAGGUUUAUGUUAAAUAAUAAUUUCCUUAAUUACAAUAAGGUCCAUUUUGUAACCACACAAAAUUCCUACCUUCCCUCGAAAAAAAGAAUUCUUCUCUCACGAUCAUGAUGGCCUCACCCUAUUAUCUAGGAGUCGAUCCAAUCUCCCCACGGGGGCCAAGUUGCAUGCAGUAGAUAUUUUUUGUUGGUUGCAAAUUUCUCUCCAAAAUGGUUUCUUAUGAGAAAAUCACCUUAUAUUUUUUUUACUUCCAAAGACAUGUGAUGACAAAAGCAUGGGACAAAAUCGUAGGAGGCACGGUUGGAUACGUGCACAUGCUGUCUUUUUCUACUACAACUGGACUUGUUGGCAAAUUGCAUGUGCACGUGUCAUGUUUCAAUUUAUCUUGAAAAUUAUGUUGUACACAUUUACAUAGACGAUCGAAUUGUUGUUUUCAUAUGUUAAUAAUCCCUAAAUAUUGACCACGUGACACAUGUGGUAAGCAAUCCAAACAAUUCGAAAAAAAUCCCUAAAUAUUGAAUUUAAGCAUGCACCUAGAAAUUAUCAGUCAUAGAACCAACAUCUCUUUCGUAGAGAUUAAGUUACUUCCACAUUAAAUCUAAUACAACAAAUUCAAAGGAUCAACUUAAUACAUUAACAACACAUAAGGAUGUAGCCCAGGAAUCCAACGAGUAGAGAGAAAUGGAGGAACAAAAGCUGGAAGAAGAAGGAUCAGCCAGCAGCAGCACCAUCAGCCUCCUAGCCUCACAACUCCAGGUCUCCAGCCUUGUGAACUCCAGCUUUUUUCUGCGAAACACGAAUGGCAAAGUUGCUGUUACAGGUUAGGACUUAGUGAAAAUUACAGUUAUGCUGAAACAGUUAUAAUGACAAACAGUGCUAACAUGAUGGUUACAACAAGCAAACAAAACCAAGCUCACAAGUGCAACUUACUUUUAACAUCAAACAAUUAUAUUAACAUGGCCACUUUAGUGCAAGAUUUUACAAUGCAACAUAAACUUGUCAUAGCAACAAAAGGCAUGGCAUGAAAGUAUCGACAACAUAAUGAAAAUAAUUUUUAGGAAGCAUGGCCAUAGGAGUUAUAUUUUUAGUGGCAACCUUCAAGCAAAGUUGCAUAGUUUUAUAACAGAAAGGGCUGCUGUUAUUGGUAGAGGCACACUGAGGUUGGCUAGCUAUCGAGGAUGACCAGUGGGCCAGGGGCCACAUGACUAGGAGCAUUUGUGUGUGCGUGACUGCCAUGGGACCCGGAUGUUAGUGGCUUACUUUGAAAGCAAAAGGGGGGUUUAUAGUUUAGUGGGAACCAUCAAGCAAAUUCGCAAAGUUUUAUAGAUGACAGAUUUAUACUUGCUGAGAUGCACAGAGUAAAAUGAUGGCAUGUUGGAGGCAAUAAAUAAAUAUGCUACAUGGCUUGUCAUGGCAUCUAAUUGCACAGAAUGCUAGUACAAAUCAUGGAGAAUAAGACAUACAACAUGAGCAUCUCCAUAACAGCUGGUAGCUCUACCAAAAGCAAUCAACAACUCAAAAAAAAGGUUCAAAUAUAGUAUCAAGCACUUAAAAAUAGAAAGACACAUAACAAAUUUUUGGAGUAGAAGUGCAGGUGAACAUCAAAUACUACCACUACAACAGUACAAAUUUAGCCUAGGGUUCAUAUACAUCAUAAUCCAGCCCCCAAAAGCAUGUACUCAAUCACUACCACCACAACUGUAAGCACGAGCAGUAGGAAGAUUAGGAGUGGGGAAGCUUAUUCUAAAUAACAGUACCGCCGCCGUUCAGACGAGGGGAGCGGCGAGGGAAGCAUGGAGAACGGCGGGGAAGUGAUGUCGCGACCACUGUCCUCCUCCUCUUGCGCUUCAGAGUCAUCUCCGACUCGGUUGGAGGCUCCAUAAUCUGCAACGGCACCUUGUGCACCAUGGGUUCCUGAUCUAGUGGAUGCUCUACCUUGGAUCUGAACACCCACCACCUACGCCUAUCCCACGGGCUGGACGAAUUGGCCUACUCCAUCGCCCACAGAGGAUCUCGAUGUCGUGCCUCGGUUGUGCGGGCGGGGGAAAAAGCUUUUUCUUCUCCCUGGAUGUCAUUUCCCUCAAAGUGGCCAUUGCCGUCCAGUUCAACUACCUUAUGUUGUUAAACCAAGAAUGGAUCUCCAUCAACCUAGCCAUCUUGACCUGGUCGCCGCCGGUGAUCUCCACGAAGUCGGCGUUCUCGCCGCCGGCGAUCUGCUCCUCCAUCGAGGUUCUUGCGUGGAUGGAAGAAGGGGUUGGCAUGUGGAAGAGGAGACGAGCAAAGUUGCGGCCGCGAGAAGGAGGAGAAGGAGAGGGAGGAGAUGUCGCGGUUGUAAUGGAGAUGGGUGAGGGGAAGGACGAUGGCGGCGGCGGUUCUGCAUUGGAUGAGAGGGGAGGCGCGUGAUUGUUUUCUUCCUAUGACUUUUUUUAAGACAAUUUUUCCUAUGACUAAAAUGCCAGAGAUUAAAACGGUUCCAAAAAAGCCCAACCACUGUAAAACUUUGUAUAAUAAAUAUAGAUAAUUCAGGCCAGCCAAAGCCCACAACAUAAAUUAAUAGUACGCUUACAACUUAAAUAACACCAAGACAAAUAUAGAUAGAUAGAUUUUUUGGCUAAAAAAUGCUGGGUAACGUAGUAAUUUCAAAAAAAGUUCCUACACACACAAGAUCAUGGUGAUGCAUAGCAACGAGAGGGGAGAGUGUGUUCACGUACCCUCGUAGACCGAAAGCGGAAGCGUUAGAACAACGCGGUUGAUGUAGUCGUACGUCUUCACGGCCUGAUCGAUCAAGCACCGAAACUACGGCACCUCCGAGUUCUAGCACACGUUCAGCUCGAUGACGUCCCUCGAACUCCGAUCCAGCUGAGUGUCGAGGGAGAGUUCCGUCAGCACGACGGUGUGGUGACGAUCUUGAUGUUCUACCAUCGCAGGGCUUCGCCUAAGCACCGCUACAAUAUUAUCGAGGAGGACUAUGGUGGAGGGGGCACCACGCACGGCUAAAAGAUCAAGAGAUCAAUUGUUGUCUCCAAGGGGUGCCCCUCUCCCCGUAUAUAAAGGAGUGGAGGAGGGGGAGGGUCGUCCCUCUCUAUGGCCCUACUCCCACCGGGAGUAGGAUUCCCCUUUUGCUAGUAGAACUAGGAGCCCUUCCAAGUAGUAGGAGUAGGAGAGAAGGAAAGGUAAGGGAGAAGGAGAAGAAAGGAAGGGGGCGUCCCCCUUCCCUAGUCCAAUUCGGACUAGUCCAUAGGGAGGUGUGCGGCCACCCUUUGGGCCCUUUCUCUCCUUUCUCGUAUGGCCCAUUAAGGCCCAAUACGAAUUCCCGUAACUCUCCGGUACUCCGAAAAAUACUCAAAUCACUUAGAACCUUUCCGAUGUCCGAAUAUAGUCGUCCAAUAUAUCGAUCUUUACAUCUCGACCAUUUCAAGAUUCCUCGUCAUGUCCCCGAUCUCACCCGGGACUCCGAACUUCUUCGGUACAUCAAAACACAUAAACUCAUAAUACAACUAGCAUCGAAACCUUAAGCAUGUGGACCCUACGGGUUCGAGAACUAUGUAGACAUGACCGAGACACAUCUCCGGUCAAUAACCAAUAGCGGAACCUGAAUGCUCAUAUUGGCUCCUACAUAUUCUAUGAAGAUCUUUAUCGGCCAAACCGCAUAACAACAUACGUUGUUCCCUUUGUCAUCGGUAUGUUACUUGCCCGAGAUUCGAUCGUCGGUAUCUCAAUACCUAGUUCAAUCUCGUUACCGGCAAGUCUCUUUACUCGUUUAUGUAAUGCAUCAUCCUGUAACUAACUCAUUAGCUACAUUGUUUGCAAAGCUUAUAGUGAUGUGCACUACCGAGAGGGCCCAGAGAUACCUCUCCGAUAAUCGGAGUGACAAAUCCUAAUCUCGAAAUACGCCAACUCAACAUGUACCUUCGGAGACACAUGUAGAGCUCCUUUAUAAUCACCCAGUUACGUUGUGACGUUUGGUAGCACACAAAGUGUUCCUCCGGUAAACGGGAGUUGCAUAAUCUCAUAGUCAUAGGAACAUGUAUAAGUCAUGAAGAAAGCAAUAGCAACAUACUAAACGAUCAAGUGCUAAGCUAACAGAAUGGGUCAAGUCAAUCACACCAUUCUCCUAAUGAUGUGAUCCCGUUAAUCAAAUGACAACACAUGUCUAUGGCUAGGAAACUUAACCAUCUUUGAUUCAACGAGCUAGUUAAGUAGAGGCAUACUAGUGACACUUUGUUUGUCUAUGUAUUCACACAUUUACUAAGUUUCCGGUUAAUACAAUUCUAGCAUGAAUAAUAAACAUUUAUCAUGAAAUAAGGAAAUAAAUAAUAACUUUAUUAUUUCCUCUAGGGCAUAUUUCCUUCAGUCUCCCACUUGCACUAGAGUCAAUAAUCUAGUUCACAUCACCAUGUGAUUUAACACCAAUAUUCACAUCUGUAUGUGAUUAACACCCAUAGUUCACAUCGUCAUGUGACCAACACCCGAAGGGUUUACUAGAGUCAAUAAUCUAGUUCACAUCGCUAUGUGAUUAACACCCAAAGAGUACUAAGGUAUGAUCACGUUUUGCUCGUGAGAGGAGCUUAGUCAAUGGGUCUGUCAUAUUCAGAGCCGUAUGUAUUUUGCAAAUAUUCUAUGUCUACAAUGCUCUGCACGGAGCUACUCUAGCUAAUUGCUCCCACUUUCAAUAUGUAUCCAGAUUGAGACUUAGAGUCAUCUGGAUUGGUGUAAAAGCUUGCACCGAUGUAACUCUUUACGACGGGCUCUUUUAUCACCUCCAUAAUCGAGAAAUAUUUCCUUAGUCCUCACUAAGGAUAUUCUUGACCGCUGUCUAGUGAUCUACUCUUAGAUCAAAAUUGUACUCCCUUGCCAAACUCAGAGCAAGGUAUACAAUAGGUCUGGUAUAUAGCAUAUCAUACUUUAUAGAACCUAUGACUGAGGCAUAGGGAAUGACUUUUCAUUCUCUUUCUAUUUUCUGCCAUAGUCGGGUUUUGAGUCUUACUCAACUUCACACGUUGCAACACAGGCAAGAACUCCUUAUUUGAUUGUUCCAUUCUGAAUUACUUCAAAAUCUUGUCAAGGUAUGUACUCAUUGAAAAAUAUUAUCAAGCGUCUUGAUCUAUCUCUAUAGAUCUUGAUGCUCAAUGUGUAAGCAGCUUCACCGAGGUCUUUCAUUGAAAAAAACCCUCUUAUUCAAGUAUCCUUUUAUGCUAUCCAGAAAUUCUAUAUCAUUUCCAAACAACAAUAUGUCAUCUACAUAUAGUAUUUAGAAAUGCUACAGAGCUCCCACUCACUUUCUUGUAAAUACAGACUUCUCCAAAAGUCUGUAUAAAACCAUAUGCUUUGAUCAACUCAUCAAAGUGUAUAUUCCAACUCCGAGAUGCUUGCACCAGUCCAUAGAUGGAUCGCUGGAGCAUGCACACUCUGUUAGCACCUUUAGGAUUGACAAAACCUUCUGGUUGUAUCAUAUACAACUCUUCUUUAAUAAAACCAUUAAGGAAUGCAGUUUUAACAUCCAUUUGCCAGAUUUCAUAAAAUGUGGCAAUUGCUAACAAGAUUCGGACAGACUUAAGCAUCGCUACAGUUGAGAAAAUCUCAUUGUAGUCAACACCUUGAACUUGUCGAAAACCUUUUUGCGACAAGUCGAGCUUUGUAGAUAGUAAGACUACUAUCAACGUCUGUCUUCCUCUUGAAGAUCCAUUUAUACAAUAUGGCUUGACGAUCAUCGGGCAACUCCACCAAAGUCCACACUUUGUUCUCAUACAUGGAUCCCAUCUCAAAUUUCAUGGCCUCAAGCCAUUUUGUGGAAUCUGGGCUCAUCAUUGCUUCCUCAUAGUUCAUAGGUUCAUCAUGGUCUAGUAACAUGACUUCCAGAACAGGAUUGCCGUACCACUCUGGUGCGGACUGUACUUUGGAAGAUCUACGAGGUUUUGUAGUAACUUAAUCUGAAGUUGCAUGAUCAUCAUCAUUAGCUUCCUCACUAAUUGGUGUAGGAAUCACUGGAACUGAUUUCUGUGAUGAACUACUUCCCAAUUCGGGAGAAGGUACAAAUUACCUUAUCAAGCUCUACUUUCCUCCCACUCACUUCUUUCGAGAUAAACUCCUUCUCUAGAAAGGAUCUAUCUUAGCAAUGAAUGUUUUGCCUUCGGAUCUGUGAUAGAAGGUGUACCCAACAGUUUCCUUUUGGUUAUUUUAUGAAGACGCACUUCUCCGAUUUGGGUUUGAGCUUAUCAGGAUGAAACUUUUUCACCUAAGCAUCACAACCCCAAACUUUAAGAAACGACAGCUUAGGUUUCUUGCUAAACCAUAGUUCAUAUGGUGUCAUCUCAACGGAUUUAGAUGGUGCCCUUUUAACGUGAAUGCAGCUGUCUCUAAUGCAUAACCCCAAAACGAUAGUGGUAAAUCGGUAAGAUACAUCAUAGAUCGCACCAUAUCCAAUAAAGUGCGGUUACGACAUUCGGACACACCAUUACGCUGUGUUGUUCCAUGUGGCGUGAACUGUGAAACUAUUCUACAUUGUUUAAAAUGAAGGCCAAACACGUAGCUCAAAUAUUCAUCUCUACGAUCAGAUCAUAGAAACUUUAUUUUCUUGUUACGAUGAUUUUUCACUUCGCUCUGAAAUUCUUUGAACCUUUCAACUAUUUCAGACUUAUGUUUCAUCAAGUAGAUAUAUCCAUAUCUGCUCAAAUCAUCUUGUGAAGGUCAGAAAAUAACGAUACUUGCCACGAGCAUCAACACUCAUUGGAUCGCAUACAUCUGUAUGUAUUAUUUCCAAUAAGUCAGUAGCUCGUUCCAUUGUUCCUGAGAACGGAGUUUUAGUCAUCUUGUCCAAAAGGCACGGUUCUCAAGCAUCAAAUGAUUCAUAACCAAGUGAUUCCGAAAAUCCAUCUUUAUGGAGUUUCUUCAUGCACUUUACACCGAUAUGACCCAAACGGCAGUGCCACAAAUAAGUUGCACUAUCAUUAUUAACUUAGCAUCUUUUGGCAUCAAUAUUAUGAAUAUGUGUGUCACUUCGAUCGAGAUCCAACAAACUAUUUUCAUUGGGUGUAUGACCAUCGAAGGUCUUAUUCAUGUAAACAGAAUAACAAUUAUUCUCUAACUUUAAAUGAAUAAUAGUAUCACAAUAAACAUGAUCAAAUCAUAUUCAUGCUCAACGCAAACGCCAAAUAACAUUUAUUUAGGUUUAACACUAAUCCCGAAAGUGUAGGGAGUGUGCGAUGAUGAUCAUAUCAAUCUUGGAACCACUUCCAACACACAUCGUCACUUCACCCUCAACUAGUCUCUGUUUAAUCUGUAACUCCUGUUUCGAGUUACUAAUUUUUAGCAACCGGACAAGUAUCAAAUACUCAGGGGCUACUAUAAACACUAGUAAGGUACACAUCAAUAACCUGUAUAUCAAAAUAUACCCUUGUUCACUUUGCCAUCCUUCUUAUCCACCAAAUAUUCAGGGCAUUUCCGCUUCCAGUGACCAUUUCCUUUGCAGUGUAAGCACUCAGUUUCAGGAUUUGGUCUAGCUUUGGGCUUCUUCGCGGGAGUGACAACUUGCUUGCCAUUCUACUUGAAGUUCCCUUUCUUUCCCUUUGCCCUUUUCUUGAAACUAGUGGUUUUGUCAAUCAUCAACACUUGAUGCUCUUUCUUGAUUUCUACCUUCAUCGACUUUAACAUCACUAAGAGCUUGGGAAUCGUUUUCGUCAUCCCUUGCAUACUAUAGUUCAUCACGAAGUUCUAGUAACUUGGUGAUGGUGACUAGAGAACUCUGUCAAUCACUAUCUUAUCUGGAAGAUUAACUCCCACUUGAUUCAAGUGAUUGUAGUACCCAGACAAUCUGAGCACAUGCUCACUAGUUGAGCGAUUCUCCUCCAUCUUUUAGCUAUAUAACUUGUUGGAGACUUCAUAUCUCUCAACUCGGGUAUUUGGUUGAAAUAUUAACUUCAAUUCCUAGAACAUCUCAUAUGGUCCAUGACGUUCAAAACAUCUUUGAAGUCUCGAUUCUAAGCCGUUAAACAUGGUGCACUAAACUAUCAAGUAGUCAUCAUAUUGAGCUAGCCAAACGCUCAUAAUGUCUGCAUAUGCUCCUGCAAUAGGCCUGUCACCUAGUGGUGCAUUAAGGACAUAAUUCUUCUGUGCAGCAAUGAGGAUAAACCUCAGAUCACGGAUCCAAUCCGCAUCAUUGCUACUAACAUUUUUCAACACAAUUUUCUCUAGGAACAUAUGAAAAUAAACAUAUGAAAGCAACAACGCGAGCUAUUGAUCUAUAACAUAAUUUGCAAAAAACUACCAGGACUAAGUUCAUGAUAAAUUUAAGUUCAGUUAAUCAUAUUACUUAAGAACUCCCACUUAGACAGACAUCUCUCUAGUCAUCUAAGUGAUCACGUGAUCCAAAUCAACUAAACCAUGUCCGAUCAUCACGUGAGAUGGAGUAGUUUUCAAUGGUGACAUCACUAUGUUGAUCAUAUCUACUAUAUGAUUCACGCUCAACCUUUCGGUCUCCUUGUUCCGAGGACAUAUCUGUGUUCUAGGCUCGUCAAGUUUAACCUGAGUAUUUCGCAUGUGCAACUGUUUUUGCACCCGUUGUAUUUGAACGUAGAGCCUAUCACACCCGAUCAUCACGUGGUGUCUCAGCACGAAGAACUUUUGCAACGGUGCAUACUCGGGGAGAACACUUCUUGAUAAUUUGUGAGAGAUCAUCUUAAAAUGCUACCGUCAAUCAAAGCAAGAUAAGAUGCAUAAAGGAUAAACAUCACAUGCAAUCAAUAUAAGUGAUAUGAUAUGGCCAUCAUCAUCUUGUGCUUGUGAUCUCCAUCUCUGAAGGACCGUCGUGAUCACCAUCGUCACCGGCACGACAGCUUGAUCUCCAUCGUAGCAUCGUCGUUGUUUCGCCAUCUAUUGCUUCUACGACUAUCGCUACCACUUAGUGAUAAAGUAAAGCAAUUACAGGGCACUUGCAUUUCAUACAUAAAGCGACAACCAUAUGGCUCCUGCCAGUUGCCGAUAACUCGGUUACAAAAUAUGAUCAUCUCAUACAAUAAAAUAUAGCAUCACGUCUUGACCAUAUCACAUCACAACAUGCCCUGCAAAAACAAGUUAGACGUCCUCUACUUUGUUGUUGCAAAUUUUACGUGGCUGCUAUGGGCUGAGCAAGAACCGUUCUUACCUACGCAUCAAAACCAUAACGAUAGUUCGUCAAGUUAGUGCUGUUUUAACCUUCGCAAGGACCGGGCGUAGCCACACUUGGUUCAACUAAAGUUGGAGAAACUGACACCCGCCAACCACCUGUGUGCAAAGCAUGUCGGUAGAACCAGUCUCGCGUAAGCGUACGCGUAAUGUCGGUCCAGGUCGCUUCAUCCAACAAUACCGCCGAACAAAAGUAUGACAUGCUGGUAAGCAGUAUGACUUGUAUCGCCCACAACUCACUUGUGUUCUACUCGUGCAUAUAAUAUCUACGCAUAAAACCUGGCUCGGAUGCCACUGUUGGGUAACGUAGUAAUUUCAAAAAAAAAUCCUACGCACACGCAAGAUCAUGGUGAUGCAUAGCAACGAGAGGGGAGAGUGUGUCCACAUACCCUCGUAGACCGAAAGCGGAAGCGUUAGAACAACGCGGUUGAUGUAGUCGUACGUCUUCACGGCCCGACCGAUCAAGCACCAAAACUACGACACCUCCGAGUUCUAGCACACGUUCAGCUCGAUGAUGUCCCUCGAACUCCGAUCCAGCCGAGUGUUGAGGGAGAGUUCCGUCAGCACGACGGCGUGGUGACGAUCUUGAUGUUCUACCGUCGCAGGACUUCGCCUAAGCACCGCUACAAUAUUAUCGAGGAGGACUAUGAUGGAGGGGGGCACCGCACACGGCUAAGAGAUCAAGGGAUCAAGUUUUGUCUCCAAGGGGUGCCCCUCUCCCCGUAUAUAAAGGAGUGGAGGAGGGGGAGGGCCAGCCCUCUCUAUGGCCCUACUCCCACCGGAGUAGGAUUCCCCUUUUCCUAGUAGAACUAGGAGCCCUUCCAAGUAGUAGGAGUAGGAGAGAAGGAAAGGGAAGGGAGAAGGAGAAGAAAGGAAAGGGGCGCCCCCCUUCCCUAGUCCAAUUCGGACUAGUCCAUGGGGAGGGGUGCGGCCACCCUUCGGGCCCUUUCUCUCCUUUCCCGUAUGGCCCAUUAAGGCCCAAUACGAAUUCCCGUAACUCUUCGGUACUCCGAAAAAUACUCGAAUCACUCGGAACCUUUCCGAUGUCUGAAUAUAGUUGUCCAAUAUAUCGAUCUUUACGUCUCGACCAUUUCGAGACUCCUCGUCAUGUCCCCGAUCUCAUCUAGGACUCCGAACUCCUUCGGUACAUCAAAACACAUAAACUCAUAAUAUAAUUGUCAUCGAAACCUUAAACGUGUGGACCCUACGGGUUCGAGAACUAUGUAGACAUGACCGAGACACAUCUCCGGUCAAUAACCAAUAGCGGAACCUGGAUGCUCAUAUUGGCUCCUACAUAUUCUACGAAGAUCUUUAUCGGUCAAACCGCAUAACAACAUACGUUGUUCCCUUUGUCAUCAGUAUGUUACUUGCCCGAGAUUCGAUCAUCGGUAUCUCAAUACCUAGUUCAAUCUUGUUACCAGCAAGUCUCUUUACUCGUUAUGUAAUGCAUCAUCCCGUAACAAACUCAUUAGCUACAUUGCUUGCAAGGCUUAUAGUGAUGUGCAUUACCGAGAGGGGCCAGAGAUACCUCUCCGACAAUCGGAGUGACAAAUCCUAAUCUCGAAAUAUGCCAACUCAACAUGUACCUUUGGAGACACCUGUAGAGCUCCUUUAUAAUCACCCAGUUACAUUGUGACGUUUGGUAGCACACAAAGUGUUCCUCCGGUAAAUGGGAGUUGCAUAAUCUCAUAGUCAUAGGAACAUGUAUAAGUCAUGAAGAAAGCAAUAGCAACAUACUAAACGAUCAAGUGCUAAGCUAACGGAAUGGGUCAAGUCAAUCACACCAUUCUCCUAAUGAUGUGAUCCCGUUAAUCAAAUGACAACACAUGUCUAUGGCUAGGAAACUUAACCAUCUUCGAUUCAACGAGCUAGUCAAGUAGAGGCAUACUAGUGACACUUUGUUUGUCUAUGUAUUCACACAUGUACUAAGUUUCCGGUUAAUACAAUUCUAGCAUGAAUAAUAAACAUUUAUCAUGAAAUAAGGAAAUAAAUAAUAACUUUAUUAUUGCCUCUAGGGCAUAUUUCCUUCAAAAAAGAUAGAUAGAUAGAUAGAUAGAUGGCCGCCGCUUCUCCACUAGGCUCCUCCUUGCUCCUCCUCCGGGCGCCCUUCACUGCUCCUCCGCGGUGUUGUUGAUGGGGUACGGCAGAGUGUGCAUGCGCUCGUCGGUGGGGAAGACGUUGUCGUAGUCCGUGAACAUGUUACGUGUGGUGAAAGCUAUGAACUCGUAGCCACAUCAGAACACGCGGCCGAGGAGGUAGAACGCGUCGAAGGUGUUGGUGAAGUGGGCAAGGAUAGCAACCACAACCCCAUUGUGGAUGACCUCCUCGACUCGAUACAUCCUUGGAGAUCCCCGAGGGAGGUGCCCGUAGCCGGCCCCAAGGAAGAAGUCUGUGAACCCCCUUGCGCCCCUCCACCUUGACAUCACCCACACACGAAGGGUGCUCUCGACGUACACCCCGGCAGGGUAGAGCAUCUCCGGCACGGUGGGGGGGGGGAAGCGGUAGGUUGGCCCGGUGUACUACAUGGCUGCGGCGGGCUGGUUCUUGGGGCUGUUUGUGGUGAAGAAGAAGAAGGGAAGGCGCAAAAUGCAGGUGGGAGAGUAUGGGAAUGGAUGAAGGGUGUGAGAGGAAGAGGAACAUGAUAGGUGGCUUAAAUAGCCACCGUGGCAGUAAUGGGGUCAAAUGUGAACAAAUUUUCCACCCACCGCGCCAUCGGGAGUGUACACGCGUGGGAAACUGUAGUGUGAAUCAAAACGAGAAGUUUAAGUGCUGCCCUAUGUGCCGUCGGUCGGGUUAACCGGGGACGGCUCUGCGGCGCAUGCUCCUUCGCGUAUGUGCACGCAUGCAACGUAGGCUGAAGCGGACGCAUGCAUGCAACCGCAUGCAACGUAGGCUUGCUCGGGCGCAUGCAACGGCGGCGGACAUCGCUCGGUCCAACGGGUGGGCUUCUUUACACAGCCCAACGGCACGCAUGCAUGGCAGCCCACCCUCGAGCGCAGAAAAAAAUAGGCGCAGAAAAAAACGUAAGUAUUAUAUGAUUUAUCGACGCGAAAGCCCUAGAUAAUCCUUAGAACGUCAAAAAGCUACGGAACUUGGCAAUGAUACUAGUCAUGUUGGUACAAGGUUGUUGGUCCACUUCAAGGAUGCCGACAAAAACAUGCUUCGAGACGGACCCUUCCCGUCCCGAAAGGCCUCCCAUGAAGCAGGUUCAGAAUGACACCGAAUUUUGCCAGGAUGUAAGUCCAAUGAGAUCAACACUUGUUCAUGUUGGCUAAUGUGGCACUGACCGUCGAAGGAGAUAAAGAUUGAUACUUGUCAUGUGGGCCCAUAUUUUUUUUACGUUUGUUGUCGAUAGAACACAAAAAACAAACAUGACUAUAUGCUUUUAGGUCUUCACCCUCCCCAAUUUGUUGGCCAACUCAGCAGGUUUUGCCUUAAGGUGCCACCUCUUUCUGUAAGCUGCAAUUGCUGUGGUUUUGGAAUAAUGGUUCUCUUUCUUGCAGAACGGGCAUUUAUAGCGACCGUUACACCGGUACACAAUCUUUGCAGCCAUGAGCCACUUGAAGAUUUUCUUUCUGAGAGCUUCCCUCAGCUGUAGGUAGUUCUCCCAUUCUUCCAAAUCUGUAAUCUGGUAUUAGAAGAAAAACAAUCUCAUGCCAGCGAAUUGUACAUUAUAUCAAAGGCAGGCAUAAAUGGAUUGUUUUUUCUUUGUAUUGGUUUCCUAAAACUUUGGUUAUAUGAAAGAAAGGCAUAAAAUGGAAGACAAAUGAUCCAUUCAUCUAAAUUUGCAAACCCUAGGACUGAUAACCGUACGAUCAAUCAAAAAAAGGCGAACAGUACGAUUGUCUAUACGAAUAGCGAGGAAUAACAAGAGAGUAAUUUAUGGGGUUAACCUCGAGAAGGAAAAUUCUAGGGUUAAUAUCUGCAGACACUAACCGAUUCGUCGUCGUUGGUGCUGUGUUGGACCAGCUGCGGCUGCGAAUCGGCGGAGACGAUGUCCUUGUCGACCAGUUCCUUCAUGGGGUCCACAUCCGUCGCACGGAGCUCACCAGCCACGCCCCUCCCCCGACAGGUAGGAUCAUCCUCGCCGGAAAGAAUGUGGUCUUUUUGGCGGUGGCUAGUAGUGGGCGGCGAUGAAGACGUGGGUGGAUAGGCAGAGGCGAUCGAAGGCUGGAGGCGGGAGCGAGAUUUGUGGAGUGAAAAUUCAAUUUGUUUGGGAGAGAGAGGUCAAGGCCUCGCACAAUUCGUCACUUUUGAAAUUUAGGUAGAAACAUGCACGUAUACGGCAUCGUGCACAUCCAGAGAUUUGCCCGAACCAACCAAUCAACCAACCAAGCAAAAGAAAAAGUGCACAAUGUCGGUCCACAAACGUGGCAACAUAAACCAAACACCAAAAUGGUGUGUUAAAAAACAGCAAAAUAGGAGGGACAUUUUUUUGUUUUGCGCAAUACUACUAAAUACUAGAAGGGAGAACUACUGAAAAAAUACUACUAGAAGGGACAGUUGGCACAUUUAAUUUCACAUGGCAUCUAGCUUUUUUGUUCAUCGCUAGCUAUGUUGUACCGAUUAGGUAAAAUGAAUGGAUAAUUAUAAAACCCUGGCUAUUGUCAAGGUUUAUCGGUGUGUGUCUACGUGGCCAAGUGUGCUUGCACGGUGUUGGUCCAGGUGAGUGUGAUGCAUGGGACGGGCCUUUGUGGUUAGGGCCCACAUGAAGCAGCACCGAAUUUUGAGGAAAAUGAAGGAACGAGCCCCACACACCGUCCGCAUGCCGGACUUGUUCCCUCCCAUUGGCUAGAUCCAACAUGUGAUAUGGCCUCGUUUACACUUACCCCGCGUGAGGGUUUAUGCAUGCCCCUCUUGGUGUUUGACCAUACCCUUCAUGGGUCAUAUGAUGAGACCACGCCAGGCCCCGUGAUGCACCGCCUAGGCACAAACCGGACGCGUUACCUCUCGGUAGCUAGAUCCAAACCAUGCACGCCCGCUGUUUAGGCCCAAGUGGAGACCCGCGACACUUGUGCCAGCCCCCGAACCAUGCAUCCCCGCUGUGUAGACUCAAAUGUGGCCAUGUGUGCAUGCAUUUUGUGGUUCCAGCUGAGUGCAAUGCAUGGGACGGACCUUGGUUACUAGGUCUAACAUCACGCGGCAACGAGAUUUGAGGCAAAUGAAGGAAUGGGCCCCGCACUCCCUUCACAGGACGGACGCAUUCCCACUCUAUGGCUUGAUCCAGCAUGGGAUAUGGCCCCAUUUGCCCACAGCCUAUGUGAGGUCCUACACAUGCCGCUCUCGAUGUUUUACCACACCCUCUAGGGAUUGUAUGAUUACACUUGCGCUAGGUCCCGUGAAUUUUCGGCCCCUCGAUAAUUUGCAUGGAUUAUAACGGCAGCUGAUGAGCAUCAUAGCCUAGAGAACGGCGUCGAGGAACCCCACCCUUUGGUAGCAUAUGGUGCAUAUAUGGACCAAAGAGCUUAACAUGGGGCUUUCAUCCCAAUCCUUGCUAUGAUUUCAUGUGGCCUCCGUAGAUCUUGAACUUUCGAUGUUACAAUCCUAGAAAUGCGGUAAAUGUCCCGAAUAUGGGAGGGAGGAGGGGGGAGGAGAAAGGCCACGCAAUAAACUAUCCCCAUAAUUUUAUGUUUGUUUUAUCUGGCAAGACAAACAAGUUUUUAAAAUAAGGAUUUUAAGCAUGUUUUAAUAAGGAUUUUAUAAUUUCACAUUAUAAGGUGCUUAUUUUUUCCUAAAACAAAGGUGUUGUAAACGCACAAAGCUCCACAUUGAGCCUCUCACCAUCACGUUCACGUUGAACUCACCCUAAAAUGAAGAGAGGUAGAUCGAAUCUCCCCACGGGGGGAAACCUCCACCUAGUAGCUAAAUAUGGUUAGUUGAGAAUUUCUCCCCAAGUCGUUUUUUGAGGCAAAAUCACAUUCUUUUUUCCCUCCAAUAUUGUGGCGAAAUACAUGGAAGAAAAAUCGUGGGAGGCACGGUGGAACGAGUGCACAUUUUCCCCCCUCCAAAAGUGCACUAGUUGCCAUAUUUCAUGUGAACGUGUCACCUGUACAAACAAUUGAAUUGUCAUUUUUAUUUUGUUAACAAUUCCUAAAUAUUGAAUUUCAGCAUGCACCUACCCCAUGUCAGUUAGGUCAAAUUUGUUUUAUCCAAGCUCCACCAGCAACUGUGCAGAUUCUUGUACCAUGCACUUGCUGCUCCGGGCCUCUGGCGUCCGGUACCGGACAGGGGAAUCUAGAUGUGAUGCAAUACAAUUCAUGUUGACCCAUAUCAUGCACCCUUAGCCAACCAGGCCGACAACAUGCACCACUAGCCACCUCGAUCUAGACCAUGCGGUAGUGUCCACGAUGGGCAAAGAUGCUCAGUUGGACAUGUUUGCUGGCACUAGUGCAUGAUGCCCAAUCUCAGUGUGCAAGACGGGUAGUCGUGUGUCGCUUUGACAUGCUUGGCUUACGGAGGGAAGGACUCGUUGGAGAACUAACGAACCAAGGUGGGGUCAAGGGUGGAUGGAUGGUGUGGGUCAACUUUGCUAAAGGGGAACGGUUUGAGGCCAUUUGAACAAUGUAUGCCAUGGGUAUGGUCAUGAGCUACCUCACUUGCCUUACCACGAAAUUUUUCAUAAGGGGACAGUGUAAACCUAAAAUAUUUGAGUUUUUUUUGGAUAUCCUGUUUGUUAUAUUUAUGGCACCGUGUACAACAAAUUUGGGGUUAUUUUGGAGAUGGUCAAAAAAUUCACUUCAUUACAGACGGACGUUUGGUCUCACUUAAGCGAGUUUUUCUAACAAGGUGGUUUUUUCGACCACUUUUGUACACAUGAUUUUUUCAUUAACAUAGACAGAAUUUGAAAGUUUUCCAUUUUUUUAGAAUUUUAUAUAAUUUAUAGUGGCUCAGUGAAACUCAUGUACAUACCUCUGACUUUACCUUAAGGGCACAAUGUAAACUUCAUUAUUGCUGAAUUUUCUUUUAUAAUCAUGUUUAUUACAUGGAUGUGACUGUGUAAUUUUUUUGGGUGAUUUGGAAAAGAAAAAGCCCACCUUCUAAUAGGAGAUAUCAAACCCCACGGCCUGCAUACGACUAGAAACCCAACCAUAUGGGCUAGGAUGCAGGCCCGUGGGAUGUUGAUUUCUCCUGCUAGUAGGCCCCAUAGGGUAUACACAGAAGUGGAUAGGGAACAUGCUGUUUCAGUGAGAGUGGCUCAUGCAAGUGGUCUCUCAGCUGCGUAUAUAAGUAGGUGCGUGCGCGUCUCACUUGGCGAGGUGGGACUAAACUCCCACCAGCCGUCAGUUGCGCCCGGUGCGUCUCAGCGUUGGGCCAAAUUUUGUUGGGAUGUCCCAGGCGAACCACACCCGCGUGCCGGACCACGCGUCCCUGUAGAUGGUUGGGCUGGCCCAUCAUGCAUGCAUAUCCUUUUUAUUUUUUGUUUUUCACAUAUUCUCUUUCAUUUGUUAUUAUAUAGUUGUAAAACAAAGGUUGUUGUAAACGCACAAAACUCCUUCUUCAGCCUCUCACCAUCACGUUCAUGUUGAACUCACCCUAAAAUCAAGGAGAGGUAGAUCGAAUCUCCCCACGGGGGACAACCUCGAUGGAGUAGCUAAAUAUGGUUACUUUAGAUUUUCCAGAUUUUCUUCCCAAGUCGUUUUUUGAGGGGAAAAUACAUUUUUCUUUUUCCCUCCAAUAUUUGUGGAGAAAUACAUGGAACAAAAAUCGUGGGAGGCACGGGGCUACCUGUUUUUUCCCCUCCGAAAGUGCACUUGUUGCCAAAAUGCAUGUGAACGUGUCAUAUUCCACAUUAUUCUUAAAACAUGUUAUACACCUAUACAAACAAUUGAAUUGUCGUUUUUAUUUUUUUAUCAAUUUCUAAAUCUUGAAUUUCAGCAUGCACCUAUCCCAUUGUGUCUCAUCCAAGCUCCCACAUCAACCGCACAGAUUCUUCUACCAUCUGUGUGUGCUGCUCCGGCGUCAGGUACAAGAGAGGGGAAUCUUGAUCCGAUGCGGUGCGAUUCAUGUCUACCCAUAGCAUGCACCGCUAGGCAACCGGGCCGACAACAUGAACCGCUAGCCGCCUCGAUCUAGACCAUGGGCAAAGAUGCUCAGCUGGACAUGUUUGUUGGCACUAGUGCAUGAUGCGCCAAUCUCGAUGUGCAAGACGUGUAGCCGUGUGUCGUUUUAACAUGCUUGGCAUACCGAGGGAAGGGACUCGUCGGAGAUCCAACUAACCGAGGUGGGGUCAAGGGUGGAUGGAUGGUGUGGGACAACUUGGCUAAAGGUUUACGGUGGGUGUCUACAUGGCCAAGUGUGCAUGCAUGGUGUGAAUCCAGCUGUGUGUGAUGCACUAGACGGGCCUUUUUGGAUAGGGCCCACAUGAAGCAGUACCAAAUUUUGAGGAAAAUGAAGGAACGGGCCCCACACUCCGUCUGCAUGCCGAACUCGUUCCCUCCAUUGGCUAGAUCCAGCAUGCGAUAUGGCAUCAUUUCCCCAUAGCCCGCGUUAGGCCUUAUGCGUGUCGCUCUCGGUGUUUGACCACACCCUUCAUGGGUCAUACUAUGAUACCACGCUAGGCCCCAUGAACCACCGCCUAGGCACAAACCGGACGCGUUACCCAUUGGUAGCUAGAUCCAAACCAUAUCCACCCCUGCCGUCUAGACCCACGUGUGGAGCAUCACGUAGACGUUUAGAGACUCAUACGUGGACAUGCAUCCUCUUGGUAGACGUUUAGACUCGUGUGUUACCUCUUGGUAGCUAGAUCCAAACUGGACUCACACCACUUACGGCAGUCCCCGAACAUGCAUCCCCGCCAUUCAGACUCAUACAUGGACAUGUGUGCAUGCAUGUUGUGGGUCCAGUUGAGUGCGAUGCACGAGAAAGGCCUUGGUUACCAGGUAUAACAUCACGUGGCAUCAAGAUUUGAGGCAAAUGAAGUAACGUGCCCCGCACUCCUUUCACAGGCCGGACACAUUCUCUCUCGAUGGCUUGAUCCGACAUGUGAUAUGGCCCCAUUUGCACACAGCCUAUGUGAGGGCCGAUGCAUGCCGCUCUCAAUGUUUUACCACACCCUCUAGGGGUUGUAUGAUGACACCACGCCAGGUCCCAUGAAUUUUUAGCCCCUCACGGAUUUGCAUUGAUUAUAACGACAGCAGCCGGGCAUCAUAGUCCUAGAUUGCAUGCGUCGAGGCCACGCCUCCCGUUGGUAACAUAUGGCACAUAUAUGGACCAAAGAGCUUAACAUGGGACACUAAUCCCAUUCCUUGCUAUGAUUUCAUGUGGCCGCGUAAGAUCUUGAACUUUCGAGAUUACAACCAUAGAAAUGCGGUAAAUGGCCCGAAUAUGCGAGGGAUGGAGGGGGGUGGGGGCGAGAAAGGCCACUCAAUUACCUACCCACAUUAUUGAAGUUCUUUUUAUCUGGAAAGAAACAAUUUUUUAUAAAUAAGGAAUUUUUAGCACUUAUUAAUAACGAUUUUAUAAUUUGACAUUGUAAGGUGCAUUUUUUUGUCUAAAACAAAGGUGUUGUAAACGCACAAAACUCCUCCUUGAACCUCUCUCCAUCACGUUCACCUUGAACUCACCCAAAAAGCAUUUCCCUAUUUUUUACGAUUUUCCUUUGUUUUUGUUUUUUAGACAAAAGGAUUUUCCUUUGUGUUUUUUUAUUAGUAACAUAGGAUUUUACUUUGUGAUAGGUAAGCGGCAUGUGGGCCUGUUUGGUUGUUUCUUUACGAACUGGACCCACGGGCCGUUAUUUUCUAUGCUUGACACGGAUAGGGUCCGUGUCAUCACCCCCAUCACCCACACACCCCCGCCCCCUCAUCCCCACCCUCCCCACAAACCACCCAGCCGCGACCCCGCCGCCGCUCUCGACGGUUGGAGCAGAAGAGCGCGGAGUGAGACUGGGAGGCCGCCAGCAAGCACCUAGCGACUACCGGCGACUAGGUGAAGUGAGAAACCCUAACUUGUAAUCUUAGACUUCUUUGUUCCUUGUUGUGUUGCCGUUUCGGGAGUUGGAUAUGGUUUUCAAAGUUGGAGAUUAAAUAGUUAGGAUUUUCAAUCGGAGGUUAGAUGGAAGGCGAUGCAGAGAUUGAAGGAAGUUUUCUACAUCGGUAGCUUGCUCGGUAAUUUUUUUCCUAGGGUUUCGGUAUUCCAGGGUUUUCAUAACAAUGAGCAAGUGCAGAUGCGUAGCACAAUAGUAGCAAAUAUCAACAAACAGUUCUUUAAAAACUUCGAAUUUUUUUGGCAUUGUGCAGUGGCAAAUCCAGGAAGAAACCGGAGGGUGGGCCCAAAACUUAUAAGCUGGGAUAGUGGACUAAAUUCCUUUUUAGGUCGAAAUUAGGUUGGGUUUAGUAAGGCAACCAUUAACUUGUAGCCCUAGAUUGCAAGUCAACUAAACACUACCUCAGUUGUGCGGCAGAGGAGGAGGGGCCAAUGCCGCGCGUCGACGCUCGGGGUGAGCCCAUGCUGUCGGUCGAGGAUCAAGAGAAGGACAUGUCUGAACAAGCUGUGGUGCGGCGGGCACGCGCUGCUUUGCGGGGUUAUGCGGAGUGGAGGGCGAGCCACCCGCGCAGUUCAAGUGUAUGUUUGUUGAUUACUGAUGCAGUACCUUUGUUGAUUAUACUGUAUGAUUGUUGUCUAGUGUGUUUACAUUCAUAAGCCCAUUUCUUUAAUUCUCAUCCUUUGCUUUUCUUCAUUUUAUUUUGUUUACACAGGUGGUUCAACAGGUACUUUUGUUGACAGGACUGCAACAGGCCCGAUGCUGAUGGGUUGACAUUUACCAUCAGGCUAGAUGGGGACACUUCAGCUGUGGUAUAAAUAACCAUGUCAAUUUUUACUUGUAUUGUGUUUGUUCCCCUGUACUUUGAAGAUUAAAAAAAUGUAGGAAAUAAAUAGCAAUUUAAUUCUACAUCUACAGAUCGUGCCAUGCUACGCAUGGCACCAGUUCAGCGCCAUCCCAGAUAGUUCAUUGCUUUUUCAAGCGAGAGGGAGCCACACGUAUGAUUUUGGCGUGUACAAAGGGAAUUCAAGGGCGAUCAUCGGUGGUGAAAAAUGGUGCAGGUUUGUUGAAGACUUCGACCUGCGAGAAGGCGACCUUGUCUCCUUCGAUUUGACUGAAGACAUUCCUAUGGUGUACUGCUGCAACCUGCCAAUGACAUGCGAUCAAAACAAAGAGCAUAAUCCUCUAGAAUCAGCUGUCAUAACAAAGGGAAUUAAUCUGACGAAGCAAGAGGAGCGUAACCUACAUGACCUUUUGGCGAUGAAGAAAGGUUAUAUAGGUGUAUUCUUUGUCCACCGCUUCACCAAGUCGAACAUAGCAGGAAAGACGAUGGUAUGUUUUUGGUGUACUAGUAUUUUUUAUUUUGUAUGCAAUUUUCUUUGUUUUUUCAUGGAGAGAAAGAUUAAUGAUAUGCUAUUGUAGCUAAAACCAGUGAAUACACUGAUGUGUAUUUUUGCAUAUCCUUUUGUUUCCCAUAACUGAAGAUCCUUAUGUAAUAUAUGUAGAUGUAGCUGAAGAUCCUUUUGUUUACUGCUCCUUCACAUAUUUGAUAAUUUUUCUUCCUAUGAUGGUGCAUAUAGAGAUUACCGGCGAAAGUUGUCGACGCUCUGAAGACCCCAGGAGAUGGGGAGAUACCAGGAGAUGGGCUUGCUGGCAUUCGGCUGUGCAAGGACAGUUUCAUGCCGGUCAAGUACCACAAGUAUGAUGAUGGGCGCAUCAUCUUCGGCAAGGGAUGGAGUGAUUUUGUUGACAGUGAAGAGCUCAAGGUUCAUAAAUCCGUUCUUUUCGGUUUCAAGACCACCACCCGUGAAGAUCUUCAGAUCGAGGUGGUUAUGAACAUGCUGACCGAGGAGCCACAAAUGUAGCACGAUAACGCAAGAGUGUCCUUUACACUAGGUAUGGUGCGAAAACUAUGUUGAUAGCAGUUAUGCAUCUAUGGGGUUACGUCUUCAUUCUGUCUUGGGUGAUGAUGACUAUGAGAGGAGGACAUGUUGCAGUUAGAGUAAAUGCUAGGAUUGGGUCCUAUUCAGGACUCAAAAUAGGGCUUACACGGGUGGUUGCUUUAUUGGCUGCUGUUUCCCUGGCUAUAAUCAUGAACGAUGGUAAUGCGAAUGGAAUCUUUAAGGGGGUUUUAUUAAUAAUUUAAAUCAUAGAGUUAAGAUGGUAGAACUACCUAUGAGUGUUUGCGUUGGACAUGCAGGAAGGGCAUCAUUUGUGUUCUUCACUCUUUGGUAAUGCAGGAAUAAUGUGAGAUUACAAAAUAAAUGGUAUAGUGAUCUUAUGAUUCUUGUUUAGCUAAUUUGCUUGUUGAUCAUGGGAUGGUCUAUAUUGCAGAUGAAGGUGAUAAACAAAGAGGUGCUGAUGGUCUAUAUGCGCAGGCUAGAGCAUGUAGCACGUGGAUUGUACAGUUCAUUGCAAGUGUGGAGUCACAGGGUACUGCGAUGUCGCCUGCGCAUCUCUCAGCUAUAUUUUCUAUCCUUUGCCGUAGUCUUAUUUUUUGGACCUUGAUGUUAAGUCUGGCUGGGUUUGCUACCAUGUAUGAUUUGUGCUACUAGUUGAUUACUUUAGUUUCUAGCUGUAGUUUGUAUCAGGGGCUUCAAAGACCAUGUGGUUUCUGUUAAUGGAAAAUCAGGGGGGCGACCCUUCUUUUGAUUAAAAAAUAUGAACUUUCUCUAUGCAAUUAAAAAAUAAUUUUUCUCUAUUCAAACCCAGUUGAGAACAGUAUUCAUUAUAAAUCUGAAAUAAUUUUUUGGUAAAAAUGGCUAUCGCAUUCUGUAUCAUAGCUAGCGAAACCGAAACAAAAUAAACGUCUUAAGUAUAAUAUAUCUUGAAUGCGGAUCAAAUUAGGCAAGACAGCUAGAAUAAAGGAUGAUUCAACUUGCAGGAAAUUUGAACUUACGACUUACUAGCAGUAUAAUAAAGUUUACAAACUAUUGGCUAGAUAAAUAGAAGAAACAUUUUAGUUUGAUUCAUUCUUGCUUUCGGACUUCCUUGACCGCCUAGAUGGUUUGGCGAGAUGUUGGCACAGACUCUCGAACCCCUUUUGGGAGUUCACCAGUCGCCUGUAUACAUCGUAGGUGGCAUACGCGUCCCUGGAAGCAUAAUAGAUGUUCUUCAAGGGCAAGGGCGCUUCUGCCCAUAUAUGGUGGUCAUCUUCUGUGAUAGCAUCCUUCAUCUUGUUGUAGCUGUGGUGGAUGAUGGAACCAGCAUAGUCAGCCAAGCCAUACUUCAGCUUAAUCGUCACUGGAUCAGGCACUCUCCACAAACUCUGGAUAUCCACAAAGUUUCGUACCACCAGACCAACACGCUCGAGUUUUUUCUCGUCAUUGUUGAUGUCCACCCCAACAAAGGUGUACUUCUCGUCGAGCAGGAAGGCGGCAAGCAGGCCGCAGUGCUCAUCAGCAACGCUUAUGUGGUACAUGAGGACAUAGAUGCCAACACAUAACUGGACCACGUCAGCCAUCUGUGUUGGACCACGAGGCCAGGUGAACUCCACAUCCAGUGCAACUAUCUUCUGGUCGUCGUUCUGCAGCCAGUAUUUGUAUCUACGAAUGCAGUACUCAACACUGCUAGCCUUGUUCGUGUACUUCACAAAAAUUACGAUAUUUCCAUCUGCCCUGACAGCAUAAUCUUUCACGAAUGCCAUGCCGAAGGAUUGUAAUUGAUGAAACCAGUAUAAGACAUGAAUCAUGACAAUAACAUGAUAACAAUAAGCCGAGAUGAAAGAUAGUAUAGUAAUUCUGGCACUAUUGAAAGUUUAUGUAAACAAGUGCAUGAACAAUUUAAACUAAACAUGUACUCCCUCUAUAAAGAAAUCACUAAAGUAGUGAGCCAAAAGUUGUUAUAUUUCCUUGUAGAGGGAGUAUAUGCAAAUUAACAAUCAAAAUUUACGCUCUUGAAAUAUUAUCUAAACAACUGCAUCAACAAUCAAGAAUAAACAUGUAUCUAUGAAUUUUUCAUCUCCCAUGCAGAUGAAUCUGUGUGUACAAACUAAAGAAGCAUGAGAAAAACAAUAAAUUGACAAGACAACGGACUAGAUGUUGCAUGCAGAUGAAUCUGCGUGCAAAAUUCUCAUAAGGCAACAUACUACAUGUUGAAGGUAGUUGAAUCUGUGCGCACAAAAUAAAGAAGCAGGAGAACAAGAAAUUGACAAGAAGAAGGCCAUCGUAUGUGCUGCUACUGGAGAACUACUAACAAAAUUGACAAGAAGGACAACUCACCGUUCCAGAAGCCAGAUUGUUGGGAGAGUGGGCGACGCAGAGGAAGAGGAAAUCAAGAGGACACAGAGGCAGAGAAACCGUUUUUGGAGAGUCGUGGCAGUGAGGACGAAGCGCCCUCGCGCAUGCCCAUCCUAAAUAAUUGUGGCGGGGCUCGUCCCGCGUGUUGGAGUCCUCCCGCAUGUUGGAUUCCUUGCUUUCUUUCUUAUGUUCUCAUUUAAAAUGGGCUCAUCCCAUUGUAAUAGGCCCGUAUAAGAAAGCACAAGAAGCCCAAACGCUUCACGGUUGAGAUCAAGUUGAUAAAAAAAUUCUCAAAAAAAACUUGCUAAAAAACAACAACCGGAAAUGCUCUUUGACGAGCGAGCCUGGCAACGCUUGAUCCCAAUAUCUCCCCCCCCAUGAUUCUAAUCUUUCCGCCCCCUGAUUUUCAGGUGGGCCUAAAGAGAUCUCCCCUCUAAUCUCUAUGCCCCCCUGAUUUCAACGUGGGCAGGUAAGAUAUUCUCUGUAAAAUCUCUUCAGUUAUCUCUCUCCUUCCUAAUUUAAAGGGAUUCCUGUUUGGACGUGGUUACCUAAUAAAGCCUGUCUAGUCGGAAAUCGCUCGCCAGAGCGAGCGCGCACGCAAUAGCAUCGCCCAAAAAAACAUUACGUGAUCUAAAACUACCUCUUCGUGAGAUCCCAAAUCCCCUAUAAAUACUCCACCCCACGCCUCCCACCCCACGCCUCCCAUACCUAGCCUUCCAUGACUACACCGAAUUACCACCCCACGCCGCCCAAAGUAGCUCCCAGGUCGGUGAAACUGACGGAGCCGUCAUCUUCGGAGCCUGCGUCGGCGAAUCCUGAGAUGAAUGAGAAGGGCAUGUCAGAGAAGCCGACGAAAGAGAAGGGCACGUCGGAGAAGCUGGCGAAGCAAAGAUGAAAGUGAAUGGCAAUGGAGCCGGUCGCCAUCGAGAGAAUCCUCCGGUAACAAUCGAGAUCCUUGUAUUCUGCAUACUCCCUCCUUCCCAAGUAUGCAUGCAAUCCCAUAAUUUUCCCUAUUUUACCAAAGGGAGAUGGGUGUGUCUAGAAAGAAAAGAAAAAAUGACAACAAAAAAAGGCUUGCACGAAUCUUAGCAUAAAAUCAAUGACAUAGGACUUAGAUGUGAAAUAAAAUCAGGGUUAUCGUCUCUGUUUAUAUACCUUAAAAUUUGGAAAUUGCUAAUUUUUUGGCAUAGGCUUUCUAAAUGAGUUCUUAAUAUCCAGUGAUUGAAACUAUUCGUGAUUCCCCUUAAUUUUGCAUGGUCUUUACUAAUUGAUCUUUUUAAAUCUGAUCGGAACUAAGGAGUAUAUGCUCUUGAAUGCUUGCAAUGGAACUGCUACAUUCCUUUUUCAAGAUUAUCUAUAAACUAUUGAUCUUCUCAUCAUGUAUUCAAUUAUUUUCGUAAGCGUGACGCCUGAAACUUUAGUAGUGUACAUAGACCAAAGUCUGCAAUUUCUACUAAAAUCAAUGCUAUUAUCGGUCAAUUUGCCGACAGAGAUAGCUUGUUUUUCUAUGUCUGGUGUUCAUUAUAUGGCCCAGAAGAUUUAUGAUUUCAUGCAGUACUGUAGAUCACAAUUUUGAUAUUGGCAUAGAUUAGUCGGUUCUAUGCGUGUUUAAAUGAAUACCAUACAGAAUCUAAUCACACUAUUUGUACAUUUAGGGAACUCGGGUUGCUUGUUUGCUGCAAUACGAGAAGUUCAUAAAAGAUUUAAACACACAGCAACUGACGUACAUCAAGUUGAUUGGACUGGGUGAACUUCCCAAGACACAUGGCAUGAGAAUGAGACAUCUACUGUGCCAGGCCAUUGCUUAUUCAUAUGAUACAGAGCAGGAUGCCUUUAUAAUUAAUGGGAGACCAUGUAGGAUCACACUAAAAGAUGUGGAGCAUAUAACAGGCCUGCCCUGCAUGGGGAAGAAUCACGUCUCUUCAAAUCACAACGAUACUUUGGAGUUGUGGAAGGAACUGAAAGACCCCAGUGACACAAAAGUAACUUUGAAAGGAUUGCUAGCCAAGAUGAAAGGCGACAACACACCUAAUUUUGUCAGGACAUUUGUCUUGUACACCAUAGGCAAAUAUGUAUGCCCGACAACACAACAGUAUGUGGACAACAUAUACCUUGGGAUUGUUAGAAAUGUUGAGACAAUAAAGAGCACCAAUUUUGGACAGCUUACGCUUGACCAUCUUAUGGCUAGCGUCAGGAAAUUUGUAAAUGGUGGAGCAAAUCUGGAGGGCAACCUACCACUGCUGCAGGUAAUACAAUCAUUAUUAACAUACCAUACAUUUAAUUUUAUGGAAAAUUGUCUAAGCUGUUUUUGUUGUAAUGCAGGCGUGGUACUAUGAGAAGUGGAGGGUGCACCAAUUGGACUCUACCAUCUCGUAUGCAUCAAGGUUAAGGCCGCUGAUCCAAAACUGGAGUGACGAGAAGGCACAGAAGGUUGACAACAUAAUCAACAUAAACUAUAUAGGGGUUGGAGAGGUAAAGUGUUAGUACUGUGUGCUUGGAUUAUGUACCAUAUGUUUUCAAUGAUACUAACGACACUAACAUGCAGUAUGUCGAUGACCUGCUACGGCCUUUCAAUCCGCCACCAGUUGGGACGACGGUCAAACCAAAGAAUGACGGCCAGGUAAAUGAUGAACAUCACGCAAAAAUAUAUAUUGUAACUUUGCAAGUACAAUCGAAGUCAUAUGCUCCUAACUGCUUGUAAUUUGCAGGAUAAGGCACUCAUGGGCCGUGUAUUGUCUGAUUUAAAAGAAGUUGUCUCCAUUGUGCGGGAGGCCAGUGCAAAAUAAUUUGAUUGGAUGUGCACCCUUGAAAAAAAAAUGGACGAGUGCCUUAGGCCCCUUGCGAACGGCAGACGCACGGACAACCUCAUCACAGAAUUCAAUGUAAAUAUACCAUUGUGAGUUUCUAUAAAUAAUUUUACUGUCAAUACUCUCCACACUAACACAUUUUUUAAAGAACUACCGCUAUGGAAUAUUUGAUGUUGAUCGCCCAAGAGUCGAGGACAUACGGCUAUCUGACCUGGGAGUACCUGCGGACCCAAUGGAGGUCCCAGGAGAGAAUACUACUCGCCAGCAAAAACAAAAAGAUGACACGGAGGUCAUUGCCAAAGGCAUUUCUGCUAAGGGAAUACAAAAAGAUUACAUGGAUGCCCCCAAGAAGAACGUAUCUGAAGAUUUGCAGCCUGCUCCUAGUUUGCAAUCGCGAAAGCAUUCAAAAGCCAAGAUUAGCCUUGAAGCUUUCAUGGUGAUACACAUUUUACAUCUAACUGAUUUUGUUUUAAGUUAACGCAGAUUCGUAGCUAACAUAUGAUCUUUCACGUUCAGGAUGAAGAAGACAGCUUUAUAAAGAGGUGGAUGCAUCGCAGGGUGCUCCGAGUUUGGAUUUGCGAAAGCAUUCCAACACAAGCCUUGAAGCUUUCCUGGUGAUGCACAUUUUACUGUUAACUGUUUUUUUAUUUCGCGCAGAUUGCAAGCUAGCAGGUGCUUCAUUUCGAAUCACAGGAUCCUAUGAAUUUGCGGCACAAUGAGAAUGUGCGAAAGACUGAAGAAAGAAGUAAUCAAGAUGAUGAAGAUGUCAGUAUUGAGGUGGGUGCAGAGGCAGGUACCAAAAGCAACCACUGGUCUGCCAAGGCUAAGGGGAUAAGGGAGCCAGAAGAGCCCCAUGUCUUCCUAGUUGAUGAGGACAACUAUGAUGAUUCUUUAGCAAAGCAGCGACAAGAUAGUGGGGUUGAUUCCAUGCUACCAACUUGUGCGAGCAGCCGGAAAAGAGUGGCAUCUUCAUUAUUGUGCAAUGAAGAUUUUGUUCUGUACGAUAGUGAUAAGAAGAGAAAAAAAAAUAGGACUCCAUCGGAGUCUACCAACGAUUCCAAGGACACAAAGAAUACAAAGAGGAAAAACCGUGCAAGCAAUUUAAAGAUACAGACACAGGUGCUUCGACGCUGGAGACGAACCUUGACAAGUUUCGACAGAGUUAUGUGGCCGAAAUUAUCAACACCUCAGAUCUUGAUAAACAAUUGGUGGUAAUUAAUGACAUUGUUCUGCAACAGAAGCAUUUGCAAUGCCUCACCAUGACAGAUGUAGGUGAAGAUGACAAAUGGUUGGGUGAUGAAGUAAGAUAUUUGCCCAAAUUAGUUUAUCAAUUUUCUUUUGCAUAGUACAAUUAACUUGAAUUUUUUUGAAUGCCACAAUUAACUUGAAUUUUGUUUUAGUUGGUUGAUGCUGUGAUUCAGAUAAUGCGUCAUGAUCAUCCUAAUGACAUAAGGGAUGGGCAGCUGGUUUACAUUGAGAGGGUGGCCAGCGUCGCUAUGCUCGAAAGAGAUGGUAAGGUAGAGAACUGCCACGAGGCUGCUUUGGCGGGCAGUCAUGGAACAACAAAAGGAGACAACUACCUUAGACAUGAUCUGGUACCAUCUCACCAUGACAUAAACACAGUUAUUUUUCUAAUUAUUAUGCAUGUUGAUGUAAUCAUCUUUGCUGUCCAGGUUUUUUUGCCUACAAACAUGGCGAACACCCACUGGUUCCUUGUGGUCGUAAACCCCAGAAGGAGGGAGAUUCAGAUUCUUGAUUCACUUUUCGGCUACCUAGAACGCACACAAGUGGUUCACGUGGUGAGAUUUUAAACAUCUUUCAAUAUAACACAGGUUUAGCAUCAUACCUACCCAUGAACCGUGAUCAACUUCUCAUACCAUGGACUUUGGCAGAUACAUGGGGUGGAAGCACAUCUGAGAGCAUCGCUGCGAAUCAAUGGACCACAAAGCCAUGCAUGGCAAGACAUUAACGUGACCCAAUGGACAGUAAAGCAUGUGCCUGUGCCAAGACAAGAUGACAAGUUAGUCAACAAUAUUAGCUUCUAAUUAUGUUUUUCAUUGUUAAUACGUGAAAUGCUGCUAACAGAAUUAAUUGUUGUAGUUCUUCUUGUGCACUCUACAUGCUAAAGAACAUCGAAUUCUUUACGGGAGAAGAUCUUAGACUGCAUUAUGACCAAGUACGCAGAGUAACACCUAAAAUUCUCUCAAUUUUGUAAACAUACGGAACGAUACUAACAUAUCCUCCCAUGCAGGCAUACAUCAACAAUUAUAGAAGAGAGCUGCCUAUUGUCCUUCUUAAUUCUCCCUACAACAAAUUGAAGUCCAUGAAAAGGCUGAAGACGUACAAUGCUAGCCUAUCGGAUGCAGCUGCAAUUGAAGAUCAUGAAGAUGCAAGCAUUUAGUUCAGCAAUGGUCCAUUCUUAGAUAUGGAGUGUACAUUUGGUUAUGAAGCGGUAGAGUAGGGUGUGGUUUGGUUUUAGUCCCGAUGAAGGUUUCCUAGCCAUGUGCUUAGUCCAGUGCGGAUUAAUCAAGUUGUAAUACUUCACAGUACUAGUUUCAAAUACUAUUCUUGAAAUAAAUUUGGUCUGCAUGGGAGACGCUGAAACAUAUAUUUACUUUUGACAAGAAUUUGAAGCUUAGGAAGGUUAACUGAAUUCUUAAAUUUAUAUUUGAGUUCCGUUGAAGUCUGGACAAGAUUCAGAACAAUUACGUCGCUAGUUAGAAGUUUUAGAUUUUUUUUAACAUCGCUAGUUAGAAGUUCGAGAAAAAUUUCAGCGAGUGCUAAAAUAUUUUGAUCGAAAUUCAGUGAGGCUGAAAUAUUUUGGCCGAAAGGCAAAUAUUGCAGUGAGUGCUGAAAUGAAUGAAAUUCAGUUAUUUCAUCGAAAUCUCACUGAAGCGAAAACCAUGGUGUCGUGCCAUCUUGAGCAGCACCAGACAUGAUUCAGUAUUAUCAACAAAAUUUGGUCUCACAUGUACGAGGAAAAAAUGUAUGAGCACGGAUGGGCAAUAAAAUAGCUUCACAAGAGAGAGGAAAAUACUUCACAUGUGAACAGACAAUCCUAGUUGACUUUAGAACCAGUUUUCAUCCUAAAAGAGGUCUAGUGAUUUACUUAUAACCAAUAAUAAAAUCGGUCCAGUUCUUUUGGCUGUUUUUCAAAGAAACGGGAACUAUAUCUUUUUGACGAUCAUGAUUCUCAAGAGACCUAAGUGUUGUUACGCAACUUACCUUAGUUUUUUUACACCACAACUUACCUUUGCUAAACUCUCCACGCCCCCCUAAUAUUCAACCAGGUGGGUCCCCUCCCUUGAUUUCCUCCAACCGAAGAAAUCUAUACGUGGAUAUAUGCCCGGGUUGUUACGAUCCCUAUAAAUAGGGAUCCUUUGAAACCUCAUGGAGCAUAGUUCGUCCUUCUGUGCCACCCAAAGCAGCAAGACCGAAGGACGGAGCAACCCAGGAAUCCAGCAAGACCGAACGAUGGAGCCAAACAUGAAUCCUCAGGUAACUCCCCACGAUCUCCUGCUGCAGCCGCUGCUAUUUUUCGUGCCACGAUCUUAAUCCCAUGAUCUCUUGCAGCAACCCCACUCGUUGUUUGCAUAUUCAUGUAACUCAGCAUGUUUUUAAACAAAGUAAGUUGGGGGCGUUAGGGGAGGGCGCUAGGAUUUGUUUCCUACCAGAUUGGCAGUUCAUUGAUUAAUUCCAGGCUAAAUCUUAGGUUCUGGUCUUGUCGAUGCCAAUUAGGGCAGCAGGCGCUUGCCUUCUUUUUUCCUUCCGCACGAGUUAUGGAAGGCAUCGAUGGCCCAUGUUUUAAUUCCAUACUACUGACCAUGAUUAGCGCCUAGAGUUGAGGAGACCAGGGUUGGAUAGUUUUUUAUUUUCGAAUCUUGGUUUUAUUUCAGAUCAGUGCCUUGCAAUGGAGAUUACCUUAUAUGACCGUUCAAACGUAACCAAGCCGAAUCUAAUGCUAGUAUUUGCACAUUCAUGGAACUCAGCUUGCUUGUAAACAAAUUACCUCAUGAAGUAGCGUAGAGCACAAUUUGGUAUAUAUAAGCUGUAUUCGUCUGUAUGAGUGUUUAAAUUGUAUAACAUGCUGAAUCUAAUCACACUUGUACAUCCAUUGAACCCAGGAUGCUUCUUUGCCACCAUAUGAGGAGUUCAUAAAGGUAUUAAACACGCAGCAAAGGAUGUACAUCCAGUUGAUAGGACUGGGUGGACUUCUCAAGACACCUAGCAUCAAAAUCAGACGUGUACUGUGCAUGGCCAUCGCUAAUUCAUAUGAUGCAGAGCAGGAUGCCUUUAUCAUCAACGGGAGACCAUGUAGGAUCACACUAGAAGAUGAAAGGCGACAGCACACCAAAUUUUGUCAGGCCAUUUGUCUUGUACACCAUAGGAAAAUAUGUAUGCCGAACAAAAGAGGAGUAUGUGGAUAACAAAUAUAUUGGAAUUGUUAGAAACGUUGAGACGAUAAAGGGUACAAAUCUUGGACAGCUAACGCUUGACUAUCUUAUGGAUAGCGUGAAGAAUUUUGUAAAUGGUGAGGCAAUUCUGGAGGGGAAUCUACCACUACCGCAGGUAACUCGUAGUAGUACAAUUAUCACUUACCUAACAUACAUUACAUAAUGUACGAGAAUAUUUGUAAACUGCUUUUGUUGUCAUGCAGACAUGGUACUACGAGAAGUUCAGAGUGCACCAAUUGGACUCUAGCAUCUCGUAUGAAUCAAGGUUAAGGCCGCUGAUCGAGAACUGGAGUGAGGAGAAGGCAAAAAAGGUUGACAAUAUAAUCCAGAAUAAUUAUUCGGGAGUUGGAGAGGUAAAAUGGUCAGCACAUUGCCUGGAUUAUGUAACAUGUAUAUUUUCUAAAUCAUACUAAUGACACUAAACUGCAGUAUGUUGAGGACCUAAUGAGGCCUUUCAUUCCAGCACGAGAUGGUACACUGGCCAAAUCGAAGACUGGCGGUCAGGUAAAUGAGUUACAUCAGGCACCCAAUAUAUAUUGUAACAUUGUAACUAGUAUGAAGUUAUAUGAUUCUAACUGUUUCAAAGUCUCAGAUUAAGGUACUCGUCGGACGUGUAUUGACUGAUUUGCAAGAAGUUUCCUCCCUCGUGCGGGAGGCUGGUGCACAAUAAGUUCAUAGGAUGUGCACCCUUGAAAAGAAAAUGGAUGAGUUCCUUAGGCAUACCCAUACAAAUGGCAAGCUCACGGAGGACCUCAUCAAACAAUUGAACGUAAGCCUAGAAUUAUGAGAUUAGUAUAUAUAAUUGGAAAUUUACGUGUAGAAGGUUUUUCCUAAAUUAGUUUACUAUGAAAACACCCCAGACUAACAUGUAUUUUUUAAAGACAAAACGCGACGGAAUAUUUCCAGGACUGGAGGACAUACAUCUUUCUGACCUGAGGGCAUCUUUCUAAACAUGGCUGCCUCUAUGCUAUAAAAUAGGGUUGUUGCCCCUACGUGGGUGGGCUGGUCUCUAUUUGGGCAUGGUUAUUUUCUCACGGCCCAUCAUCUAUUCGGCAACCCAGUUUUGUUUUUUACUAGAAACUGAAUUUGGGUGUGUACUCUGUUAACUGAAGAAUAAAAACAAAGGAAACAGAGCAUAAAUACUGAAUAAUUUGUGUUCCAAAUUGCUGUUUCAAUUCAGAUACAUGAACUUGGCAUGGCGCACAGAUCACAUCCUCUACCCUGACAGGCCUAAAUGCCCAUUCUAAUGACAGAUGAACAACAAAUAAAACAAAAACAGAGCAAUGAUACAGCAAUAGAACCCCCUGCCAUGAUAUUUGCUUGCUUUUGCAAAUCGAUCAUCUGCAUUAGAUGUUUCUUGAUCUUCUUCAGUUCCUCGGUCAGUUUGGACCCCGCAUGCAGUUCAUCAUUGCGCGCAUACAUCGCCAUCGGCACGACUCUGCCCGCCCCUCCGCCAAAGCUCCCCAUAUUCUCCAUAGCAAUCGGCGGCACCCCGCCCAAAUUGAGCUCCCAGGUUGCGGCCACGCUCAAAUCCUAUCAAACUAAAUCCUAUCAACAUAUUCAUCAAUCCACUUGAAAUGGUAACAUUUCUUCAGGAUCUGAAAACCACAAUAUGAACCCUAAAUCCCAAAUUCAAGGAGAAAAAACAAAAUAUGGAGAAAUCAGAGCAAAAGACAGCAAAAGAACGGGCUUAGAACUGAGAUCUAACCUUGCCAUCCCUUCCGGCCAUUGGUUUGCUCAAGCAUUUCACAAAUUCCCGUCCAAGAUUGCCAUUAUCAUCCUUCUUAGUGACCAACCGUUUAAGAGGCUCUGGGCAUGGGCAGUCAGGGCACCUUGUGAGCAGCAUUGGAUCAUACUGUCGCCAUUUUGAGUGCAUGGCGGAGGAGAUAGACAUUUGCGCUAGGUCGUCGGAGAAGAGAAAGAUUGGGGAAAGGGGCUGAAUGGGCGGCGGCGGGCGGACGGGUACGGGCGCUCGUCUCUUCUAGCUGCGAGGAGGUGGGUCCCGCGAGUAGACAAGUGGUGUGUCCCGCGCUUACGUGGAUUAGUGGUGGGUCCAGCCCCCAACAGCUAAUGAGGGCAUCAGUUGAGUUUAACAACCAUGUCAUGCAUGGGCUAUUUACCUGCUCAAAAUUGUCGCACCACAGCAAUUCGCUCGAACAACGUCGCACUCUUGCCAAUUCACCUCAAAUGUGUUGCACAGGAGCUAUAAGCCCAUAGUUAAUCGCACUUUGGGUCGUUCCCGAUCUGAAUUUUAAAAUUCACUUUGAGGGGCGGAGCAGGGGUUGUAUAUGCAAACUGCGCCGACGUGCUGAUGAACAGGUUGGGUCUAAACCAACAGUUCAGAAAAUCACCACGGCUUGGCAGGUUCUUAGUUUACUGACUUUAUAAUGAGAUGAGAUCACAAAGAACCCAAAUACUUCAGAGUGCAUGCGCACUAUCUAGGCAGAACGAGCGGCCGAACACAAGCCGCUCGAUCAGCCCAGAUCGUGCGGUCCUCGGCGUCAGGUCGUACCUGGUCAGGAGGUGACCAAACACGCACGUGGCUGGGCCCGCCCGCAAGCGCCGCUCUCCUGCUCCAGACGGUUUGCGUCGCGUAGGAAGCACCCUUGCCACGGGCCUCUGUCUACUUCCUCUCUUCUCGCCCUGUUCUUUCCCCAAAUCCGACGACGAGAGACAACCGCUGCCGCGACGCAGCCGAAGACGGGGGGCAGGGAAGGGGAAGGGCUGGAGCGCGGUGGGGACCCGCUUCUCGUCGCCGGCGUAGGUACGGUCGCCCAUUCGGCUGCUCCCUGCCCAACCAGAUCCAGCCCCAUCGUCCUUGUUCCCCGCCGUCGUCGACGGGAUGCGGCCGUCGUCUACUUCCUCUGCCCGAGGUCAGCUGAGAUCCUUCCCCUCUAGAUCCGACUGAGUCCACUGCGUCCCAAAUGGCAGGGGUGGAGGAUCCUCUGGUCGCGGUGGCAUGUGAUGUGGGCGUCACGCGAUGGCAGAGAUGGAGCAACCUCCGGUGGUAGUGGUGUCUGAUGUGGUCUUUCCAGCGUCAUGAUCUGCUAGGCCUAGGUACAAAAAUGUCAUGUCCAUACGCCGACAGCGUUUCUGGGCUGAUUCGGGCAGAGGGGUCCCAUGGGAGAGCGUUGCAUUCGCUCUAAGCGAGAGCUUCUAUCGGAAAUUUUUUGCUUGGACCGUCACAUCCUAGCAAUAUCUACUGCGGCAGCACAAUGUUCAGAGGCACCGGUGUAUUUCUGGGUGCCUGCAUGUCAAUACAAUCUAGUACAGUAUAGUACUAUUUUGCUAGUAAACCUGGCACACGAGUCUAGUUUGUCUUUACAUCUUUAAUUAAUGUUUAAUUUCCUCUUCUAAUUUAGCGCUAGUCUGCUACAGUACAUGAUGAUAGUUGCUGAAGCAAACUAAUCCAAUUCUAUAUAUGUUUCAUCUUCCUCGCAAAAACUUAUCAAUCAGCGGACGAUUGUGUGGCGAAAUAAGUGUUUUCUAGUCAGCUAACGUUCAAUGAUUGGGUGGUGAAAUAAGUGUUUUCUUUAGUUGGCUAACACCGUGACGCUUGUAUGUUCUGUAAAUUAUCAAUCUUGAAUUUUUUGAAGAGCAUAGAAAGAGUUGCACAAGAGUAUCUAAAUGAGCUGGCAUCCUCAGGCUUUUCUAGUUGCACAAGAGUACCUGGUUAGUUGGCAUCCUCAGCAUUUCUAGUUGCACAAUUCAAUCCAACUAGUUGACAUCCUCAGUCUUUUUGUAGCUGCGUUGACACCCUCAGCAUUUUCUUCUAGAAGCCCGAAAUCUGAAUAUUUCAUUUCCCAAGAGUAUCUAAUUAAUUGGCAUCCUCAACAUUUUUAGUUGCACAAGAGCAUUCAGAAACAUCCAUUUUGCCUGAUUUUUUGGUUUGACAGGGAUGGAAACGUCGGCACUGGAGUCGUGGCCGUGGCGGGGAAGGCGAACCCAGCGCAGCUCUGCCAGUGGCUCAAGAGGAAGAUAAGCAAGGAUGUCAAGAUUUUCCGCCGUUGUCCAAACGGGCUGAGAAUUGUAAUAAGCAGGUAUGCAUCCCUCUUGUCUACUUGUACUGCAGAAUGAAGGACGAUGUGUGUAAUAUCCAAAUGAAUGCACGUUAUUACGAAGGGCUAGCCGUGUGGGGUUAAGGUGCUCGCCGGCGGCGACCUGCGUGGCUCUCGGCCUGCAUCCUCGCUGAACUCAACACCAACUAUCGCGCGCCCGCGAUGUGACUGCUGUUGCAACAACGACGGCCAACGGCUAUUGAACGACGAGGAUGCCCUUCGGGGGUUAUAGCAUGCAAAGCAAAGAAGUUGCUCGAUACUCACAGCCAAUAUAUCUCCCUGUAGAAGCAGAAGAAGCAGCAAUUGAUUCAUAAGCAACAAUUUUAUCUGUUUCGUUCCUUUGUAUUUUUGCCCUCUGUUUCUACUGAUUGUAUGUAUCACUUUUUCAGAUAUAUUGAUCUUCACAUUCUUAGUUGGCAUCCGUAGUGGUUGUAGUUGUACACAUAGCAGUUCUUGGUUGGAUACGACAAUUAGAAAGUUGCACAACACUAAACCUUUUUCCUACGGCGGUGAAAGUGGAACGGAAUACAUUGAACUGAAUACACAUGGUGAUCAUUUUUUUGGCAUUUAUAGUAAUUCUUGUUACACACAUAGUUGUUUUCGUCGGAGACGAUCAUUACUAUAGUAGUUGUAGUUGCACAUACAGUUGUUCUCAGUUGGAUCCUAUUAUUGAAAAAUUGCACACAUGGCAAUCAUUUUUUGUUUGCAUCUAUAGUAGUUCUAGUUGCACACAUAGUUGUUUUCAGUUGGACACGAUCAUUGGAAAAUUACACACACGGCGAUCAAUUUUGGGUGGCAUCUAUAGUCGUUCUAGUUGCACACAUAGUUGUUUUCAGUUGGAUACGGUCAUUGGAAAGCUGCACACACGGUGAUAAUUUUUUGUUGGCAUCUAUAGUAGUUCUAGUUGCAUACAUAGUUGUUUUCAGUUGGACACGGUCAUUGGAAGUAGUUGGCAGGGGCAAUAGAAGUAGUUGCACAGAAUCUGCUAGGCAAAACUUUAUGGUGGCGAAAGAUUCCUCUUAGUAAAUCUGCAGAGAAGAAAUGUGCGCGCGAAGGCAGUAUCCAAAGGGGUAGAUGCCACAUCUUCUGCAGCAGCCGCUGUGGUAACAUAAAGUUCUAUCAUGAAUACUUUUUACUCCACAUACAGGCAGCCAAGUGUAUGAAUUUUCAUACAUGGUUGCAGAAGGACUAAUUAAGCAUUGGCAUGCUCUACUUUCUCAGUUGCUCAACGUUGCCAUCUUCAAGUUUUUUAGAAUUGUCCCAAGAGUAUGUAACGACUUGGCAUCCUCUGGCUUUCUAGUUGCAGAAUAAUAUCUAAUUAGUUGGCAACCUCGGUAAUUCUAAUUGCACAACAAUAACUAGUUGACAUCCUCAUCUUCUCUAGUUGCACAAGAACUCAGAUUAGUUCCAUCUUAAAAAAAAUGAGGAUUUCCCUACAGUAUGUAGCGACUUGACACCCUUAGGCUUUCUAGUUGCAGAAGAGUAUCUAUUUAGUUGGCACCCUCGGCAAUUCUAGUUGGACAAUAUUAUCCAAGUAGUUGACAUGCUCAGCCUCUCUAGUUGCACAAGAAUUCAGAUUAAUCCCAUCUUAAAAAAUUUGAGGAUUGCCCAACGGUAUCUAAUCACUUGGCACCCUCAGGCUUUCUACUUGCAGAAGAUUAUCUAUUUAGUUGGCACCCUCUACAAUUCUAGUUGGACAACAUUAUCCAAGUAGUUGGCAUCCUCAGCCUCUCUAGUUGCACAAAAAUAUCUCAUUAGUUGGCAUCAUCAGCAUUUCUAGUCGCACAAGAAUAUCUCAUUAGUUGUCAUCACCAGCAUUUCUAGUUGCAGAACAAACAGGAUAUCAAGUUGCCAUCCUCAACAUUUUAAUCUAGUUUUCCAGAGAACAAAUAUUUGUAUGUAAUGAUAACUAAUCACCUUUGCCUUUUUUUUGCAAACCCCGAGAUAUUGUUCCAGGAAAUGAGAGUAAUGAAGCAUAUAAUGUUGAACGAUAGUCACAAGCUGGCUACCUGAUGGAGACUACGCUGGAUACCUGAUGUUUGAGUUGGAUAGAAUACAUGUUUUAGUUGGCUAUAAUACAUGGGUACCUGCACACAACCUUGUGUAUGCUUGUUGCACACAUCCAGGGGAAAGUUGGCUAUUUAACCAUGUUUAGUUGCACAGGGAACUACAUCAACCUUUUUUCUACUAUGAUGCAUUUUUUCACCCGUGGAUAUGUUUGUUUGCACACAUCCAUGUGAAAGUUGGUUUGAAACCAUGGUUUUCUUGCACAGGGAACUGAAUUUCUUAUGCUUUUACUUGAUCUUCCUUCUCAAAAUCAUGGAGUUUUUUUUACUUGAUUUGGGAGAUUUAGAGGGAAAGGGCAAGGGAGAUAGUCAACAAGGUUUGCACAUGGGAGAGGAGAAGGAUUUCUUACCUUGGCGUUGCUUGGUAAGCUUCUCUUCUCUUCUUCCUGUUUUUCUGACCAAGAUCUCCUCACCUUGGCUGCUUUGCCAUGGCAGCUCUACAGGAUCUGGUUCAUGGCAUUGGAUCUGGUUUCUUUCAUGGGGAAGAAGCUGACGACCAGCGAGGGAGAGAGGGUGGGUGAGAGGGGCGUGGGGUGCGCUAGUAGUUUGAUGGGUAUCACGUGACAACGACGGGUGGUGAGGCGACUCUAUUAAUCUGCUUUUUCCUUUGUUUGCGCGUGGGAACAGGUGAGAACAGCUGGCGCGAAGGAUCUUUCCUUCCUGGGACCAGCGGACAAACGCUUAUUUUUUCUGGCCUGCCGCUCGCGAGCGCUAGCGAGCACUCUGCCGCUCGCUAGACGCGUCCCACAAAGAAACGCAUACUCCACGGAGCAAUGCUCGUGUAACCGCAACAACGUCCACCACAGCAGCGACGCAACGCAGGAGGGGUCACGGUAAAAGCUAAAGCAGCACAUCAACCGAACCUAGCAUCUGCCACCGGAGGGCAUGGCGGGGGUGGUGCCGGCGGCCGCAGAGGCUUCGCCCCUGUGGACUUGUUGGGCUUGGGUGGAGGGGGCGCCUUCGCCGGCACCUUCCGCCCCAGCGACCUCCCUGCAGUUCUGCGGCCACCGUUGACUCCCUCCACCGCCAAUGCCGCUGCGCUCCACACCUUCGCUUCACCGCUCGUGCCAACGGUGUAGCGCGACGAGCCGACGGACAUCGCGCAGGAGCACAGGAGGAAGGCCGCCAUGAGCAGUGAAGUGAGAAUCUUCUUGCAGUACAUGACGAGUGUGCAGUUACUUACUGAGCUACCACUAAUUAUCUGUCAAUUGUCGAUCACCGUCGAAGCUGUUCAUAUAUAUAUAUGUGGUUGUUGAGGCCGAAGCAUCCGGAACCAUUUUUUUUUACACAAUGACUCUGCCGACAUGUUGCCACCCAACUGAUGGGCAUACGGUAUCUUGAGAAACAUAACUGGUGGUCAUCGAUGCUUGGCUGCAGCAUCAAUGUACGCAGGUAUUCGUGCUUACUUUGAACCAUCUUCACAACUUGCACGGUUAGCAUUCACUAACUUUAUUUUUCUGGAUAUGUGUAUUUAUUCAAAUCCGUAAUAAAUUUCUUUUGCACAAGUUUAUCAAACCAUGAGUGUUAGCAUUAAGAAAAUGAAAUAAUUUAAAUUUAAAACGAAGUUUGUGUCAAGUGUACAAAACAAUAGUAGAACCAAGAAAAACAACACAAUUUUUGAAUUUUAAACUUGAUAGGGGCCGCUCAAACGCGUAACCCCUUCUUUCAUAAAUUAUGACAUCCAUUCUCCCACGAAAAAAAGAUGGUAGAUCAACACGCUCACAAAGUGCAAUGUGAUCCGUUAAACUAUGCCAUGAGCCUUAUUGAUCACCUAUAGACCUCGUACAGGUAGGUAUGUUUCAAAGUGUUCCUACCCUUCAAUUAUAUACUCGCUUUUGGCACCAAUCUUCUUAAUCCUCCCAUAUGGUACGAAACAAAACGCAGUUAUCUUGUGUUUUUUACGCAAUUACCUUUACCUUGCGUUCUUUUUUUGAGCGGUACCUUUAUCUUUACUUCACCUUGGGUGGCCUGGUUAAUCUCAGACCGACCACAAAACUGGUCUACAAUUAUUUUCUAGCCCACCGGCCUCUGGAAGGCAGAGUGAUUAAUGGGCCCAGUAGCAUCUAGCCCAUGAACACAUCAAUCAGAGGAUAUAACGGCAGGUCGGGACGAGCCGGCUGAACAACCCGUGAUCCAUGUUGAUAACGAUUUUCGGUUGCUCUUAACUGAAGAGCUUGUCCUGCAUAUCAUCUUGUGAUUUUAUAAAGUUAGGGAAACGUUUGGAGACGGUGCGCCGGCCGAAGCUUCGACCGGUCGCCCGCUACCUCGUGCUCCUGUGUCGAUGAGACCUACAUCCGCACCCCAUCUGCUGCAGCCCAAUCUCGCAGGCGAGGCCGCCGUCCACCCCCGCAUCGCGUCCCUACCCCGCUGCAGCCCAAUCUCACCGGCAAGGCCGCCGUCUACCCCCGCAUCGACCCUCUACCUGCGGCAGCCCAAUCUCCCCGGCGAGGCCGCCGUCCACUGCACGGCCGGCGAUUUCCCCACGCGCACGACACGUCCACCGCCUACCUACAGUAUUCACGCGCGCGCAUCCCCUCCCCCCUCCUUUCGGGCUGUGUUUGGGCCACCACAAGCUCCAUCGCCAGCCAUGCCCUGAUCUCCCCGCGUAUACAAGUGUUGCAACCGUCACCUAGAAAAGCUUCAACAGCCGUUGAAAAAAGCUUCAACCAUAGACAUAGAAUGCUUCAAUGGCACUGCACAACAAGGGAAAGCUGCAACCGAUGUUGGAUUUUGCUACUACCGGCAAAGCUUUUUGCUACAUCCAUCAGGCAGAGCUGCGACCUCGCGAGGACGACAAUGAUUUUUUUGCUGCAACCGUAGUAAGAUUUUGCUACUACCGUUGGAGGUUUUUGCUACAUCCAUGUAAGGCGGAGCUGCGACCUCGCGAAGGUGGCGACGUCGUUUUUGCUGCACCCAUAUUUUGAUUUUGCUACUACCGGUGAAAUUUUUUGCUACAUCCAUUCAAAUGGUGUUGAUUGACUCACGGCCGCCGUCGACGUAUUUUUCCUGCAGCGAGCAUCAAUGGCGAGGGCGGCGGAGCUACAACCUUCAUCGUCAAGAGCUGCAAUCGUAGGUGGAGCUGGUGCAUUGGUCGAGGCGAGAACGAGGCCGGGAGGGUGGGGGACCGUUGACGAGGACGGCCGGCGAGGGCGGGGUCCGGUGGGUGACGAGGAUGACCGGCGAGGAUGGGGACUGACGACGGGGACGACCACCGGAGGGGACAGGAGGCGCGGCGUCGUGCUCCCCGAGUGGGAGAUGCGGAUCCAGGCCGCCUGCGUGAGGAAGAAGAAGCUGGGGGCGAUCUGUUUUUUUUUUUGCCUGGAUCCAACGGCCGCCUAGCUCACAUCCGAUGGCCUGGGCUGGACCGGCCGAAAGUUUCGGCCGGUGCGCCGGCGCCUAUAAGCGCCCAUAAAGUUAUUGUAGGCGCCUCGUAGUCCACAGAAACGUCUUCUCCCACUGAAUGCACAUCGCCGGAAAAUCCUGAAAUAAAUCCAGGAUAAAUAUGAGCAUCAGGAUUUGAACCCUGGUGGGCUGGAGAUACCACUAUCCAUCUAACCAUUCAACCACAUGUUGGUUCGCGAAUCACCUCAUGUUGAGGUGAUACCUUCGAUUGUAAACGACACAAUCCUUGUGACGACUGAAUAAAGGAGGAGGAUGUUUAUAAAAAAAUACUAAAGAACUUUUCCUAAAGUAAAUAAAAAACUGAAGAGCUUUUCCUAAAAAGAAAGAAAAAAACUGAAGAGCUGGUACAACUUGCGGGAGAAAAUUGCACAAACCAUCCAUUUUUGGUGACAAACCUGUAAAGUAGGUGUUUUGUGCAACACUAGCAUCAAAAGUAGGUGGUUUGUGCAAUUUCCUCCAACUUGCCGUGGUCAGCAGCAAAGCACAUACAAAAGAACUGAACUUUAAUCCUGUGCUAUUUACUGGAGCGGUCUUGUCAUGUUGGACUUUGCUAGCCAGCUUCAUGAUAGUCUAUUUCACGUUUCGGCGUUCGUUUUGUGCCCGCAAAUCGGCGGAUCUCGAGCUGUGAGCUCUUGAAGAGCACCCACGCUUGAUGCUUCAGAAGCAAAUUCACAGGUGCACUGCAUCUGCACUAUACCUUUGAAUUAAGUUUUUAUUAGGUCUCAUAUCGAGACUGACAUGUUGCUACCAAACGGGUAGGCACGCCGCAUCUUGGCAAACAUAGAUAAGCUCUGUUCUUCAACUUGCAUGGUUGGCAUGUGCUGCAGGAUGAUACACAGACGGUGACCGAAGUACCGAACACUACUGGAAGGUUUCAGAUAUAAAUGUAUCAAGUGAACAUAAGAAACAUGCCUCAUUUGAUGGCCAAGAUUAAAGAGGAGUGCUCGCUUUGGUGCCGUGUGGGAGCAAAGCAUUUGUGUAACAUUAUGCCGCGAGAGUGAUACUUUGUAAUCAAUGAAAAAGGCAAAUCUUUUGCCUAGUUUUAAAAAAUAAAAAAACUGUGCUCAGUAUGUUGGUCAAAUUGUUAAUGCACUUCUCUGGCCUAUUGUAAGUAUGAUUACAAGCUGUCCUACCCUCCUUUUAUAUGCACUUCUCUCCCACGACAAUCUUCUCCAGCUUUCCGUAUGGCAGUAAGCAAAAUACAAUCUUCUCAAUAUAAACUUUCUUCAUCUACUUAACUUGUAUGGUUGGUGUGCCGUCAAUUUGAUCUGGCCUGCACUUGUUUCAUCAGCAUUUACUCAACUACUUUUUUGGACAUGUGUCUCGAUUGUGCUCUGUGAUGAAAUAAUAUUUAUCAAAGCAGAAAGUUUGCAAAAGAAAUACUAUACAUAGAAUUUGGACCAAAAAAAUAUAAAGACAAAUUUCUCAAAAGAGCCAUAACGAACACAAAUUUUAGUUUAAAAACUUGGCAGGGGCCGCGCGAACGUGUACCCCCUCUAUCACAAAUUAUGACGUUCACUCUUUCUCAAAAGGAAGAUGGUAGAUCAACACACUCACAAAGUGCAACGCGAGCCAUUGAUCUAGGCCAUGAGCCUUAUUGAUCACUCAUAGACCCCGUCCAGGUAAGUGAUUUUCAACGUUGUCAUGCCCUCCACUUAUAUACACAUCUUCCCUGAGCCGAUUUUCUCAAUGUUUCCGUAUGGGACUAAACUAGACACAGAUUCGUUGGCUAACCAAUAUUUUCAGACUCGUCGGCCGAGGUAUUUAAGAGCCCAGUUGUACAUAUAGCCCAUUAACACAAUGGCUGAUGCCGAAGACGUGGCGGCCUCAUGCCCAAAUCCCGGCGAACUCGCAUGAUAAUCAUGCAUGCGUCGUUGGAGCGCCAUGAGUGAGACAUGGUGGACUUUCCUAGCAGCUUCACAUGCCGCACGUGGGGCCGUUGGUGAUCUAAGCAAGGCCAACCAUCAGCACGAGUACGUUUGCUAGCUCGACCUCGACCGUGUGUGUUUUUAUUGGUGACGCGAGGAGUGAAUCCUCACCUAAAUAUUUACAUUCAUAUUGCCUAUAGAGCCUUGUGGCUUUGUACAAGAUAGAUCGAUACCAAUGAAGUUUGGGCAGACUCCAGGCCAAGCCUACAUGCUUAUCAGGGCCGGUCCUGAGAUUUUGGGGGCCCGGGGCAAGACAAAAAUUUGGGACCCUCCUAAUAUAUAUAACCAAUAACAUUUUAAUGCAACCAAUUUUGAUACUAUUUUCGUUCAAUACUUUCUACAUAUUAUUCUAGAAGUUUCUUCUAAAACCCCGCUGGCCAUCGGGGACCUAGUAGUAAGGCCAUGAUUCGUGUCAAGGGAUCGGUCAUUCUUCUGUAGGCGAAACAUGUUAGACAUAUGUUUAUCCUGAGAAACAUUCGAAUAACUAGGCUACAAAACGACUAAGCAAGCAAAGGACAACAAUAUAUAUAAGAUCUAGUCUCUUAAAAUAAUUUUUGAUACAAAUCCACUUAUCAUAGGGUCAAUGUCAAUUUUAUCCAACAAUUUUUAUAGAUGUGUAAUAUUGCCAAAUUAUUUAGCAGUGGAAGAUAUGCAUCUUAUAUGUAUGUGAAGGUAAAUUACUUCAUCAGCAACAUAAAUAAUAGGGAAUAGUACGAGUGAUAUACCUCUUCUUUUUUGCGCCUACAAAUGAUAUACCUAAAACCAAUCGCAUCAGCGUCCGUGAUUAGGCGCUCAACAACGAUCCGAUAUGGAUGUCAAGCAGGAGGCACCCGGCAAUAUACUCCCAACACCUAGAAAGUGGAUAACGAACGCACUCGGUGCUGUCAAUUGCCAUGGCCUGAUGAUGUACGUGUGAGUCCUGCGUGGCUGCGUCCAGCUACUCGAGCUGCCGGCAGCCAGCGACUUUUGAUCUAAAGUUCGGGACCAAGGAACAAAGAAUAGGGCAGUGGAUUAGGGAUGCGAUCUCACGUCGCAAGAGUUACACCGUGAUUGCGUGCGUACAUCAAUGUGGGCCUAGUUUUGUUUACUUGAGCUAAUUUCGUUUCGCGAGAAGAAAGUAAUCAAUUCCUGAUUGCGUACUUGCGCCUAGGCUGCUACCUCUUUCCUUUUUUUGAGAGUAACUAGGAAUUUUAUUCAAAACUCAAAACAUCCGGGAUACAAGCAAUGUCUGGGAGAUUCCCUAGCCACACAUGGCGACCCACCGAAAGAGACGCAACUCCUUUUGCUAUCCAGUGGGCCUCAAAAUUAUUAUUCCUACGCUCAAAAUGGAAAGAAACUGUAAGAAAACUAUUCCUACUCACAAGAAUUUCCUUUAUGAUCGGAGCAUAAACCGGUGAUGCAUUAUUGUUGAUGUUCGAGAUCACCUCAAGGCAGUCCGAGGCUAUCACCAGAUUUUGAAGAUUCAAAUCCCGAGCUAGUGCAAGAGCUUCACUACAUGCAUGUGCCUCCAAACUCGCUGGUUCAAUCAGGCCAUCAAAAACCACAGCUGAAGCUCCUAGAUACUUGCCCGUGCUAUCCCGACAGAUCGCAGCUGCUACACCUCUCUCCCCCAGAGAUGAAACUCCACCGUCACAGUUUAGUUUGGCCGCAUCAUCUCCCGGUGGACCGAACACAGAGCAUUGUUUUCUCGCGUGGAACGAACAGCAACAAUGUCCAGGUCUUCUAGGAAUCGUUUAAUAAAACACAUUGUGGACAGUGGACUCUGAAACUCAUCCUCGUGAAUUGCCUUUCUCCGUGCCCACCAGAUCGCCCACAUGGUGACCAGCACACGGGCAAUGUCCUGCUGACUUGUAGUUUCAAAAAGCCAAAAUAACCAGAGUCGAGCAUCCUCGCUUUGGUUCGAUAUCACAUGCUCCAGCAGCUCUUCAUCCCCAAGAGCCCAAACACAUCUGGCCAUGCGGCAACUAAAUAGCGAGUGCCGCCAAGUAUCAUUCACUGCUCCGCAAAUAGAACACUCAGGAUCAUAUGCCAUGUUCCUAUCAUGUCGUACUUGGCCAGUCGGGAUCGAUGUAUGUGCUAGCCUCCACGCAAAAACCCUCACCUUUGAUGGUACCUUCACCUUCCAAAGUUGAGACCACGACUUUUUCUCUGCUGAGGUAUUGGAGUGCCCCGGUCGGUGUUCCAACCAAUCCUCUCUUUGGAACUUGAUUGCAGCGAGCAUCCUAUAAGCUGACCGAACCGAAAAAACUCCCCGUUUAUCGUAGUGCCAAGCCCAAAAGUCGCCCUAAACCCGAGUACUGAGGGGAAUAUUAAGGAUCACCUCGACAUCAGGAGCGAUGAAGUGUUCGACAAGGACUGGCUUGUUCCAUACCCGUGUGGCAGGAUUAAUCAGAUCCGAGACCAGUGAUGGAGGGUUUACAGAUCGAGCACAAAACGGCCGUAGAUUAUAAUCUCUCGGCAACCAGUUAUCGUACCAGAUAUUACUAUCUUGUCCCGAUCCAAUCCUCUUAAUUAGCCCCAGGGCUAGCACAUCCCUGCCUUCCAAUAGGGAACGCCACACCUGAGAAGGCGCAGGUCCUAACGUUGCUUCCAGCAGGUGAUUAUUUGGGAAAUACCUUGCCUUAAGAACACGGGCACUUAGCGAAUCAGGCUCAUGUAGCAACCUCCAAACUUGCCGCGCUAGUAGGGCUAGAUUAAACAGCUCCAUAUCUCUGAAGCCCAAACCACCCAUGAAUUUCGGCUUUGUCAUCGUUCUCCACGUGACCCAUGCUGUUUUCCUCUGUCCAUCCUUGCAACCCCACCAGAACUUGAGGAUGAUCUUAUUAAUAUGUUCACACAGCCCCCUUGGAAGCUUAAAACAGGCCAUCGAGUACAUUGGGAUAGAUUGAGCCACAGAUUUGAUGAGCACCUCCUUCCCUCCUCCUGAUAAACACUUCUCCAUCCAACCUUGCACUUUCUUCCAAAUACGAUCUUUUAAGUAUUUGAAUGAUCCCUCCUUUGCCCUGCCCACGUCCGAAGGCAAACCAAGAUACUUUUCGGAUAAUGAUUCAGUAUGAACAUCAAGAGUGUUUUUAAUGGUGUCACGAGCAGAAACAGGAACCCCCUUACUGAAAAAGAUGGACGAUUUCUCCAUGUUGACCCGCUGGCCUGAAGCAUUGCAAUAAGUUCUCAGGAGCUCAUUUAUGCGUGCUGCACUCAGCUCAUUUUCUUCAAAAAAGAGAAGGUUGUCAUCAACAAAAAGUAAGUGAUUGACUGCCAGGGCAUUGGGUGCCACAGAAAUUCCACAUACACCUCCUUCCCCCUUGAGCAAACAAGAAAGCCCUUCGGCUGCGAUCAAAAAAAGAUAUGGCGAAAUAAGAUCUCCUUGUCGCAACCCGCGGGUGGGCCUGAAAACAUCCAAACUAUCACCAUUAAACAAAACAGAGAAAGAAACCGAUGAGACACACCUCAUAAUUGUCUCGGUGAAACGAGGGCUAAACCCUAUUUUUAGCAUCACUGCCUUCAGAUAUGCCCACUCCAAACGAUCAUAAGCCUUCAUCAUAUCGAGUUUUAAAGCACAAUAUAUGUUACCCUUAACCCGCUUGGUUUUCAUAUAGUGUAAGCACUCAUAGGCUGUAAUGAAAUUAUCUAUAAUGAGAUGUCCAGGGACGAAAGAGGACUGCUCUUCGGAGAUGAUCUCAGGGAGGAUAGUUUUCAGGCUAUUUGCUAAGACCUUUGAAGCAAUCUUAUAGAUCACAUUACAAAGACUUAUUGGCCGAAAUUGUCCUAAAACUUUUGGACUUGCAAUCUUGGGAAUCAAAACAAUGAACGUAUUAUUAAUUUCCUCCGGCGAAUCCACCCCAUCAAGCACUCUGAUUAUCAUCCUUGUAACUUCAUCACCACAUAAAUCCCAAUGUUUCUGGAAAAAGUGUGCGGGAAAACCAUCUGGGCCCGGGGCCUUAGUACGGAACAUCUGCAAGAGAGCAUCUUUAACUUCCUCCUUGCUAUAGCAUGCAUUCAAACGAGCAUUCAUAGUACCAUCCACCCUUGCAGGGAUGUGUGACAACACUUCCUCCAUACCAAUAGUACCUUCAGACGGAUAUAAAUUGGAGUAGAACUAAGUUGCCAUAUUUGCUAGCUCGUUCUGAUCUGUACAAACGGUUCCAUCCUGGCGGUCCAACUUUGUGAUCCUGUUCUUUGCUCGCCUAGCACUUGCCUUUUUUUGAAAAAAAAAUCGUGUUGUUAUCCCCCUCCCACAUCCAGGUGAUGCGGGAUCUUUGUCUUGCCAUGACCUCCUCUAUGUAAGCAAGCUCGAUCAUACGAUCCUCUACCCUCUUCUCUUCUACAGUAGGACCGACCCUCAAGGGAUCCGCCCUGAGUGUGGUAAGCUGACGUCUCAGGGAAAGCAGCUCGUGGCAAACUCAACCAAAAGUGUAUUUGUUCCAGUGAGUCAUAGUCCUCACCAUAGUGUGAAGUUUUGUUGCCAGGUCAGAAACUGACAGCGCUGGUCCCUCGCCAUUCCAAGAAGAUUCCACCACAUCUCUGAACCGACCAUCACUUUCCCAGGCACACUCGUACCUGAAAGGUUUUUGCAUGCCGAGUCGUAUACUUUCUUCCUCCAGCUUGGUCACGAGGAGAAUUGGGUUGUGAUCGCUCUUGACUGCAGUCAGAUGCUCAACGCUAGCAUAAGGAAACAUAUUUGACCAACUUGGCGAGGCAAGGGCCCUGUCAAGGCGUACUCUACAGAACUGACCUCCCGCGACCUGUUUUUCCCAUGUCCAGUCCAGGCCUUUGUAUCCAAGAUCGGCUAGGCGGCACACAUCGACCGCUUCUCUGAACCCUCCCAUUUGAGCACUAUCACGGGGAUUGGGACCCAUCUGCUCUUCUUGAUGCAGUAUUUCAUUAAAGUCCCCAAUGCAUAGCCACGGAAGAGUACUUUCACCUCUCAACCUUUUCAUAGUGUCCCACGUUUUGUACCUCAAACCUCUGUUAGCGUCGCCGUACAAACAUGUGAGGCGCCAUUGCUCCCCGCUCCGAUCAGAUACCCAAGAAUCAAUGUGAUACUGAGAGAAGUUUCUUAUUUCCAAAUUAACCUCCGACUUCCAAAAAACACAUAAACCGCCACUCCGGCCAUUGCUAGCUACUGCAAAACUGCUCUGAAAACCUAACGAAGCCGCCAAACCUUCCACUCGAUUCUUUGCGAUCUGGGUUUCAACGAUGCAAAGAACCGACGGCGCACUAGCCCCCACGAGAUCGCGGAGCUCAUGUACUGUCGCUGGGUCGCCAAUCCUGCGACAGUUCCAGCACAAAGUCCUCAUCAGGCCCGGCGGCCCUCCUCGAAGGAGGCCUCCUCUCUUGUUUGAUCCACUAAAGCACCUUCAUCUCCAUCCUGCCGCCUCCUCUUCACAAUUGGGUCCUUCUCCGGGGUGGAGGUCACACCACUUGUGCUUGCUGCUUGAGAACCCCCUUCGAUCAUCAUGACAGUACCGGCUACCCGUCCAGCCAAAUGAUUGAGCUAUUGUCCCCAGACGUUUAGGGUGCCAUCCGCCUCAACCAGCCGCUUCCUCGCUCCCCUUUCCACUAAACCUCCUACGCCGUCUUCCUGACCCUCCAUAUCCAUAUGCUGCGUUCCAGCGGGCUGCACCCCUGCUCCAGGAUCCCCUCUCCUCCUUCCACCCAUCGAUCCUCUCCCUCCUCUACCUCCUCGGUCCCCCUACCUGCUCCCAACCUCUUCCCCUACUACCUCCAUCUCCUCUACCCCGACCUCCUACACCUUGGGCUGUAGGCACUUCAGGCUCCCACAGCAGCCACUCACCCCACUCAAAGGAGUUUGGGUCAUGAAUCCCAUCGCCACACUCAUCUGCUACAUGGCCCAUCUUGCCACAAGCAAAGCAAAAGUCCGGUAGCUUCUCGUAAUAAACGUUGUAUCUUUUAUACUCCUUCAAGGUUAUUGGAACAAAACGAACAAGCGGAAUAUUUACAUCCACGUGAACCCUCACCCGGAGGGUACUAGCUGGGUUGAUUCUCCCCUCAUUCAUUAUCACGGUGAAAGGUGGGUCACCUACUUUAGCUGCAACCUUCUCUGCUAACUCUUUCCUUCUUGUGAGACCAUCCGGCAACCCCUUCACCCUCGCCCAUACCGGAAUUUUAUUGAGUCUAUAGCCUUUGACGUCUGAAAAGCCAUCAUACUCCUGGAUCACCACUGGUGCCCUCCUAAACAGCCAUGACCCUCCAUCCAUAAUCCUCCUCCAAUCACCUAGACAGUGGCAUUACACCAGAAACAAAUUGGGUCCCUUGAUGUUGAACGUCACCCCUUGAGCCGCCGACCAAGCAUUGCGCAUCUGGGACAAGAGCGCAGCGUGGCUAAAGGGUUUUGUAGUGUGGACACGGAACAGGGCAAGCCAAUGGACAUCCUUAAUCAGAUCGUCAACUUCCGCUGAGAAAUCCAGCUCUUCCUCCUCCCUUCCAUGGAGCUUCAUCCCUGCAAAUUGGUCCUCCAAAUCAGGUUCAGGCCCAUGAUAAUCUCCAAACUCCUCUUCUUCUCCUCCGAAUUGGUUCUGCACAUCCUGCGAACUGUGAACAAACCCGUCCCUACGCCUGCUCUCCUCCGUAACCCCCUCCUUCGUUCCCCCCGACCCGCUCGGCCUUCCUGCUGCUGCCAAAACUUCCACCGUCGCCAUCGCAUCCUCCUUGCCCCCUAGCACCUGUUGCGUUGGAUCCGCCAUGCACACCUCUGCGCAUGACGGGAGAAGGUAGAUCUCACCCGCGGCCGGAUCAGUCCGGCACUCUGGUGAGAUUUUACGUGGACUCCGGUGCGGCGGCGCCGGAGGAUAGGUGGAACCCUAGAAACCCUAGGGAUGCGAUCUCACGUCGCAAGAGUUACGCCAUGAUUGCGUGCGUACAUCAAUGUGGGCCUAGUUUUGUUUACUUGAGCUAAUUUCGUUUUGCGAGAAGAAAGUAAUCAAUUCCUGAUUGCGGACUUGCGCCUAGGCUGCUACCUCUUUCCUUUGUUUGAGCUAAUUUCGUUUCAGGAAAUGAUAUGGGCCUAUGGGCUACCUUCGUACCACAUCUAGGAGGCCCCCCCUGGAUUUCGGGGGCCCGGGGCGGCCGCCCCCCUGCCCCCCAUCCGGGCCGGGCCUGAUGCUUAUUCCGAGAUCGCAAAGUUACAAACUAGGGAGCAGCUAGACAAACGUUACUUGACAGGGCGACUUGGGCGUCACCUCCUUCUCCGCCCGCCGCGGCCACCCCAGCCUCCUCCUCUCCUCGACGUCGCCGGCGUUAGCCGCCGAGGCAAAGUCCCCGUCUCGUGUUGGCGGUGGCGAGACAGCCUCUCGCCCGCGUUCAUAGGUUUCUUCAAGCCCCCGUCUGGUACCUUUGCCAGAUCUGUUCAGGGUGGCUGCUCCGACGACGCUGCACCUGCUCGCGGCCUUCAUGGUUGCUGCUCCUCGGUUGCUCCGUGGCACACUGCUCCAUGUCGACGGCUCGCUGGUGAGGCUCCGCUGGCGCGGCGACCAUGGAUCCAUGUGGAUUUGGUCUUGUGCACCGGCUGCCUUGGCCUCGUGUUGACCGGCAUGGCGGCACCGGGUCACGCCGGUGGUGCCUCGGGUUGGCUCCUUACUGGCAUGUGCUCGCGGCGGCAACCUGGAUCUGGUGGGCACAGAGGCGGGUGGCCGUCAGCAUGCGCUGGGACGCGAGGUCCUAGCGGUCGGCGGAGGGGCUCGAUGGCUGGCUGGACGCGAUUGCAGCGGUCCCUAGCAGCUGGUUCACACUGCUACGGUGUGGGCGUGUGGUCGCUGGUUGGGUUGCUUCUGCAAGCAGGCGUGGACUUGUUCCAGCGGAUGCUGCCGAUGCGUGCGUCCUCCAGCGUCGCUUGGGCUAGGCCUUGCUAGAUGGUGGCUUGGGCUCCCCUUGUCUGCACGUGCUACCUCGGUCGGCAGCGGUGAUCUAGAUCUUGACCGGCAUAGCGAUAGUCGCUGCAAAUUGGGAAGGUGCAGCGACCUCUUGUGGCUCCAUGGCGGAGGUGGACAUCGAAAGAUCUUCGGGGAGUUCAUUUUUUUAGAUCUGAUGGUUCAUUUUGGCGGUGAGAUGCAAACUAUGGAUGGAGGCUUGACGCAGAUGAAUGGUUGUGAAGUGGUGCAUCGCAUUUAUCUGCUGGGAUCAUGGAAAGUGGUGGCGACAACUCAUUUGUGACGUCGAUGGCGGUGCUUCUUGAGUACCCGGUAUCGAGCUUCGGGGUGAAAGCCCAGAUUUGAACUCUGGCAAUGGCGAUGGCUAUACAUCGUUACCUUGUUGAAGGCAUUACUCGGAUAUGUUCGGACAAUUCCUUGAGGUAAAAACCUAGAUUCCUGCCUCGACUGCUGGCUCCGGGCGUUUGAGUGUUGCUCACUUCCUGAAGGCGUUGCCAUUGAAGAACCUCGUCGAUCAUAAGGUGUCUUGAGAUGGUUUGUGCGGAUAUGGUCUUUCCUAUAAUUUGUCGAUCAUAGAACUGGUCACUUUGGAAUUUUUUUUCUAUCUUUAUUUUCUCGCCCAUGCAUAGCUUUGGUCUUAUAUGACUCUGCUAUUUGUAGGUGUGUUCUUGUGUGAGUUGAUGUUGGUUGUGUACAUUCUAACUAUGCAUAGGCCGGGUAUGUGCUCAUCGUGUUUGUAUUAUCUCGAUGCUUCAUUUUGAGCUAAUAAAAUCCAUCCUUUUUCAAAAAAGGGAACAGCUAGACAAACGUUACUUGACAGACAACAAUCUUUUCCAAUGGACUAAACAGAGUGCAAUUUUCCGACCUGAACUUGUCGCAUUAGCAUGUUUAUUAUCUAGUUAUAUUUUUUGGCGUCUGUGAUCUAAGUGCUCUUAUAUUUCUUUAUGGAGGGAGUAUUUAUUACAAAUUUGUGAGUGAAAUCAAAUAGGAAAACACAAAAUGUGGAUUCAACAUCAUGAUUCAACACAAAACUGUUUUAAAAACAAGAAUUGCCAAAAUUUUAAAUUCAAAAUUUCGGACUCAUCAUCGUUCAUACAACAGAAAGGGCCAGAAGGAAUCUUGGGGCCCAGUUGUAUCUGGCCCAUUAACUCAAUAUUGGCCAGACUCGCAAGUGGCAACCCGCCAGGAUCGAGCCCGACCACGAGCAAGGAGAAGCAACCAUGGAACAUCCUUCAACGACUUCUUGUCGCUCUCCUCACCUUGAAGAGCUGAUUUACGUUGGUAGAUUUGUGUGAGCAGAGCUGGCCAGCCGGAGGGGGGCGAAGGCCUGUUAGAUCAACGUCAACUCGCGUUGUGGUCGGAGGGCGAUGAGUGAGCCUUCCAAGUUCCAACCGUCGUAGAUCGGCAACGCCUGCUUGCAAGCGGUUUGACACAGAGUCGCAGACGCUAGCACUAUAUUGCUGCUAAUGCAUGGAUUGUCUAAUGCGACUGGAUAUGAUUCUGGAUCCAUGGUUUUACUUUUGCGUUGUAGUCACUACCACACACACGGUCGAUAGCAUCAAACCACAGACACGUAUGAAUGAUUUCAUUAAUUUGCAUCGAACAUCACGAGAGAAUACUUUUCAAGAAAAAGACUAAGAAUCAAAUGUCUGUCCAACCCGGCUUCAAACUAUGUACUGUACCACUUCCGACAACAGGUGUCCAACGCGAGGAAUUGGGCUCCGCUCCAAGAGAACGUUAUUAGCUUCUCAAAACUGAACCAGACUCUGCUUCCAAUACAUGUAUUGACAGAAACUACAAACUAUCUACGGAUCUGUGCUCGCAGCUUAAAUGCAAUCUAUACAUGUUUGCAGAUCACAUGCACCUAUACUCUCUACUUCCUAUCCCUCCAAAAAAUAUGAGCACUCCAGCAGCUAAAGAAAAACCAACAAAAAAAACCUUCCUAGAUCACAUGCACCUUUCUCCGUGAUCGCCAUUUCGCUUUCGCUCUGCAGGUGCACUGUUGAAUGUAUGGUUUGUGCAUGUAUAUUGUGUAGCUUGGCCCACCUCCUAGUCUUUGUAUAGUUGAGGUUGUGGCCCACUUUGUACUCCAUAUAUACGUGCGCUUUGCACUGAUCAAUACAUCGUGAAGCAUUGCCAAAACAAUCGUUUCCAACAUGAUAUCAUACCUAUGAUCCUAACCCUAACCCGAGCCGCCGCGGCCGCCGCCGCGAUCCCAUCGCCNNNNNNNNNNNNNNNNNNNNNNNNNNNNNNNNNNNNNNNNNNNNNNNNNNNNNNNNNNNNNNNNNNNNNNNNNNNNNNNNNNNNNNNNNNNNNNNNNNNNNNNNNNNNNNNNNNNNNNNNNNNNNNNNNNNNNNNNNNNNNNNNNNNNNNNNNNNNNNNNNNNNNNNNNNNNNNNNNNNNNNNNNNNNNNNNNNNNNNNNNNNNNNNNNNNNNNNNNNNNNNNNNNNNNNNNNNNNNNNNNNNNNNNNNNNNNNNNNNNNNNNNNNNNNNNNNNNNNNNNNNNNNNNNNNNNNNNNNNNNNNNNNNNNNNNNNNNNNNNNNNNNNNNNNNNNNNNNNNNNNNNNNNNNNNNCGCCCCCGCCGCGCCGCCCCGAAGCUGCGCCGCCUCCUUCCCUGCCGCGCCGCCGCUCAAGCGCCCCCUCUAGGCCAUGGCCUCCCCGGUUCCACCGAUACCACCCGUAGCCGCCGCACCAACCCGUUCGAAGGUCCCGAUCCCGUCGUCAUCCGCGACCUCAACAUCCUCGCCCGGGUUCCCGUCGUCCUCGACCACCUCACCUCCACGUACUAUGCCCGGAAGACGUACUUCUCCCUCGUGUUCCGUGAGUACAAUCUCCGGGAUCACAUCGAUGGCUCCGUGGACUCCCGCUUCAUGGAGGACAAUGAGGAGUGGACGGCCAUUGACGCCACUCUCAUCCGUUGGUUCUACACCACCAUCUCGAAGGACCUCUUCCACACGGUGGUCUCCGCCGAUGAUGACGCUCAUGCCGUUUGGACCAAGCUCAACGGCCUCUUCACCAACAACGCGCUCCAACACAAGGUCUUCUUGCACGGCGAGUUUUUUGGGUGCCAGCAGCUUGAGUCAUCUGUUGACGAUUAUUGCAUGCGCCUCAAGAAGCUUGUUGACGAGCUCCGUGAGCUCGGCGAGAAGGUCUCUGAUGAGCUUCUCCUCAGCACCCUCAUCGUCGGCCUGAACGACGACUUCGGGAACGCCGCCUCCAACAUCCCCCUCAUCACCAACCCGACCUUCCCCAAGAUCGUCGCGUACCUGAAGCUGGAGGAGCGGCGGAUGCGGAUGUCGCGCACCCGGGCCACCCACACGGCCCUCACCGCCGGUACCCGUGGCGGUGCGCCGCCCACCGCCCCGGCCCCACCGCCACGGCCCGCCCCCGCCUCCCGCCGAGCAGCAGCAGCGCCGGGGCGGGCGUCGCGACCAAGGUGGCCGCAAGCAGCAGCAGCCGGCUGCCCACGGCGGGGCCCCCCGCCAGCCGCAACACCAGCUACCACCGGCGCCCUGGCAGGCCGGCCAGAACCCUUGGACGGGGGUUGUGCAUGCGUAUUCCAUGCCUAUACCACGUGCCCCCGUCCCCGGCUCCUUCGGCGCCCGCCCGGCCCCUCAUCAGGCCCUGUACGUGGCCCCUCAGGUGUACCAGCCCGCUCCACUCUACGACCCCUUGGGCUAUGGGUUUGUGGCGCCACCGCCUCAGCCGUCGCCGUCCGCCCCGGCCCUCCCGCCGGUGCCUUGGGAUCCCGCGCUCCUAGCGGCUCUACACACCGCCCCCACGCCACAGCAGUACACUGGCGGUGGCGACUGGUAUAUGGACACUGGAGCCACGGCUCACAUGGCCGCCAACCCCGCUAACCUUCUUGCCGCUCAUCCCGUUCACACCGCUGCUCGCAUUACCAUGGGUGACGGUUCUUCCAUGCCCAUUACUCAUGUCGGCCAUGCUGCUUUUCCUUCUACCUCCAUGCCAUUAUAUCUCUCUAAUGUGCUUGUUUCUCCUGACAUCAUUAAAAAUCUUGUUUCCGUUCGUUCUCUUACACGUGAAAAUCCUGUUACCGUUGAAUUUGACAUGUUUGGCUUUUCUGUCAAGGAUGCCCGUACCCGGAUGGUGCUCCACCGAUGUGACAGCCCCGACGAGCUCUACCCGGUCCACUCACCUACCUCAUCCGUUGCUGCACCCAUGGCGCUUUCCGCCGGAGUGGACCUUUGGCACGCUCGUCUCGGUCAUCCCAACAUCGCCGCCCUUCGUCAUAUUCUUCGGAGUUUUUCAUUCACGUGUAAUAAGAUCGACGAUCACACUUGUCAUGCUUGUCGCCUCGGCAAACAUGUUUGUCUUCCUUUUAGCAAUUCCUCGCAUGUCGCACCAUACCCGUUUGAGUUAAUUCAUAGUGAUGUCUGGACCUCUCCUGUUGCAAGUAACACGGGUUAUCUUUAUUACCUUGUCAUACUUGAUGAUUUUUCGCACUAUGUGUGGACCUUCCCGUUGCGGCAAAAGUCGGACUCUGUUGCCACUCUCACCGCCUUCUACUCCUAUGUCUCCACGCAGUUUGGACGUCCCAUUCAUGCGUUGCAAACAGACAACGGGAAGGAGUUCGAUAACCUUGCGAUCCGCAACCUUCUCGCCACACACGGCACGAUCUUUCGUCUCACUUGCCCGUAUACUUCGCAACAAAACGGUCGCGCUGAGCGCGUGCUUCACACUCUCAAUGACUGCGUUCGCACCCUCCUCUUUCACGCCAACGUGCCCCCACGUUUUUGGCCAGACGCGCUUGCCACCGCAUCACUACUCAUUAACAUUCGUCCUUGUCGCACUCGCGGGAAUUUUGCACCUCAUCACCUCUUGUUUGGCACGCCACCCUCCUAUGCUGAGCUCCGCAUCUUCGGUUGCCUGUGCUAUCCUAGCAUCGCUUCCACUGCUCCUCAUAAGCUCGCACCUCGGUCUAUGGCCUGCAUCUUUCUCGGCUAUCCUCCUAACACCAAAGGCUACCGCUGCUAUGAUCCUAUCUCUCAUCGGGUGAUCACUUCACGACACGCUUACUUUGAUGAUAUGGUUUUUCCGUUCCAGCAGGUACCUUCGGAUGUUGCGGCCUUGCCCGCUCCCGGUGAUGGCCGCCCAUGUGCCUCUCUUGGGCCGCCUCCCGGCUUUGAGGGUGCCCCCCGCGCCACGGGUCGAGUCUCUCCCCCAUUGGUUGCCGUAGGGGCCGCACCUCCCUCGACGCCCGCGACGCCCUCGGCGUCCCCGGUCUCGACCCUGCCGGCGGCUUUGCCGGCCGCCUCGGCCGCGGUGGCCUUGCCCGCUGCCACGCCGGCGACCUCGUCCGCCGCCAUGCCGGUGGCCUCGCCCGCCACCUCACCGGCGGCCUCGCCCGCGGCGGCCUCGCCUGCGGCGGCCACAUCAGAGACGGGCUCGUCUUCGUCCUCGCCCGCCUCACCUCCGGACCCGCUGCCCCGCCCGAUGACUCGCUCUCGGGCUGGCACCCUUCGCCCGAGCACGCGGUACCCCAGUGAUGAGUAUCUUCUCGCUGCUUCCACCUCUGGGCCGUCUCCUCUCCCAUCGUCAGCUCGAGCCGCCCUUCGGGAUCCUCAUUGGCUCGCUGCGAUGCAGGAAGAGUUCGACGCGCUCCAGCGGAACCGUACCUGGCAGCUCGUCCCUCGGCCGCCCUGUGUCAACAUCAUCACGGGCAAGUGGGUCUUUCGGCACAAGACUCAUCCGUAUGGCACUCUCGAGCGCUAUAAAGCUCGCUGGGUGGUUCGGGGUUUUCAGCAACGCGCGGGCGUGGACUUCACCGACACAUUUGCCCCGGUUGUUAAACCGGGCACAAUCCGCGCCGUGCUCCAGCUAGCCGUGUCCCGCGCAUGGCCUGUGCAUCAGUUGGACGUGUCCAAUGCCUUCUUGCAUGGCCAAUUGGCUGAGCAGGUGUUCUGUGAGUAGCCCACCGGCUUCGUCAACGCCACACAUCCAGAUCAUGUGUUCUUGCUCUCCCGUUCGCUCUACGGGUUGAAGCAGACACCUCGAGCCUGGUAACCAGCGCAUCGCCGCCUUCCUGCAGACGCUCGGAUUUACAUCGACUCGCUCCGAUGCGUCCCUCUUCGUGUAUCAUCAUGGAGUUGACACGGCCUACUUGCUGUUGUACGUCGACGACAUCAUUCUGAUGGCAUCCGCUGUCGCGCUCCUCCAGCGGCUUACUGCUCGUCUUCGUGAUGAGUUUCCCUGAAGGACUUGGGUCCUCUGCAUUAUUUCCUUGGCAUUGAGGUGGUUCAACGACCAGAUGGGUUCUUCCUGCAUCAGCAGCGCUAUGCCCAUGAGCUUCUCGACCUAGCUGGCAUGCUUAAGUGCAAGCCCGCUCCCACGCCAGUUGACACCAAGGCCAAGGUCUCCGCUUUGGAGGGUUCGCCUGCAUCUGAUGCGGCCUUCUACCGCUCCAUUGUGGGCGCCCUGCAGUACCUAACCCUCACGCACCCCGACUUGCAGUAUGCCGUUCAGCAGGUCUGUCUUCACAUGCAUGCUCCGCGCGACUCUCACUGGACUCUGGUGAAGCGUAUCCUCCGAUACAUACGCGGCACCCAGUCCUUGGGACUUACGUUGACGGCCUCCGCCUCCACCGACCUCGUCGCCUACUCUGAUGCGGACUGGGCCGGCUUCCCGGACACACGGCGCUCCACCUCGGGGUACUGUGUUUACCUUGUGCCGUCCCUGAUCUCUUGGUCUUCCAAGCGACAGCCCACCGUCUCCCACUCGAGUGCCGAGGCUGAGUAUCGAGUAGUGGCUAACGCCGUCGCUGAAUGCUCUUGGCUCCGGCAGCUGCUCCAGGAGUUGCUUUGUGAUGUUCACAAGGCUACGCUCGUCUACUGCGACAACGUCUCCGCCGUUUACUUCUCCACCAACCCGGUCCAUCAUCGUCGAACGAAGCAUAUUGAGCUCGAUAUACACUUUGUUCGUGAGCAGGUGGCUCUUGGGCGCAUCCGGGUCCUCCACGUCCCGACGGCGCAACAGUUCGCCGACGUCAUGACGAAAGGACUGCCUACCUUCUGUUUUCGAGGAGUUCAGNNNNNNNNNNNNNNNNNNNNNNNNNNNNNNNNNNNNNNNNNNNNNNNNNNNNNNNNNNNNNNNNNNNNNNNNNNNNNNNNNNNNNNNNNNNNNNNNNNNNNNNNNNNNNNNNNNNNNNNNNNNNNNNNNNNNNNNNNNNNNNNNNNNNNNNNNNNNNNNNNNNNNNNNNNNNNNNNNNNNNNNNNNNNNNNNNNNNNNNNNNNNNNNNNNNNNNNNNNNNNNNNNNNNNNNNNNNNNNNNNNNNNNNNNNNNNNNNNNNNNNNNNNNNNNNNNNNNNNNNNNNNNNNNNNNNNNNNNNNNNNNNNNNNNNNNNNNNNNNUGCAUGUAUAUUGUGUAGCUUGGCCCACCUCCUAGUCUUUGUAUAGUUGAGGUUGUGGCCCACUUUGUACUCCCUAUAUACGUGCGCUUUGCACCGAUCAAUACAUCGUCAAGCAUUGCCAAAACAAUCGUUUCCAACAUGCACGAAGAUGCCAACCAUGGGCACGGUGUUGUACGUGCACGCUUGACCUCUGGAAAUCGAUACCUGGUAUUAGUGUCCCCGGAGACCGGACUCGGCGUCUGCAUGCACGCCUAUCCUGAACUGGUCAUGGUGGUCAGGCCCGCCGAUGAUGGUGCCCACAACCACAGCAAACCACUCAAGGGGGAAAAGUUAAAAUGUGGUCAUCAAACGACCAGGCACAAUCUGUUGCAGGGACGAGUCAGAAAUAUGGACAGCAGAAUUUCAUUGUUAAGACAGAAUGCAGGGAAACACACAUGUAAAUAUAUUAAACAUAAAUAAAAACAUAUAAUCAUAUCAGUCUCGAGCACCAAAUCCAUAUGCAUUUUACUAGAAGCUUCAUAGUAACUGACAGGAUGCAUACCACUUAUGAACACCUCUACGUCAUCUGAUACUUUUAAUCUCAGACUUAAAGUGUGCCUUGGACCUUUGCGACCUUUCCGCAUGUGCAAGAUACCAACCUGUAAAUUGAAACGAUUCAAAUGAUAAAGAUGGUGGUGAAAAGGGAAAAGAAACUCCAACAGGAGAAGAAAUCUUUAAAACAUUACAAGAGUGUUUGGAUAUAUGAGGUUUUAGCCCAACUUGGCAGGAGAGGUUGGAACUCACGUGCACUUAGUGCCAAAUUACUAACCAGAUAAUCACACGUCAGGAAUUAUAAAGGUGUAAGGCAGUGCUGCUUGUAUUAUAGCUCCUGACAUAUGCCCGCGUAAGGGCAGCUAUAGAUGCGAAAAAGGAUAAUAGCAAGAUGAGACACGAGAGACAUUUGGCGGAAAAGGAUGAUGUGUUUUUUAUGUCCAGUAAUCUCUUUUCUCUGAAUUUUUGUCAGGUGCCUCUUCUAUACUAGCCUUUUGUAGGCUAGUUUGAGUUAGUUAAUUCUGUUUGCCUUAGUUUCACAGUUUCUCUGGCUUCUAAACUAUAUUUCCAUCUGCUACAUACAUAAUAUCUCAUUUUCCAUUCAUCUAUAGUGGAAAAAUGGACUCCAAGCUUAAAUAAAAGAGUAAGUAAACACUAACCUGAACAAAAUUAGAAUAAUCUGUUUUGAAUUGAUUUACAAGAGAACUACUGCAUUUUAUAUAGUAUAUAGACGUCUUCGUAUGAUAUUUUAGCUUGUAACUAUGGGUAAACAUAAGGGCUUUGAUAGCAGAUAUAAAAGUAAACUGCAGUUAAACAUCGCAUAAAAAAACAUACCAGAAUGUCCAUGCAGGAACCGAUGGCUCCUCCUUGGUCAAGAUGAUUCUCACAUAUUCUCAUAAUUAAGUUCUCUAACUGAUAGCAGAAACAAGAAUAAUAAAUGUGAGUUAUUUAUUAUUACUGUUAACAAGAAUAAUAACUGUUCACAAGUAGACCAUAAACAUGAGAUGUGAGUUUUUUCUAUCCACUUUACUCACGAAGUAACAUAACACAUUUAUUGCUAUUACUGUUAAUAAUAAUUACCUCAACUGUGGUAGCAACGCACUCUCCAUUGACGGAAUCAUUGACAUCACCAGGUCUAACUCCUAGUUCUUCAGCAAUCGAUCCAUGGGACACCUACAGUUCAAUUUGUUAUGCAUUACUCAAUAGCAUUUAGUAAGCAAUAUUCAAGAAAACAAGGAACAGUGGACAACAUAUACCUCUUUAACUAUCAAACCUGAAUCGACAUUACACUUUCGGAAGAUCCUCUCCACAUGAAUUGGAUCGAGAAAUUUAAUGGGUGAAAGCUUCAUCCCAAUAUGCAGGCGAGGGAUACACCUUGCAACAUUGUCAUUUAUCAAAUUACAAAAACUAAAACUACGAACAAUAUCAUAUAACUUAAAAAACAAUUUUGAUGAAUGAAGCUUUGUGUCUAAAUAUCCAACAGAAAUUAGACUUAGCAAUAUAAGAAGAAAUAUAUCAACACAAGCAUAUCACAAGAUCAGUUGUGUUUCGUCAAGAUAUUUUCUUAUGACUAAAUCAUACAAUGAUACCAACAGAAGAAAAACUUACUGAAUUUUUUUCCACAUAUCCAAGCACUUCAAUACAAUAGAGGAAGGAAUAUAUGCUGUCCCGGGAAAAUUAGCCAUCCCCAAAACGUGUCCAUCAAAAUCAAUAACCAUUCCUCCAAUGCUAGGCUAAGAUAUUUAAAUUGCCAACAUCAGAACUAUGAGCAACAUAAGUUAAUAAUUAGUAUUUAUAAGAUAAUCACGAUGAAGAUAUUAUACCUCACAACCAGUGAAUAGAUAAUGAUGACGUUCGUAUGUAGUUGGGCCCAUGAAAUUAACACAUCCGUGAGCAACUGUCAGGUUUAAACGUUCAUCUCUACCGAGCACAAGUAUCUCCUGACCGUAGUUUAUGUCACUACUAAACCUAGGAAUCUUAGCACACAAGUCUAAAUUAACCUUCAACAUGGCAAUAUUGAUGUGCUUGUCAUAGCGAAACAAGAUUGCAGGUACGGUUGUCUCAUCUUCAUCCAACAAAUGAGCAAUAAUCU
Molecule: long non-coding RNA, 110361 nt
Filed under: Triticum aestivum (bread wheat)
Lineage: Eukaryota; Viridiplantae; Streptophyta; Magnoliopsida; Poales; Poaceae
Description: long non-coding RNA (TAES_LNC015721)
Source: RNAcentral